CCGGUGGGCAAGGUGUGGCACGUGCCNNNNNNNNNNNNNNNNNNNNNNNNNNNNNNNNNNNNNNNNNNNNNNNNNNNNNNNNNNNNNNNNNNNNNNNNNNNNNNNNNNNNNNNNNNNNNNNNNNNNNNNNNNNNNNNNNNNNNNNNNNNNNNNNNNNNNNNNNNNNNNNNNNNNNNNNNUAUUUCAGCACAUGACCAUCAUCAAAAUCAAGUUAUUUCCAUGGAAGUGGAACAAACUACAAAUUCCGUUGAAGCUAUAGUGGAAGAGAAUGUAGAAGUUCACGGGGUUGAAGGUAUAACUAUUUUUAGUGAAGAUUACAUAAAUGGUGAUCCAGGACUUCGCAUUCCACUUGAUUGUUUUGCCCCCAACAUUAGAGAUGAUGUUAGAUUUGCUUAUAUACGAAUGGGUGCAACUCAACCAACAAGUUGCAUUUCCCCCCCAAAUAGAGAUGGAAGAUGCUUCCGACCACAAUGGUAUAAAGACUUUGCUUGGUUGGAAUAUAGUGUAACAAAGCAUAAGGCUUAUUGCUUCUGUUGUUUUCUUUUCAAGCAUGACCGAAUGGAUGAUAAAUUUGGGCAUGAUGUCUUCUCCAAAUUUGGUUUUGACUGUUGGAAAAAUGCAGUUGCAGCAUUUCGUAAACAUGUUGGUGGGCCAUGUAGCAUCCACAAUAUUUCAAAGACAACAUGUGAUGAUUUUAAAAAUCAAGGGGCAAGUGUGAAAAGUAAAGUUACAAUUUACAGCCAAGAUUCACUAGUCAAGUAUGAAACUCGUGUCGAUACAUCUUUGGGCAUUGUAAGUUAUCUAGCAUUGCAAGGUGAACCAUUUCGUGGACAUGAUGAAUCCAGUUCUUCUUUGAACAAGGGGAAUUUUUUAGAGUUGCUUGAUUGGGUCAAAGAAAGAAUUCCAGAAGUGAAGGUUGCAUUUGAUGAGUUAUGUCCUAAAAAUGCCAAAAUGACUUCCGGGACAAUUCAAAAAGACCUUGUCAAACAUUGUGCAAAUGCAGUCAUCAAAGUAAUCAAAGAAGAGAUGGGUGAUUGCCUUUUCUCUGUUCUUAUUGAUGAGUGCCGUGAUAUAUCGGUGAAAGAACAAAUGGUCGUGGUUAUCAGGUAUGUAUAAUGUAUUGAAGAAUGUUAAGUGUCUAUGUGUUUUUCCUUCUGUUAUAUGUAGAGUAGGUUAACUAAUUUUAUGAUUGUCUACUUCUACAGGUAUUUGAGCAAAAAAGGAGAGACCAUUGAAAGAUUUUUGGCUAUUAAGCAUGUUCCAGACACAACAUCUGUUUCUUUGAAGAAGGCAUUGUUGGAGGUUUUUGCUAAACACGGUUUAGUUGUUGCAAGACUACGAGGGCAAGGAUAUGAUGGGGCAUCUAAUAUGAGAGGAGAAUUCAAUGGACUUCAGAAGUUAAUUCGAGAUGAGAACCCAUAUGCUUUCUAUAUCCACUGCUUUGCCCACCAACUGCAGUUGGUAGUUGUUGCUGUUUCGAGAUGUUGCAAGGGUGUUGAGGAUUUUUUUUGAAUAUGUGACCAUGAUUGCCAAUCUCAAUACUUCAUAUUGCAAGAGGAAGGAUAAAUUGCUUGACAAGCAAAAGGAAAUUCUUUUGGAUAAGAUUGAGAGAGGUGAGAUGACCACAGGAAGAGGGAGAAAUCAGGAAACAUCCUUAGUCAGACCUAGAGACACAAGAUGGGGAUCUCAUUACACAACCUUAUCUCGCAUUGAAUCAAUGUGGGAUGCAGUCAUAGAAGUUUUGGGCAUUGUUGAGGAUGAUUUGCGUGUUCCAUGUAGGGCAGGAGGUUUGGUUCAUCAAAUGGAAACUUUUAGCUUUGUGUUCAUCCUGAAGAUGAUGUUAAAAAUCCUUCGUAUCACAAAUGAUUUAUCUCUUCUAUUGCAAAAAAAGGAUCAAAAUGUUGUUCAGGUAUGUGAUGGAUCAUGUUAGAUGUAUGUAGUAUGGUUCAUAUAUUUAGUUCAUGUCAGCAUACAUGCAUCUAAAAUUGUAUUUAUCUCAUUUCAGGCAAUGUCAUUGGUUACGGAUGUGAGAACACGUUUGAUCAACUUCAGAAAUGAUGGUCGGCAGCCACUAUUGGAAGAUGCCAAAGCCUUUUGCACCAAAAACGACAUUCCAAUACCAAAUAUGGAUGACAUCUUUACAAAGUGGGGUAAAUCAAGAAAAUGUGGACGAAACAAUGUCACAGCUGAUCAUUUUUUUCGUGUGGACACCUUCUAUGCUGCUAUAGACUCCAUCACCACAGAGUUCGAUCAUCGUUUUAAUGAGGUAUCUUCAGAGCUGCUCCAGAACUUCUCUUGUCUUGACCCAAGAAACUCCUUUUCUAGGUUCAACCUGCAUAAACUAGCUAGACUCACAGAGAUAUACCAUGAUGAUUUCUCUGAUUAUGAACGUGAACAUAUAGAAGAUAACCUUGAUCUAUUCAUUAUCCAUAUGAGAAGAAUUGAAGACUUUAGAUCUUGUCAUGAUAUUGCAAGUCUAGCUAAAAUGAUGGUUGAACUUGAAAGGCAUGUCAUGUUUCCUACUGUUUAUCGCCUCAUUGAGUUGGCAUUGUUACUACCGGUAGCGACAGCAACAGUUGAAAGGGCCUUCUCAUCAAUGAAAAUCAUCAAAACUGAGUUGCGCAGCAAGAUGACAGAUGGUUGGCUUAAUGACUUGAUGGUUUGUUAUAUUGAGCGAGAGAUCUUCAAAAGUAUUGAUCUUGGUAAAAUUAAGGAAGAUUUUCAGAAUGAGGGUAGGGCAUUGCCAUUACCUGGGUCUUCUAGACGUCAUUGAAAGCUUCAUUAUCGGUAUGUUUUAGGUUGUUUUUCUAUUGAAACAUGUCUACAUUUUUAUUGUAUUUGGUUUUCAUUUGUAAUGUGUAUUGAGUCUUUCGAUUUGCAUUAAAAGAAUUCUUUCCUUAAGACUUCGCCACACCUUAAAUUUUUUUUCGUCCUCCGCCUCUGCUUCGGCUAGUUCCAGAUUAUGCACUUCAUCAACAUGGCUCAUGCUACCACUUGUACAAAUCCCAAUAGAUUUUUUAUAAUCAAAAAUAGCCCAUGUGCCGUGAAUUGGAGAAGACCACAGGAUCAACAUUCGUCAACAUGAACUUUAUCGGUGGUAGAGACCAUUUUUCAAUCGACCCCUGGUUCUCACACCAUGUGGACGUAGUCUAACCGGAAGCAAUGAACUCUAGAUUGUAACAAUUUGUCAUCAAUUUGACAUCCCUAGUAUAAAUGUAAGAAAUCAGCAAUCAUGUCAUAUUCUCCAAUGAUUUCCUUACGCAUAUUUCUUGAGUGGUUUUGGUUGCAAGAAAACUGUCUUUCUUGUAGCAUCAUCCACUCGCAAGUGAUCAUACGCACUACCUCUUGAAUCAGCUAGUUCAUCUCUACAAAAGUACAAGUUGAUAGCACAAUCAGCUACUUCACCGAGACAAGUAUAAAGAAUGCAAAUUAUUUCCCCUAAUAGUUUCAACAAGAACGUCCAUGAAGUAGAGGUAUGUCUCACUUGGCACAACUUGUCGACCUUCCAUAAAGGAUGGCUUGAAGAGGAUUGCUCGGGCGAUCUCAAUGGAAAAGUUCCAACUCAGCGUGUAAUUCAGAUAUUUUAUUCCAGCUCAGGUUCAUAAGAUUAAACCCCAAAGUUUGAUUAUGCCUCUGAUGAACAAUCAAAGAGCAAACACAAUAUAAAUAGCAUUCAAAACACAUUAGUUUUGCAGUGGAAUGCUCCAUAAUUAAAUAUCUAUGUGGAAUGGCAUGAGAGUCUUUUAGCCACAAGAUAAUCUUGCUCAUACAAUUCUAGUAGGUCACACAUAUUACGCCAAAUAUAUCACCAAGAGUGAUAACUUUACAAGUGACAAACAUUAAGAGUUGAGACUGUGUGCUGAGGGAGAGCAUCUUGAUCUUUGGGUUUUUAUUGCUGACAUCAAGGUUGCUGUAAUAACACCUACCAUUCCUCACACCUAACUUAAUGAACAGUGAUUACCAUAGUGAAAUGUAUUGAGAGAAGAAAAAAACGAGGGACGACGAGGGCCCAAUUAACAUGCUGAAUGGGGAUCGAAUUUGGAGCCGCACCCAUGUCGUGUAACUGGCGGCCUUACUCGCCCUAUCCCAUGCGAGUCGAAUGGGCCGUGGUGGACGACGGAGGCCACUACGGCUGUGGCAGACUAGAAAUUUGGUGGACUAUAUCUGACAUGCCUCGAGCUGACUCCUAUCUAGUCCAAGCCAACCAUUGUUUGACAAUAGAGUCGAGCGGCAGAAAGCCACGAACAAAGCAGAGGAAGGAUAUCGUCCCUGUUGGGGAACGUAGUAAUUUCAAAAAAAAAUCCUACGUCAUGCAAGGAUCUAUCUAUGGAGAAAUCAGCAAUGAGCAAAGAAGUAGAGCAUCUUCAUACCUUUGAAGAUCGUUAAGCAGAAUCGUUGCUAGAACGCGGUUGAUGGAGUCGUACUCGCAGCGAUUCAGAUCACGGUGGAUUCCGAACUAUGCACCGAACAUCGGUGCCUCCGCGUUCAACACACGUGCAGCCCGGUAAUCUCUCUUAGCACGACGGCGUGGUGACGGUGGAGCUGUGUGGUAACUCCGACAGGGCUUUGCUAAGCACUACGGACGACGAGGAUGAGGAGGAGUAGGGCUGCGCCGAGAGAGAAGUAAUUGUUGUCUCAAAUCUGCCCAAAAGUCCUCAAUAUAUAUAGGAGGAGAGGGAGGAGGUGCCCACCCUUUAGGGUUUCCCACACUAAAGGGUGCGGCAGCCCUAGAGCCCAAGGAGCGCGGCAGCCAAGGGUGGAGGGCCCUAGGGUGGGCCUUUGAUGUUGGGGAACGUCGCAUGGGAAACAAAAAUUUUCCUACGCGCACGAAGACCUAUCAUGGUGAUGUCCAUCUAUGAGAGGGGAUGUGUGAUCUACGUACCCUUGUAGACCGUACAGCAGAAGCGUUAGUGAACGCGGUUGAUGUAGUGGAACGUCCUCACGUCCCUCGAUCCGCCCCGGAACUAUCCCGCGAUCAGUCCCACGAUCUAGUGCCGAACGGACGGCACCUCCGCGUUCAGCACACGUACAGCUCGACGAUAAUCUCAGCCUUCUUGAUCCAGCAAGAUAGACGGAGAGGUAGAAGAGUUCUCCGGCAGCGUGACGGCGCUCCAGAGGUUAGUGAUGAUCUUGUCUCAGCAGGGCUCCGCCCGAGCUCCGCAGAAACGCGAUCUAGAGGUAAAACCAUGGAGAUAUGUGGUCGGGCUGCCGUGGCAAAAGUGUGUCAAAUCAACCCUAAAACCCCACUAUAUAUAGGAGGGAGGGGGAGGGAAGAGGCAGCCUCAAACCCUCAAGGUUUGGCCGAAAUUGGAGGUGGAGGAGUCCUACUCCAAUCCUACUUGGAGUAGGAUUCCACCUUCCCACUUGGAAACUCUUUCCACCUUGUGUUUUUUCCUUCUCAAACCUUAUGGGCCUUAGUGGGAACUUAUUCCAGCCCACUAGGGACUGGUUUAUCUCUUCCCAUAGCCCAUGAGACCCCUUGGGGCGUGACACCCCUCCCGAUGGUCCCCGGCACCCCUCCGGCACUCCCGGUACACUACCGAUGAGCCCGAAACUUUUCCGGUGACCAAAACAGGACUUCCUAUAUAUCAAUCUUUACCUCCGGACCAUUCCGGAGCUCCUCGUGACAUCCUGGUUCUCAUCCGGGACUCCGAACAACAUUCGGUAACCAACCAUAUAACUCAAAUACGCAUAAAACAACGUCGAACCUUAAGUGUGCAGAUCCUGCGGGUUCGAGAACUAUGUAGACAUGACCCGAGAGACUCCUCGGUCAAUAUCCAAUAGCGGGACCUGGAUGCCCAUAUUGGAUCCUACAUAUUCUACGAAGAUCUUAUCGUUUGAACCUCAGUGCCAAGGAUUCAUAUAAUCCCGUAUGUCAUUCCCUUUGUCCUUCGGUAUGUUACUUGCCCGAGAUUCGAUCCUUAGUAUCCGCAUACCUAUUUCAAUCUCGUUUACCGGCAAGUCUCUUUACUCGUUCCGUAAUACAAGAUCCCGCAACUUACACUAAGUCACAUUGCUUGCAAGGCUUGUGUGUGAUGCUGUAUUACCGAGUGGGCCCCGAGAUACCUCUCCGUCACACGGAGUGACAAAUCCCAGUCUCGAUUCAUACUAACUUAACGAACACCUUCGGAGAUACCUGUAGAGCAUCUUUACAGUCACCCAGUUACGUUGCGACGUUUGAUACACACAAAGUAUUCCUCCGGUGUUAGUAAGUUAUAUGAUCUCAUGGUCAUAGGAACAAAUACUUGACACGCAGAAAACAGUAGCAACAAAAUGACACGAUCAACAUGCUACGUCUAUUAGUUUGGGUCUAGUCCAUCACAUGAUUCCCCUAAGGAUGUGAUCCCGUUAUCAAGUGACAACACUUGCCUAUGGCCAGGAAACCUUGACCAUCUUUGAUCAACGAGCUAGUCAACUAGAGGCUUACUAGGGACAGUGUUUUGUCUAUGUAUCCACACAAGUAUUGUGUUUCCAAUCAAUACAAUUAUAGCAUGGAUAAUAAAAGAUUAUCAUGAACUAAGAAAUAUAAUAAUAACUAAUUUAUUAUUGCCUCUAGGGCAUAUUUCCAACAUUUGAGGCCCAAGGUGGCCUCCCACGCCUAGGGUUUCCCCUCUCUCCACCCCUUGUGCGCCUUGGGCUAGUUGUGGAGGCGCACCAGCCCACAUAUGGGCUGGUUCCCACCCACUCUUAACUCAUGUAGCAACUUGGGGCUGGUGGCCCUUGCCGGUGGACCCCAGGAACCCUUCCGGUGGUCCCGGUACAUUACCGGUGUCACCCGAAACAAUUCCGGUGACCAAAUCCUCACUUCCUAUAUAUGAAUAUUUACCUGUGGACCAUUCCGGAACUUCUCGUUACGUCCAGGAUCUCAUCCGGGACUCCGAACAACCUUCGGUAACCACGUACACUAUUUCCCUAUAACCCUAGCGUCAUCGAACCUUAAGUGUGUAGACCCGACGGGUUCGGGAAGCAUGCAGACAUGACCGAGACACCUCUCCGGUCAAUAAUCAACAUCGGAGUUUGGAUAUCCAUGUUGGUUACCACAUGUUCCUCGAUGAUUUCAUCAGGGGGGGGGGGAUGUUGGGGAUUCAAUCAAUCCUGUAUGCAAUUCCCUUUGUCUACCGGUAUGAUACUUGUCCGAGAUUCGAUCGUCGGUAUCCCUAUACCUUGUUCAAUCUCGUUACCGGCAAGUCUCUUUACUCGUUCCGUAACACAUCAUCCCGUGGCUAACUCCUUAGGGCCCGUUCAGUAGCCCUCCGCUCCUCCUAAUCCGGUCGCUCCGCUCCAGGCGAGUGAGGAGCCGCUCCCCUGAUCGCUAGCUUGAGCGUGGAACCGUUCGGUAGCGAUCUGUGCCCCUGUUUCAUGUGUAGUUGGGUUGUCGGCCCAUUUCUUGUGGAUCCAGCCUGCUAAUAGCAGGAAGAUGGAUCCAAAUUCUCUAAAAAAAUCAAAACAGAUCUAGCACGUGGAGAGGUGUAUGUUUGCUGGGGGUGGAUUGAAAUUCGUCUCGUGGUCUAGUUUUGGCGGAGGAGAGCUUAAUUCGGACAGCAACACACUUCGAUCGACGUGGAGGUCUAGGGUUCGGGCGCCAUGGCGAGGAGCUCGAACGGGGAAGAAAAGACACGAGAGAGAUUCAACAGCGUCGUACCUGUUCGUUAUUACUUAUCAGUGGCAUCCACAUGUAAUUUCAUGCCGCUCCUGAUUUUUCGUCUUCGUGGAGCGGGACCAGGCUAGCUCUGCAAAAUCAGCCUAAUCGAUGGAGCCUCCAUCUUUGUCGAUCCGCGGAGCGCGACUGUUUGGGACAGCUCCGCUGGCUCCGGCUGCGAAGCAAGGAGCUGGAGCGUUGCCGAACGGGUCCUUAGUCACACUGAGCUCAAUAUGAUGAUGAAUUACAGAGUGGGCCUAGAGAUACCUCUCCAUCACACGGAGUGACAAAUUCCAGUCUCGAUUCAUACAACCCAACAGAUAUUUUCGGAGAUACCUGUAGUGCACCUUUAUAAUCAUCCAGUUACGUUGUAACUUUUGAUACACCCAAAGCACUCCUACAGUAUCCGGGAGUUGCACAAUCUCAUGGUCUAAGGAAAUGAUACUUGACAUUAGAAAAGCUUUAGCACACGAACAACACGAUCUAGUGCUAUGCUUAGGAUUGGUCUUGUCCAUCACAUCAUUCAUAAAUGAUGUGAUCACGUUAUCAAUGACAUCCAAUGUCCAUUAUCACAAAACCAUGAUCAUCUAUUGAUCAACGAGCUAGCCAACUAGAGGCUCACUAGGGACACAUUGUGAUCUAUAUAUUCUCACAUGAAUUACGGUUUCCGGUUAAUACAAUUAUAGCAUGAAUAAUAGACAAUUAUCAUUAUCUAGGAAAUAUAAUAAUAACUACUUUAUUAUUGCCUCUAUGGCACAUUUUCAGCAGUCACAUGGUGAACAUGUGGCCUCAUUUGGCAGAGGGUACGCACGGGUAAUUCACACUCUACCUAUGGUUAUCUUCAAUAAAACCAUGGUGGCGGCGAAAGUGCUUUUUUAAUCCUGAGCACACAUGCAUCCGGUUGAAUAUAUAGUAAAAUCUGAAAAAGUAGCAGAUAAAUCCAAAAACAAUUUUAUUUUUCCAUGUGAUAAACAUUGAUGAAUGUUUUAGUUGCUUGUAAAACNNNNNNNNNNNNNNNNNNNNNNNNNNNNNNNNGGAAAAAAAAAGGUCCAUGUUCCAAACUGCUUUUAAAAUUGGUCUUUUGGAAGCGUCGAUUUUAUUGUUUCUGUCCAGAUUUCAAAGAAUGUCAUUUCAUCUCGAAUUUUCGCAUGAAUGUGAGACAUUCAUCAUUAGUUCAGAAUUAUUUGAAUUGUUUAACUAUUUUUUCUGAUUUUAUGGUUCAUCCGGGUGCAUAUNNNNNNNNNNNNNNNNNNNNNNNNNNNNNNNNNNNNNNNNNNNNNNNNNNNNNNNNNNNNNNNNNNNNNNNNNNNNNNNNNNNNNNNNNNNNNNNNNNNNNNNNNNNNNNNNNNNNNNNNNNNNNNNNNNNNNNNNNNNNNNNNNNNNNNNNNNNNNNNNNNNNNNNNNNNNNNNNNNNNNNNNNNNNNNNNNNNNNNNNNNNNNNNNNNNNNNNNNNNNNNNNNNNNNNNNNNNNNNNNNNNNNNNNNNNNNNNNNNNNNNNNNNNNNNNNNNNNNNNNNNNNNNNNNNNNNNNNNNNNNNNNNNNNNNNNNNNNNNNNNNNNNNNNNNNNNNNNNNNNNNNNNNNNNNNNNNNNNNNNNNNNNNNNNNNNNNNNNNNNNNNNNNNNNNNNNNNNNNNNNNNNNNNNNNNNNNNNNNNNNNNNNNNNNNNNNNNNNNNNNNNNNNNNNNNNNNNNNNNNNNNNNNNNNNNNNNNNNNNNNNNNNNNNNNNNNNNNNNNNNNNNNNNNNNNNNNNNNNNNNNNNNNNNNNNNNNNNNNNNNNNNNNNNNNNNNNNNNNNNNNNNNNNNNNNNNNNNNNNNNNNNNNNNNNNNNNNNNNNNNNNNNNNNNNNNNNNNNNNNNNNNNNNNNNNNNNNNNNNNNNNNNNNNNNNNNNNNNNNNNNNNNNNNNNNNNNNNNCCCUACCAAACAGCGAAAAGUAGAUCGGGGAUGGAAUUUUUGGGCUCAUACAGUCUUCAUACAGGCUACCAAACACAUCCUAUAUGUCUGCAACUAACAUGCCACUGUGCUGGCGCUGCUAUGCACUUUUUUCUUUUAAUCCACUAGUGGGGACAGGGCCUUUAGUCCCGGUCCGUAAGGGGCUUUAGUCCCGGUUCACCAACCGGGACUAAAGGGGCAGGACUAAAGGCCUAACCUUUAGUCCCGGCCCUGUUCCAAGCCGGGACCAAAGGUGCUCCACGUGGCCGCCUCGGAGGGAGUACCUUUAGUCUCGGUUCUACUUACGAACCGNUUGACCCGAAAAGUUAGAUUUUUUUUUUUCAAAUUUUAUUUUUGAAUAUUUUUUAUGUUUUAUUCCAAUUUUCUAAUCUUUGAAUUAUUUGACAAUUUAAUCUCUAAUCACCCAUUCUCACUGUUCGCUUCAGCCCGAGCACGCUUAACUUUCUGGUUCUAUCGCCCCUAGUUGCCAAGUGUGCACUUGUUGUUUUCCUGACAAUAGUAAGCUAUCAAUCCUAAACAACUUGGGUCUUGAUGUCAUGUCACCUGAUUUAUUUUUUUGAAUAACAAACAAUUAUUAAAAUAAACUUAAUAAGUAACAAUAAUAGUGAAUUUCAAUGAAAACAACCUAAUAUUUUUAAAUAAAAUUAUUUUUCUUUUUUUGGAAAAAACUUCUUUNNNNNNNNNNNNNNNNNNNNNNNNNNNNNNNNNNNNNNNNNNNNNNNNNNNNNNNNNNNNNNNNNNNNNNNNNNNNNNNNNNNNNNNNNNNNNNNNNNNNNNNNNNNNNNNNNNNNNNNNNNNNNNNNNNNNNNNNNNNNNNNNNNNNNNNNNNNNNNNNNNNNNNNNNNNNNNNNNNNNNNNNNNNNNNNNNNNNNNNNNNNNNNNNNNNNNNNNNNNNNNNNNNNNNNNNNNNNNNNNNNNNNNNNNNNNNNNNNNNNNNNNNNNNNNNNNNNNNNNNNNNNNNNNNNNNNNNNNNNNNNNNNNNNNNNNNNNNNNNNNNNNNNNNNCACGAACCGGGACUAAAGGUCUACCUUUUAGUCCCGGUUCAAGACACCAACUGGGACUAAAUCCUCCAAACCCUUUAGUCCCGGUUCGAGACACGAACCGGGACUAAAGGUCCACCCUUUAGUCCCGAUUCAAGACACCAACCGGGACUAAAUCUUCCAAACCCUUUAGUCCCGGUUCGAGAUACGAACCGGGACUAAAGGUCCAAGACACGAACCGGGACUAAAUCCUCCAAACCCUUUAGUCCCGGUUCGAGACACGAACCCCCCAACCGGGACUAAAGGUCUCAUUUGAACCGGAACUAAUGCCCGACCGGCGCCUUUACCUCUCGAACCGGGACUAAUACUAACAUUAGUCCCGGUUCAUAAAGGAACCGGGACUAAUGUGUUUUUCAAGCUGGGACGAAAGCCCUUAUUUCUACUAGUGAUCUCUGCAAACUGUCUUGUGGGUCAGAUCGAUCUAGCUAGUCAGCCAGCAUGGAGUUAACCAGCCUCUACAAAAUAACCAGGGUUUAGUUAGUGGGUAGCUUGAGAAGGCCACACGACCUUCGUACGUACGUUGGCGCAAAAUUAAGCUUAGCAAAGUAGUCCUACUCCUAGUUGAUGGCAUGUAUGCAUUUCUCACUAUUAACAAAAGACUGUUCUAUCACCACACGAAUUCCAGCUGUGGAUAUUUUUUUACACCUAGCAGUAGUAGCUGUUCAGUUUAUAACUAGAGGUUAUCUGAAUCUGAGAACCUAAAUCAGCAGAGGAUACCAUUUCAUCACUGUGUCUGGUUUAUUUACUAGCUAUCACUAGCUAAUUGGGUCGGUCCACCCCAUGUUCACCUUUCCUUUAUGACGAUCGCACUUUCAUUUCACGGGUCUCCUUUCUGUCACUCUUGAAGUGACAUGGAAACGGCGAUCGCCGAAACAGAACAACAAAGAUGGGCGCAAUUGUAGGCUAGGUUUUAGUCCGAUCGCGUUUUAAUGAAAAAUAUCAAGAAUGUAAUGAACGUGCUCCGAUUUAUAUAAAAAGAAAAUGCCUAGAACUCAGCCAGUUGAAAUUUUCUAUGAUCUCGUUCACAUAAUGUUAUUAUAUUUUGUAUUUAGUCUAUUUGUUUCCUUUAGCACAUCAUUUUAUUCUUUUGGGCUGACAUGUCUUAUUUUUCGUUGUUUUUUGUUAUGCGUCCCAUCUGGCCGAUCCAAUAACUACUCGUUCGAUUUUUGUUGUUGCACGCCGUAUCUUUUAAAAAAGAAAUCGCUGAUAAAAAAAGAAUAAGCGAAAAAAGUUAUGUAAUGGCUUGUUAGCUUCAACUACUCUCACCACUAAAGAUUCUUGUACAAUGAAGUAGUGUGUCCUUAUUAUAUGAAUUGUGAUGUAAUAAUUUAUUUAUUUUCUUAAUAAAAAAUUAUUUGAUUCUAGCUUUUCCAUGUAGUUGCUGCACAAAUAAGAUUUGCAGUUACGAUCCGCAUGUGAAUACUUACAGUUGCGAUCCGACUAUGAAUAUUUGCAAUUGCGAUCCGACUAUGAAUACUUGCAAUUGCGACCCGACUAUGAAUAUUUGCAGUUGCGAUUAGACUUUGAAUACUUGUAAUUGCGACCCGAAUUUAAGUACUUGCAAUUGCGACCCGACAUUAAAUACUUGCAGUUGCGACCCGACUUUAAAUACAUGCAGUUUCCAUCCGACUUUGAAUACUUGAAGUUGCGAGCCGACAUUAAAGAUUUGCAGUUGCGACCACAUUUUAAAUCUUAUAGUUGCGACCCGACUUUGAAUAUUAAUGUCAUUAAUGUAAAAAGGGAAAAAAAGAGACACCAAAACAUUAAAUAAAAUAAGGACUAAAAAAGUAAAAACAAGGACUAAAUCUCACGCUUCAUGUCCUUCUCUUCUCACUCUAAGCCACGAGGAUAAAACGAAGUGUCUGUCUCUAGGACAACAACAGAAAAAAAAAGGCAGCAACGAAAACAACAACGACACAAGACGAAAGAACAACAACAAAGUGCAACAUUUCCAGCCCAACAUGAGCCGCGAAAAAGAAAGAAACUGGGCCGCAACGGGCCGUAAAAGGCUUCCUGAGCCUGCAAUACGAAUCAUGAGGCAAGAUUAUCCAACGGCUGUCAAAGUGAAUGAGACUAAACAAAAACUCAGCUAGCUAAGAUUUAGCAAAACCGAUAUAAAAAUCAUCCGGUUUCUAUGAAUUUGUCGGGUUUAUUAAAAUUCAUUUUGGAAUGUAUAUGGCUAUGAUUGGAAGAUCAACUUGCUCCUCAGUGUUUGUGGAUUGAUUUCAUUGAUCUCUAAAUGAUGUGGAUUGAUCUCAUGGAUCUCUAAAUGAAUACAGUGUCCAAUUUAAGGGUUAGCAUCCGGAGAGCACGGAGCAUGCAUAUUCAAGCAACUUGUCAUGUCGUCGAAGAGCCCAUGACUUUUUGAUAAGAAAGCACGCGUCCAUACCAUGACUGUGACCCGAUCCAGUGUUUUUAGCCAAUAUAAAGUACUGUUUUCGUACAGUGUAGCACGUGUCCGGCUGCGAAUUUGUCCUGCAAGACUGCAGGUGGUACGUAGCUUUGCAUGCAUCGUCCGAGAGAUAAAACGACGGCACUCAAAAUGAUCCCCAACUAAUAACCACACAGCGUUAGCUUAGCGUCGGUAGCCGCCAUUAACUAAUUGAUCACUCUAACUCGUAGCUAGGUGUCGUUCAGAAUGAUUCUAUAUCCGUCAAGUAGAUCCAACAUGGAUCCGUAAAUUAUGCGCUGCCAACAAGCUAUCAAGCGUGGGAUCAAUCUGGCAACGUGCGUACUGCUUUUUUCCUUACAUACAUAGUACUCCUAAGUACGUGCAGAAAGCUAAUAAUAUGUCAGACACUGUAUGCCUUCAUGUGCAGGGCUGUUGUUAAUCAGGCUCGAUCGAGAUUUUUUCUUCUUCUGACUUUGUAUCAAUUACUGCAUCCGACUUGUACAAGUUGGUUCACUUUUCAACCGAAGCCCUCUGACUUGUCUUGUGGAUCACAUCGAGCUAUAUAUAUAAAUUACUCGCCAACACGGAGGUAAUUAACCGGUCAUAAAAACUCACCAACAAAUGGUAGUUGGUAUCAUGUGCAAGCCACACGAGACCCGCACUAGUGGAAAACGGGCAUUUGGCCUGGACCCUUUAGUCCCGGCAGUCCCGGCCACGUCGCUCCAAAUCGCAAUGCCGCCCAUGAGGCUUUGGUUCCGACCCGUAAGGAGCCUUUAGUCCCGGUUUGUGUCUCAAACCAGGACUAAAGGGCUACGCGGUGUGCAGCCUGCAUGUGCGUCACCUUUAGUCUCGGUUUGUGUCUCAAACCGGGACUAAAGUCCUCUGCCUAUAUAUAUUGGCCACAACCCCCCUCUCCCCUCUUCCUUGCAUUUUUCUUGGAUGGAAGAGUGUGGGUGUGUGCUACCUCUCCAUUUUUCUUGGAUGCACUAGAGGGGUUUGUUGAAAUGUGUGUAAGAGCAAUGACGCUUCAGUUCACCGAACACAACUACGAUAUGAGAUGCCCGAGCCACGCUUAAACCUCUUCCUCUUUAUUUCUACUUAUUCUAAAAGGUUAGCAACUAUAUUUCCUCGUUUAGACCGUGCGGUACUAAUUUUUAGGAUCGUGAUUGUAUUUGAUAUACUGUCGUAUAACGCAGAUGAGCCAUCCAUGGAUGUACGGUGAUCGACGCAUAGCCGCUUACAGAGAAGGCGUGCAUUCUUUUCGAGAUGCAGCCGAUGCGAACAAGCAUGGUGGUGGCUAUAUGUUUUGUCCAUGUGUUGAAUGUCGAAAUGAGAAGGAUUACACUUCCUCAAGAGUCAUUCAGAGCCACCUGCUUCGGUCCGGUUUUAUGUCGGGCUAUAAUGUUUGGACCAAGCACGGAGAAAGAGGGGUUAUGAUGGAAGACGACGAUGAAGAAGAAGAGAACGAUGAUGACAACUACCGAUCUAUGUUCCCUGAGUAUGCUGAUACCGCAAUGGAAGACAAUGAAGAAGAAGACCAGGAUGAAGAACGGGAACCAGAUGAGCCCGCUGAUGAUCUUGGCCGGGUCAUUUCUGAUGCACGGCGAGGUUGCGACACAGAAAAGGAGAUGUUGCAGUUCGAGCAGAUGUUACAGGACCACAACAAAUUGUUGUACCCAACUUGUGAAGAUGGCCAAAAGAAGCUGGGUACCACUCUGGAAUUGCUGAAGUGGAAGGCAGAGACCGGUGUGACUGACUCGUCAUUCAAAAAGUUGCUGGUAUUGAUGAAGAAGAUGCUUCCAGGAAAGAACGAAUUGCCCGCCAGCACGUACGAAGCAAAGAAGCUUAUCUGCCCUCUAGGAUUAGACGUGCAGAAGAUACAUGCAUGCCAUAAUGACUGCAUCCUCUAUCGCGGUGAGAAGUACGAGAAUAUGGAUAAAUGCCCGGUAUGCACUGCAUUGCGGUAUAAGAUCAGAAAAGAUGACCCUGGUGAUAUUGAGGACGAGCCACCCAGGAAGAGGGUUCCUGCCAAGGUGAUGUGGUAUGCUCCUAUAAUACCACGGUUGAAACGUCUGUUCAGAAAUAAAGAUCAUGCGAAGUUGUUGCGAUGGCACAUGGAAGAUCGUAUGAAAUACGAUAAGUUGAGGCACACCACUGAUGGUCGGCAGUGGAGAAAAAUCAAGAGAGAGUUCCCGAGAUUUGCAGGUGACGCAAGGAACUUAUGGUUUGGUCUGAGUACAGAUGGCAUGAAUCCUUUUGGGGAGCAGAGUUGCAGUCACAACACCUGGCCCGUUACUCUAUGUAUCUACAACCUUCCUCCUUGGUUGUGCAUGAAGCGGAAGUUCAUUAUGAUGCCAGUGCUUAUCCAAGGUCCAAGGCAACCCGGCAACGAUAUUGAUGUGUACCUAAGGCCAUUAGUUGAUGAACUUCUACAGCUGUGGGCUGAACCAGGUGUACGUGUGUGGGACGAGCACAAACAAGAGGAAUUUGACCUUCAAGCGUUGCUUUUCGUAACCAUCAAUGAUUGGCCUGCUCUUAGUAACAUUUCAGGACAGUCAAACAAGGGAUACAAUGCAUGCACGCACUGUUUGGAUCAGACAGAAAGUAUAUAUCUGGACAAAUGUAGGAAGAAUGUGUACCCGUACAAUCGUCAUUUUCUUCCGCCCAAGCAUCCCUUAAAGAAAAAAGGCAAGCAUUUCAAUGGCAAGGCAGAACCCCGGGGGAAGCCUGUCAUCCGUACUGGUGCUAAAGUAUUUGAUAUGGUCAAAGAUUUAAAAGUAAUCUUUGGAAAGGGUCCUGGCAGCCAACCUGUUCCUAACGGCCCUGAUAAGCGCGUACCCAUGUGGAAGAAGAAAUCUAUAUAUUGGGAGCUACCCUACUGGGAAGUCCAUGAGGUCCGUUCGGCAAUCAACGUGAUGCACCUGACGAAGAAUCUCUGCGUGAAUAUUCUAGGCUUCCUGGGCUUGUAUGGGAAGUCAAAAGAUACACUGGAAGCACGGGAGGACCAGGAACGUCAUAAAGGAAGAGAUGGCAUGCAUCCAGGGCAGUUUCAAGGGCGUGCCAACUACGCUCUUACUAAGGAAGAGAAGGAAAUCUUCUUUGAAGUCCUUUUCAGUAUCAAGGUCCUGACUGGCUUCUCGUCGAAUAUAAAGGGAAUCGUAAAUAUGAAAGACAAAAAAUUCCAAAACCUAAAGUCUCAUGACUGCCACGUGCUUAUGACGCAAUUGCUUCCGGUUGCAUUGAGGGGAAUUCUACCGGAAAAUGUUCGCCUGGCAAUUGUGAAGGUAUGUGCAUUCCUCAAUGCAAUUUCUCAGAAGGUAAUCGAUCGAGAAAGUCUAUCAGGGUUACAGAUUGAUGUGGUCCAAUGUUUGGUCAGCUUUGAGUUGUUGUUCCCGCCAUCCUUCUUCAAUAUAAUGACACACCUCCUAGUUCACCUAGUCGAAGAGAUUAGAAUUCUCGGUCCUGUGUUUCUACACAAUAUGUUCCCCUUCGAGAGGUUCAUGGGAGUCUUAAAGAAAUAUGUUCGUAACCGUGCUAGGCCAGAAGGAAGCAUCUCCAAGGGCUAUGGAAUAGAGGAGGUCAUUGAGUUUUGUGUGGACUUUCUUCCUGACCUUAAGCCGAUUGGUGUUCCUGAAUCUCGGUAUGAGGGUAGGCUCACAGGAAAAGGCACACUGGGAAGGAAAGCAAAAGUAUGUAUGGACGGGCAUUCUUUCUCUCAAGCACACUACACAGUUCUACACAAUUCCACCGUGGUGGCUCUCUAUAUCGUGAGACAUAAGAAAUAUUCUACACUCCGAAAACCCGGGGAAGGCCGACUCUUGGAUUAAAGGGGAACACGAGAAGACUUUCGACAGUUGGUUGCAGACACAUCUCAUGAAUGACGACACCGUUGGAGAUCAGUUGUACUGUUUGGCCAGGCCACCAUCUUCGACUAUAUGUACUUUCCAAGGGUAUGAGAUAAAUGGGAAUACAUUUUACACGGUUGCCCAAGAUAAAAAGAGCACCAACCAAAAUAGUGGUGUCCGCUUUGAUGCAACAGACGAGAAUGGGCACUGUUUGGAAACAUAUUACGGGUACAUAGAGGAGAUAUGGGAACUUGACUAUGGACCUACUUUUAAGAUCCCUUUGUUUCGGUGCAAAUGGGUGAAGCUGACACGAGGCGGGGUAGUUGUAGACCAAAAGUACGGCAUGACAACAGUGGAUCUCAACAAUCUUGCGUACAUGGACGAACCAUUUGUCCUAGCCAAUGAUGUCGCUCAGGUUUUCUAUGUGAAGGACAUGUCUACAAAAACGAGAAAAGAAAUCAGCAAAAGAAGAUAUCGUCCGAUGAGCCAAAAUGCCACAUAGUUCUUUCAGGAAAAAGAAACAUCGUGGGAGUAGAUGACAAGACAAACAUGUCAGUAGAUUAUAAUAAGUUUCAUGAAAUUCUGCCCUUCAAAGUGAAAACUGACCCAAGCAUCCUACUGAAUGAUGAAGAUUCUCCAUGGCUACGACCCAGACGAAAACAUAAAUAAUAGAUAGGAAUAUUGGUGCAAUAAUGUAAUAAUGUAUUAAACCUUUUAUGUAAUGCAUGUAUGGAAUGUACUAAACCUUUUAGUUUUGAAUUAUUUAUUCAAUUUCAAACACUUUUCAUUUUCAUAGUUUUUUCAAAUUCUCAAAUAUGCAAAAAUAAUUUUAGUAAACAUCUGCAAGAGAUGAGUUCUCGUUCGAAACUCUGAUACUUCGAGAGAGAUUGUCCGUUUUGUACACGAAGUGCAUCCAGCUUUUGUCGUAGCCCUCUCAACUUUGUAUCACAUGCUAUGUGGGUGAAAUGAUGAUAGCAUGCCAACUUUCAACAUUUUCAUAGUUCAUUUGUAGUGCUUUUCAAUUUUAGGGUCAACUAGCCCAAAAAAACAAAAGUUAAAUGCACGAAAAAUACCAAAUUAAGUCAGAAAUUGUUUUAAAUUUGUGAUGUGCCUUUGAAUGGUGCAUUUUAAACACACAAAAAGUAUGGAGUUCAAAUAAGUUCAAUAAAUGAAAUCCCUUUGUAACAGAUGAGUUCUCGUUCGAAACCCUGAUACUUCGAGAGAGAUUGUCUGUUCUGUACACGAAGUGCAUCCAGUUUUUGUCGUAACCCUCUCCACUUUUUAGCACAUGCUAUGUGAGUGAAAUGAUGAUACCAUGCUAACUUUCAACAUUUUCGGAGUUCAUUUGUAGUGCUUUUCAAUUUUAGGGUCAACUAGCUCAAAAAAAAAAAGUAAAUGCACGAAAUAUACCAAAUGUAGUCAGAAAUUGUUGAAAUUUUGUGAUUUGCCUUUGAAUGGUGCAUUUUGAACACACAAAAAGUAUGGAGUUCAAAUAAGUUCAAAAAAAUGAAAUCCCUUUGUAAGAGAUGAGUUCUCGUUCGAAACCCUGAUACUUCGAGAGAGAUUGUCCGUUUUGUACACGAAGUGCAUCCAGUUUUUGUCGUAGCCCUCUCAACUUUUUAACACAUGCUAUUUGGGUGAAAUGAUGAUAGCAUGCCAACUUUCAACAUUUUCAGAGUUCAUUUGUAGUGCUUUUCAAUUUUAGGGUCAACUAGCCCAAAAAAACAAAAGUAAAUGCACGAAGAAUACCAAAUUAAGUCAGAAAUUGUUGAAAAUUUGUGAUGUGCCUUUUAAUGGUGCAUUUUAAACACACAAAAAGUAUGGAGUUCAAAUAAGUUCAAUAAAUGAAAUCCCUUUGUAACAGAUGAGUUCUCGUUCGAAACCCUCAUACUUCGAGAGAGAUUGUCUGUUUUGUACACGAAGUGCAUCCAUUUUUUGUCGUAACCCUCUCCACUUUUUAGCACAUGCUAUGUGGGUGAAAUGAUGAUACCAUGCCAACUUUCAACAUUUUCAGAGUUCAUUUGUAGUGCUUUUCGAUUUUAGGGUCAACUAGCUCAAAAAAAAUAAGUAAAUGCACGAAAAAUACCAAAUGAAGUCAGAAAUUGUUGAAAUUUUGUGAUGUGCCUUUGAAUGGUGCAUUUUGAACACACAAAAGUAUGGAGUUCAAAUAUGUUCAAAAAAAUGAAAUCCCUUUGUAAGAGAUGAGUUCUCGUUCGAAACCCUCAUACUUCGAGAGAGAUUGUCCGUUUCGUACACGAAGUGCAUCCAGUUUUUGUCGUAGCCCUCUCAACUUUUAACACAUGCUAUGUGGGUGAAAUUAUGAUAGCAUACCAACUUUCAACAUUUUCAGAGUUCAUUUGUAGUGCUUUUCAAUUUCAGGGUCAACUAGCCCAAAAAAACAAAAGUAAAUGCACGAAGAAUACCAAAUUAAGUCAGAAAUUGUUGAAAAUUUGUGAUGUGCCUUUUAAUGGUGCAUUUUAAACACACAAAAAGUAUGGAGUUCAAAUAAGUUCAAAAAAUGAAAUCCCUUUGUAACAGAUGAGUUCUCGUUCGAAACCCUCAUACUUCGAGAGAGAUUGUCUGUUUUGUACACGAAGUGCAUCCAUUUUUUGUCGUAACCCUCUCCACUUUUUAGCACAUGCUAUGUGGGUGAAAUGAUGAUACCAUGCCAACUUUCAACAUUUUCAGAGUUCAUUUGUAGUGCUUUUCGAUUUUAGGGUCAACUAGCUCAAAAAAAAUAAGUAAAUGCACGAAAAAUACCAAAUGAAGUCAGAAAUUGUUGAAAUUUUGUGAUGUGCCUUUGAAUGGUGCAUUUUGAACACACAAAAGUAUGGAGUUCAAAUAUGUUCAAAAAAAUGAAAUCCCUUUGUAAGAGAUGAGUUCUCGUUCGAAACCCUCAUACUUCGAGAGAGAUUGUCCGUUUCGUACACGAAGUGCAUCCAGUUUUUGUCGUAGCCCUCUCAACUUUUAACACAUGCUAUGUGGGUGAAAUUAUGAUAGCAUACCAACUUUCAACAUUUUCAGAGUUCAUUUGUAGUGCUUUUCAAUUUCAGGGUCAACUAGCCCAAAAAAACAAAAGUAAAUGCACGAAGAAUACCAAAUUAAGUCAGAAAUUGUUGAAAAUUUGUGAUGUGCCUUUUAAUGGUGCAUUUUAAACACACAAAAAGUAUGGAGUUCAAAUAAGUUCAAAAAAUGAAAUCCCUUUGUAACACAUAAGUUCUCGUUCAAAACCCUGAUACUUCGAGAGAGAUUUUCCGUUUUGUACACGAAGUGCAUCCAGUUUUUGUCGUAGCCUCUCAACUUUUUAACACAUGCUAUGUGGGUGAAAUGAUGAUAGCAUGCCAACUUUCAACAUUUUCAGAGUUUAUUUGUAGUGAUUUUCAAUUUUAGGGUCAACUAGCACAAAAAAAAAGUAAAUGCACGAAAAAUACCAAAUAAUAGUUUGGAUAGUCAAAAUAAUUAAUUUUGAAAAUAUAAAAUAGUUUUGAAUUACUUAUUCAAUUUCAAACACUUUUCAUUAUCAUAGUUUUGUCAAAUUCUCAAAUAUGCAAAAAGAAUUUUAAUAAACAUAGUUUUUAAUUGAAAAUAACAAAAUAGUUAAUAGUUUGGAUAGUCAAAAUAAAUAAUUUUGAAAAUAUAAAAUAGUUUAGAAUUAUUUAUUCAAUUUCAAACACUUUUUAUUUUCAUAGUUUUGUCAAAUUCUCAAAUAUGCAAAAACAAUUUUAAUAAACAUAGUUUUUAAUUUAAAAUAACAAAAUAGUUAAUAGUUUGGAUAGUCAAAAUAAUUAAUUUUGAAAAUAGAAAAUAGUUUUGAAUUAUUUAUUCAAUUUCAAACACUUUUCAUUAGAACAGUUUUCUCAAAUUCUCAAAUAUGCAAAAAGAAUUUUAAUAAACAUAGUUUUUAAUUGAAAAUAACAAAAUAGUUAAUAGUUUGGAUAGUAAAAAUAAUUAAAUUUGAAAAUAUGAAAUAGUUUUGAAUUAUUUAUUCAAUUUCAAACACUUUUCAUUUUCACAGUUUUGUCAAAUUCUCAAAUAUGCAAAAAGAAUUUUAAUAAACAUAGUUUUUAAUUGAAAAUAACAAAAUAGUUAAUAGUUUGGAUAGUCAAAAUAAUUAAUUUUGAAAAUAGAAAAAAUUGAAACUAUAUGAGAAUUCAGGUUGACUUUUCUCCAUAGUUUUAAAUAUAGUUUCAAUUUUUAAAUUUACAGUCUGUUUAGGCCCAUAAGCCUGCUUUAGAGAGGAGCUCGAUGGAGAUGCUGCGACGGGGCUUAUAAACUAGUGUUAGUGCCCCUCGCUGGGCGAGGUGAGACUAAACUUAUCGUGCAGCCAGCGGAGGGGCUUUAGUCUCGGGUGGAGCCAUGACCCGGGACUAAAGCCGCUCGCCUGCCCCCUGCCGAAAAGGGGUCUUUAGCCCCGGGUCGUGGCAAGACCCGGGNNNNNNNNNNNNNNNNNNNNNNNNNNNNNNNNNNNNNNNNNNNNNNNNNNNNNNNNNNNNNNNNNNNNNNNNNNNNNNNNNNNNNNNNNNNNNNNNNNNNNNNNNNNNNNNNNNNNNNNNNNNNNNNNNNNNNNNNNNNNNNNNNNNNNNNNNNNNNNNNNNNNNNNNNNNNNNNNNNNNNNNNNNNNNNNNNNNNNNNNNNNNNNNNNNNNNNNNNNNNNNNNNNNNNNNNNNNNNNNNNNNNNNNNNNNNNNNNNNNNNNNNNNNNNNNNNNNNNNNNNNNNNNNNNNNNNNNNNNNNNNNNNNNNNNNNNNNNNNNNNNNNNNNNNNNNNNNNNNNNNNNNNNNNNNNNNNNNNNNNNNNNNNNNNNNNNNNNNNNNNNNNNNNNNNNNNNNNNNNNNNNNNNNNNNNNNNNNNNNNNNNNNNNNNNNNNNNNNNNNNNNNNNNNNNNNNNNNNNNNNNNNNNNNNNNNNNNNNNNNNNNNNNNNNNNNNNNNNNNNNNNNNNNNNNNNNNNNNNNNNNNNNNNNNNNNNNNNNNNNNNNNNNNNNNNNNNNNNNNNNNNNNNNNNNNNNNNNNNNNNNNNNNNNNNNNNNNNNNNNNNNNNNNNNNNNNNNNNNNNNNNNNNNNNNNNNNNNNNNNNNNNNNNNNNNNNNNNNNNNNNNNNNNNNNNNNNNNNNNNNNNNNNNNNNNNNNNNNNNNNNNNNNNNNNNNNNNNNNNNNNNNNNNNNNNNNNNNNNNNNNNNNNNNNNNNNNNNNNNNNNNNNNNNNNNNNNNNNNNNNNNNNNNNNNNNNNNNNNNNNNNNNNNNNNNNNNNNNNNNNNNNNNNNNNNNNNNNNNNNNNNNNNNNNNNNNNNNNNNNNNNNNNNNNNNNNNNNNNNNNNNNNNNNNNNNNNNNNNNNNNNNNNNNNNNNNNNNNNNNNNNNNNNNNNNNNNNNNNNNNNNNNNNNNNNNNNNNNNNNNNNNNNNNNNNNNNNNNNNNNNNNNNNNNNNNNNNNNNNNNNNNNNNNNNNNNNNNNNNNNNNNNNNNNNNNNNNNNNNNNNNNNNNNNNNNNNNNNNNNNNNNNNNNNNNNNNNNNNNNNNNNNNNNNNNNNNNNNNNNNNNNNNNNNNNNNNNNNNNNNNNNNNNNNNNNNNNNNNNNNNNNNNNNNNNNNNNNNNNNNNNNNNNNNNNNNNNNNNNNNNNNNNNNNNNNNNNNNNNNNNNNNNNNNNNNNNNNNNNNNNNNNNNNNNNNNNNNNNNNNNNNNNNNNNNNNNNNNNNNNNNNNNNNNNNNNNNNNNNNNNNNNNNNNNNNNNNNNNNNNNNNNNNNNNNNNNNNNNNNNNNNNNNNNNNNNNNNNNNNNNNNNNNNNNNNNNNNNNNNNNNNNNNNNNNNNNNNNNNNNNNNNNNNNNNNNNNNNNNNNNNNNNNNNNNNNNNNNNNNNNNNNNNNNNNNNNNNNNNNNNNNNNNNNNNNNNNNNNNNNNNNNNNNNNNNNNNNNNNNNNNNNNNNNNNNNNNNNNNNNNNNNNNNNNNNNNNNNNNNNNNNNNNNNNNNNNNNNNNNNNNNNNNNNNNNNNNNNNNNNNNNNNNNNNNNNNNNNNNNNNNNNNNNNNNNNNNNNNNNNNNNNNNNNNNNNNNNNNNNNNNNNNNNNNNNNNNNNNNNNNNNNNNNNNNNNNNNNNNNNNNNNNNNNNNNNNNNNNNNNNNNNNNNNNNNNNNNNNNNNNNNNNNNNNNNNNNNNNNNNNNNNNNNNNNNNNNNNNNNNNNNNNNNNNNNNNNNNNNNNNNNNNNNNNNNNNNNNNNNNNNNNNNNNNNNNNNNNNNNNNNNNNNNNNNNNNNNNNNNNNNNNNNNNNNNNNNNNNNNNNNNNNNNNNNNNNNNNNNNNNNNNNNNNNNNNNNNNNNNNNNNNNNNNNNNNNNNNNNNNNNNNNNNNNNNNNNNNNNNNNNNNNNNNUGUGGCGUUUCUAAUAUUAUAUGUGGAUGACAUAUUACUGAUUGGAAACAACGUAGAGCUUUUGGAGAGCGUAAAAGGUUACUUAAAUAAAAGUUUCUCUAUGAAGGACCUAGGAGAAGCUGCUUACAUUCUGGGCAUUAAGAUCUAUAGGGAUAGAUCAAAACGCCUGAUAGGACUUUCACAAAGCACAUACCUUGAUAAAGUUUUGAAGAGGUUCAAAAUGGAACAGUCCAAGAAAGGGUUCUUGUCAGUCUUACAAGGUACGAGAUUGAGUAAGACUCAGUGCCCAGCAACUGAUGAAGAUAGAGAGCAUAUGCGCUCCCUCCCCUAUGCUUCCGCCAUAGGAUCUAUCAUGUAUGCCAUGAUGUGCACUAGACCGGAUGUUAGCCUGGCCAUAAGUAUGGCAGGUAGGUUCCAGAGUAAUCCAGGAGUGGAUCACUGGACGGCGGUCAAGAAUAUCCUGAAGUACCUGAAAAGGACUAAGGAGAUGUUUCUCGUGUAUGGAGGUGACGAAGAGCUCGCCGUAAAAGGUUACGUCGAUGCAAGCUUUGACACAGAUCCGGACGACUNNNNNNNNNNNNNNNNNNNNNNNNNNNNNNNNNNNNNNNNNNNNNNNNNNNNNNNNNNNNNNNNNNNNNNNNNNNNNNNNNNNNNNNNNNNNNNNNNNNNCUACCAUCGGGAUUAGUGAUGAACUUAAAUCAUUGUUAUUUAGUGCCUGCGUUGAGCAUGAACAUUAUAUCUGGAUCUUGUUUAUUGCGAGACGGUUACUCUUUUAAGUCUGAGAAUAAUGGUUGUUCUAUUUCUAUGAGUAACAUCUUUUAUGGUCAUGCACCGAAUGUGAGAGGAUUGUUCAUAUUGAAUCUUGAUAGUCAUACACAUAUACAUAACAUUGACACCAAAAGAGUUAGAGUAAACAAUGAUAGCCCCAUAUUUUUCUGGCACUCCCGCUUGGGUCAUAUUGGUGUAAAGCGCAUGAAGAAACUCCAUGCUGAUGGACUUUUGGAGUCACUUGACUUUGAUUCACUUGACACGUGCGAACCAUGCCUCAUGGGCAAGAUGACUAAGACUCCGUUCUCCGGAACAAUGGAGCGUGCAAGUGACUUGUUGGAAAUCAUACAUACCGAUGUGUGUGGUCCAAUGAGCGUGGAGGCAUGCGGCGGAUAUCGUUAUUUUCUCACCUUCACUGACGAUCUAAGUAGAUAUGGUUAUGUCUACUUGAUGAAGCACAAGUCUGAAACAUUUGAAAAGUUCAAGCAAUUUCANNNNNNNNNNNNNNNNNNNNNNNNNNNNNNNNNNNNNNNNNNNNNNNNNNNNNNNNNNNNNNNNNNNNNNNNNNNNNNNNNNNNNNNNNNNNNNNNNNNNCAACAGGCUUGCCGCUCUUCUUCGAAUUGCCCUUCUUGCCUUUGCCGUUUCUCUUGAAACUAGUGGUCUUGCUCACCAUCAACACUUGAUGCUCUUUACGGAGUUCAGACUCUGCGACUUUCAGCAUCGCAAACAACUCGCCGGGAGACUUGUUCAUCCCUUGCAUGUUGUAGUUCAACACAAAGCCUUUAUAGCUUGGCGGCAGUGAUUGGAGGAUUCUGUCAGUGAUAGCUUCCUGCGGGAGUUCAAUCCCCAGUUCAGCUAGACGGUUUGAGUACCCAGACAUUUUGAGCACAUGUUCACUGACACACGAGUUUUCCUCCAUCUUGCAAGCAUAGAAUUUAUCGGAGGUCUCAUACCUCUCGAUCCGGGCGUUCUUCUGAAAGAUAAACUACAACUCCUGGAACAUCUCAAAUGCUCCAUGACGCUCAAAGAGACGUUGAAGUCCCGGUUCUAAGCCAUACAAGACUGCACAUUGAACUAUUGAGUAGUCCUCCUUGCGAGCUAACCAAGAGUUCUUAACAUCCUGAUCAGCCGUAGCGGGUGGUUCAUCUCCUAGCGCAGCAUUAAGGACAUAAUCCUUCUUUCCAGCUUGUAAGAUUAGCUUAAGAUUACGAGCCCAGUCUACAAAGUUGCUUCCAUCAUCUUUCAACUUAGCUUUCUCUAGGAACGUAUUAAAAUUGAGGAUGACACUUGCGUGAGCCAUGAUCUACAACACAAAUUUAUUCAAAGUGGACUUAGACUAUGUUCAAGAUAAUUAGAGUUCAACUUAAUCAAAUUAUAUGCUAAACUCCCACUCAAAAAGUACAUCUCUCUAGUCAUUUGAGUCGUUCAUGAUCCACUUACACUAUCCCAAGUCCGAUCAUCACGUGAGUAGAGGCUAGUUUAAGUGGUAAGCAUCCCUAUGCUAAUCAUAUCAACUAUAUGAUUCAUGAUCGACCUUUCGGUCUCAUGUGUUCCGAGGCCAUGUCUGCACAUGCUAGGCUCGUCAAGCUUAACCCGAGUGUUCCGCGUGCGCAACUGUUUUGCACCCGUUGUAUGUGAACGUUGAGUCUAUCACACCCGAUCAUCACGUGGUGUCUCGAAACGACGAACUGUAGCAACGGUGCANNNNNNNNNNNNNNNNNNNNNNNNNNNNNNNNNNNNNNNNNNNNNNNNNNNNNNNNNNNNNNNNNNNNNNNNNNNNNNNNNNNNNNNNNNNNNNNNNNNNCAACAGGCUUGCCGCUCUUCUUCGAAUUGCCCUUCUUGCCUUUGCCGUUUCUCUUGAAACUAGUGGUCUUAUUCACCAUCAACACUUGAUGCUCUUUAUGGAGUUCAGACUCUGCGACUUUCAACAUCGCAAACAACUCGCCGGGAGACUUGUUCAUCCCUUGCAUGUUGUAGUUCAACACAAAGCCUUUGUAGCUUGGCGGCAGUGAUUGAAGGAUUCUGUCAGUGAUAGCUUCUUGCGGGAGUUCAAUCCCCAGUUCAGCUAGACGGUUUGAGUACCCAGACAUUUUGAGCACAUGUUCAGUGACAGACAAGUUUUCCUCCAUCUUGCAAGCAUAGAAUUUAUCGGAGGUCUCAUACCUCUCGAUCCGGGCGUUCUUCUGAAAGAUAAACUACAACUCCUGGAACAUCUCAAAUGCUCCAUGACGCUCAAAGAGACGUUGAAGUCCCGGUUCUAAGCCAUACAAGACUGCACAUUGAACUAUUGAGUAGUCCUCCUUGCGAGCUAACCAAGAGUUCUUAACAUCCUGAUCAGCCGUAGCGGGUGGUUCAUCUCCUAGCGCAGCAUUAAGGACAUAAUCCUUCUUCCCAGCUUGUAAGAUUAGCUUAAGAUUAUGAGCCCAGUCUACAAAGUUGCUUCCACCAUCUUUCAACUUAGCUUUCUCUAGGAACGUAUUAAAAUUCAGGAUGACUGUCGCGUGAGCCAUGAUCUACAACACAAAUAUAUUCAAAGUGGACUUAGACUAUGUUCAAGAUAAUUAGAGUUCAACUUAAUCAAAUUAUAUGCUAAACUCCCACUCAAAAAGUACAUCUCUCUAGUCAUUUGAGUCGUUCAUGAUCCACUUACACUAUCCCAAGUCCGAUCAUCACGUGAGUAGAGGCUAGUUUAAGUGGUAAGCAUCCCUAUGCUAAUCAUAUCAACUAUAUGAUUCAUGAUCGACCUUUCGGUCUCAUGUGUUCCGAGGCCAUGUCUGCACAUGCUAGGCUCGUCAAGCUUAACCCGAGUGUUCCGCGUGCGCAACUGUUUUGCACCCGUUGUAUGUGAACGUUGAGUCUAUCACACCCGAUCAUCACGUGGUGUCUCGAAACGACGAACUGUAGCAACGGUGCANNNNNNNNNNNNNNNNNNNNNNNNNNNNNNNNNNNNNNNNNNNNNNNNNNNNNNNNNNNNNNNNNNNNNNNNNNNNNNNNNNNNNNNNNNNNNNNNNNNNAAGCGGAAAAAUGCGUCUUCAUAGGUUACCCAAAAGAGACAGUUGGGUACACCUUCUAUCUCAAAUCCGAGGGCAAAGUGUUUGUUGCUAAGAACGGAGCUUUUCUCGAGAAGGAGUUUCUCUCGAGAGAAUUGAGUGGGAGGAAGAUAAGACUUGACGAGGUUGUCGAACCUCUCAUCCCUCUGGAUGGUGGCGCAGGGCAAGGGGAAACCUCUGUCGUUGCGACGCCGGUUGAGGAGGAAGUUAAUGAUGAUGAUCAUGAAACUCCAGUUCAAGUUUCUGUUGAACCACGCAGGUCGACGAGAUCACGUGCUACUCCAGAGUGGUACGGUAAUCCCGUCUUAUCAAUCAUGUUGUUAGACAACAAUGAACCUGCAAGUUAUGAAGAAGCAAUGGUGGGCCCAGAUUCCAACAAAUGGCUAGAAGCCAUGAAAUACGAGAUAGGAUCCAUGUAUGAGAACAAAGUGUGGACUUUGGAGAUACUACCUGAGGGCCGCAAGGCUAUUCAGAACAAAUGGAUCUUUAAAAAGAAGACGGACACUGACGGUAAUGUGACCGUUUAUAAAGCUUGACUUGUGGCAAAGGGUUUUUCACAAGUUCCAGGAAUUGGCUACGAUGAGACUUUCUCACCCGUGGCGAUGCUUAAGUCCGUCAGAAUCAUGUUAGCAAUAGCUGCAUUUUUCGAUUAUGAAAUCUGGCAGAUGGAUGUCAAAACGGCGUUCCUUAACGGUUUCCUUAAGGAAGAGUUGUAUAUGAUGCAACCCGAAGGUUUUGUCGAUCCUAACAAUGCUCACAAGGUGUGCAAGCUCCAGCGAUCCAUUUAUGGACUGGUCCAAGCAUCUCGGAGUUGGAACAAACGCUUUGAUGAGGUGAUCAACGCAUUUGGGUUUAUACAAGUGGUUGGAGAAUCUUGUAUUUACAAGAAAGUGAGUGGGAGCUCUGUGGCGUUUCUAAUAUUAUAUGUGGAUGACAUAUUACUGAUUGGAAACAACGUAGAGCUUUUGGAGAGCAUAAAAGGUUACUUGAAUAAAAGUUUCUCUAUGAAGGACCUAGGAGAAGCUGCUUACAUUCUAGGCAUUAAGAUCUAUAGGGAUAGAUCAAAACGCCUGACAGGACUUUCACAAAGCACAUACCUUGAUAAAGUUUUGAAGAGGUUCAAAAUGGAACAGUCCAAGAAAGGGUUCUUGUCAGUCUUACAAGGUACGAGAUUGAGUAAGACUCAGUGCCCAGCAACUGAUGAAGAUAGAGAGCAUAUGCGCUCCCUCCCCUAUGCUUCCGCCAUAGGAUCUAUCAUGUAUGCCAUGAUGUGCACUAGACCGGAUGUUAGCCUGGCCAUAAGUAUGGCAGGUAGGUUCCAGAGUAAUCCAGGAGUGGAUCACUGGACAGCUGUCAAGAAUAUCCUGAAGUACCUGAAAAGGACUAAGGAGAUGUUUCUCGUAUAUGGAGGUGACGAAGAGCUCGCCGUAAAAGGUUACGUCGAUGCAAGCUUUGACACAGAUCCGGACGACUNNNNNNNNNNNNNNNNNNNNNNNNNNNNNNNNNNNNNNNNNNNNNNNNNNNNNNNNNNNNNNNNNNNNNNNNNNNNNNNNNNNNNNNNNNNNNNNNNNNNCGCCUGGAUCUUGAUCGGGUCGCGUCGUGGUGUGGGGCUACGGAUCCGGUCGCUAGGCAGCGUGGGGCUGUGGAUCCGACGAGGUCACGAUGGAGGAGGAGCAGGGACUACCCUGCCGUCGCCGCCUCCGCCCCCUCCCCCCGUUCCUUCACCUCCCUCCUCUUCCUCCCUCGCAGUGCAUCUCUUCCUCUUCCCUCUUCUUGCAAACACUGUCCUAUUCAAACAUGUCUCAACACAUACAUGACCACUAAACAACUCAAGAUGUAUGUAUUUAUUAUGUCUAUAUUUAGCAUGUAUUAACAGGGAACAACUAUGUUAGGGUGAGAUCAGCUGUCAAACACACCUAUAGAGAAAGUACAUUGCUGAUUGCUCGAUUGAAUCCAUUCCAUGGAGUACGUGUCAAUAUGGUUGGCCAUAUAGUAUACUAAUGCGGGAUCAAAGUUGGAUAUAUUUAACGGAUAUGGAAUCAUUCCGAACGACACCUAGCUACGAGUUAGAUUGAUUAGUUAAUGGCGGUGGCGGCUACCGAAGUAGCGAAGCUAAGCUGACGCUGCGUGGUUAUUAGUUGGGGAUCAUUUUGAGUGUCGAAAUGCUAUAUCUACGAACAGGCCUUACGUGUUUUUACGUCAUCUACCUUAACUACUAAACUCUUCCUCUGAUUUCAAUCCAGGUGGAGCCCAGUCACUAAGCCUACUUCAAUUACUAACUCCCACGUUAACUUUUACGUAAAAUCAUCACGUAAUAUUACGUAGGUCUAGCAUUGCUCGCAGUGUUACCUCUCGGACGAUGCAUGCAAGGCUACGUACCACUUGCAGUCUUGCAGGACAAAAUUCGCAGCCCGACACGUGCUACACUGUAGUUUAUUGGCUAGAAACACUGGAUGGGGUCACAGUCAUGCAUGGUAUGAACGCGUGCUCUCUUAUCCAAAAAGUCAUUUGGCUUUUCGAUCGUGUCCCAUCUUUCAACGAAUGAAUAUCGCCAUGGCAAGUUGCUUGAAUUAGCAACCCGCGUCGGCGAUUUCGGGAGAACCGGAGAACCAAGCCCAACGGUAAUGGCAUUUUUUUAAUGCUAGCGCUUAAAUCAAACAUCGCAUUUAUCUAUGUGGUACCAGUCCUCAUACAUAAAUGUAGAAGUCGGCCGUCUAACCAUAAGCGCUUACUACCUUCAUUACGGUUUAGAACGCACAGCUAAAUUUACGUGCAUUUCCACUGUAGGCAAGGUUUAAGCCGCAUUGCAUUUACUCCUAGCAUCUAAUUAGUACUCUGUUGUACCAAUCAAUAAAUGCAUGUGUAGUAUGAAUGCUACUUUUAUAUGCAUGUGUAGUAUGAAUGCUAUUUUUAACUCAUUUCACAAUCAAUCAAUAAACACCUAGGUUAUAGAGAAUUUCCAUGCACGUCUUUUAAACCGUGACGGGGGGAGUACAUUUGAAUGCGGAUUUCAAUAAAUUUGACAAGAUUUAUACCAACCGAAAGAUUUUCAUAUAAAUUGAAUCACUAUUAUUAUAUUUUGGACACAAAAAACCAUUGAAUGUAGACUUGGCCCACGACAACGUCCGUUUUUGUUCUUCUGUUUGGGCGAUCGUUGGCUCCAUGUCGUCAUCUCCAUGAGUAUAGGAGAUAAGACCUCAUGUGGUCGUUAAAGAGGAAGAGUGAACAUGGGAUGGACCAGCCCAGUUGGGACUCGUGGGCCCGCCACCUCCCAAUGCCAUACUCAUUUUCGGCGGAGUACGUGACCUUGUCGGUGAACUCGAGGUCCACAAUGGACGUGGAUGCGCUGACACGCUCGUCGUCCGAACGACGCACAUGCAUGGUUUAUAGUCUUAACCGCAAUCGCCUUGGCUGCCUCCGCAUCGGCCGCGAUAGCGUCCGGCUACGUCGGGACAACACUGCAAGCGGCGACCUGAGUGCGUGCGGCCUCAUAGAGCAACCGCAGCUCGGCGACAAAAGAUUGGGUUUGAUGCGACCAUGACCACCAACCACUUUCAUGCUCGACAUUGAUCAUGCGGGGUAGAUAUACGUCCCGUCAUGUCGAGCAACAUCUCUCCGGCAUUGAAUAGCUGCGGACACCAUGGACGUAAUUCAGGGAACUCCCUAUCGGUGAGCCCACUUCAAUGACUAUGCAAGUGAGAGAUCACAUCCCCUCCGGGUUAACAUCAGUGCGAAGCGGCAUGAACAUGGGCUGAAUGCUUUGGGCGGGAAAGGGCUCAUGCAAAGGAGAGGGUUUUGGGUGGGGUCAGCCCCUCACUCCGGAUUUGCCAGAAAAAGACGUUAGACCGGCCAUCGGACGGAUACACGACCGUGUUGGAUGGCAAAAUACGUCCAAACCACGCGGUCCGGGCAGUUUGAGGGUCCGCAUUGGAGAUAUCCUAAGAGGCCUUGUUUGAUAGAGUAGGUUUUCAAGCCCGAAGGGCCUAUGGAUUUUGAGGGAUUUGGUGAAUCCCUCCUCUUCAUUAAUCCCCUAUAUUCCCUCCCAUCCUCAGUCCCAAUAUUUCCAUGCACAUAAAAUUGUUGUUUGGCGGUUGGGGCUAGCCAUUGAGUGCACAACAGAAUAAAAUGUGAUUUUUAUCACACUAACAAGAACAUGAACACACCAAGUUUUGGGUAGGUUCAUCUCAACAGCACACCAAUUCAUCAUAGCAGCACAAUAUAAUAAAAAUUGUUCUUUGAGAUGUUCAUAAAAAAACAAAUCACUUUGUAUGACUUUGAAUCAAAUAAAACAAGGAUAUAUCACCCGCUCUAAAGAAAGAGAAUUGCGACAACAAUUCAGAACAACGGUUCAUCAUAGCAGUUCAUGGGAGAAGUUCGUAAUUUUUGGCAACAACACUCAAAAUCAUGUUACUCUUAUCAUUUUGCUUUCCAUCACUUUACACUUUCGGGAGCAAGGUUCUUCCUUAGAUGAAAAAUAAAAUUAUAGUGUUGUGAGGGCGUAUUAAAUGCAUACGCAAAAUAUUCAAGUCAAACCAUGAAUAUUUAUACACUACAAACCGAAUUGGCAAAGAUCACAACUGAUACAAACUUGUGUUAUCAUAUCAAAUUAUGAAUCACACAAGAAGAAACCAGACACAAAAAUGAUAAUUGGUUGAGCAUUCAGAAAGAAAUUCAAGGACUUGACAAAACUACCGAAGAUUGUAACAAAUAGAUUAAACUAGUUUUGCAAGAGCAUCUCCAAUAGAUGAUCUAAGAUAUUUGUCACCAAAUUGUGUGCUUUGAGUACAAUUUACAUCACCCAAAGUGUUUUUUACAUCACCAAAAAACUUCAACUCCAAUAGAUGGUGGAAAAUAUGAGACUAGUGCUCCAAUAGGUGAUAUAAAACAGGAUAGCCGCACAACAACCGCUUCACAAUUUCAUACAUAUUUGAAUCAAAUAAUAUAAAAAUCACCUAAAUCUGAAACAAACAUAAUGACAAUUUCGUUAACCCUGAACAUCAAAUUAUUAAAUAAUUCAUCAUAUCCAUAAAUUCAAAAGUAACACAAAUACAGAAAAGUUUAGCACAUAAUACAACAAAGUUCAUGCAAAAUACAACUAACGUAUAGAUGAAACUAGGGUAUUUGUUUCCCAUGCCAUGUCCACCACUCAUCCGUCACUCCAUGAUAUCUUUUUAAAGAUCGUUGUGCGUAUCGAACUCUCCGAUAUCAAGGUAUACACCUGCAUAAAGUAUUUGAUUCGGUCUUGCCUUCAACUUUGCCAAAUAUGUACUCCCAUAAUUUCAAAGAUGGUGUAAGUCAAAUUAUGUCCACGUUCAUUCUCAGUGAUCACGUUGUGCAUGAUCACGCAAGCUAUCAUGAUGUAUCCGAGGUUCUCUUGAUCCCAAAACCUAACCGGUCCUCAGACAAUAGAAACAUUAUUCACAAAUUUGAAAAAAGUUCAUCAAUUUUGAAUACAAGUUGAGAAUUUCAGUAAAAAAAUUCAUUGAUUUUUUUAAAAAAACAAUGCAUUGAAAAAAGUUCAUGGAUUUUGAGAAAAAGUUCAUCGAUUUUGUACAAAAAGUUUAUGAAUUUUAAAAGGUUAGUCAGUUGUUUUAAAGGUUCACAUGUUUGAAGAAGAUAGCAUUUAAGGGAAAAAAGAAAACACGAGAAAGAGAAAAUAAAAAGGAAAGGCAACAAGAAAACAAAAAUACUGAAUAAGAACCAUUCGAAAAAUGACUAGCGAAUUGGGAAAAAAUGAUUAAGGAAUCUUUGGGAAGUUUCCAAAACCGGGUGUUUCCACGAACCGAAGAAAGGAUAAUAAAAAAGGAAAGUAAGUAGGCAUAAGCGUUAAGAUGUCCUAGUGGUUACUAUGGUUCUCUCUACUUGAAGAGAUCUCGAAUUUGAACCCAUGCCAUGUUCCUUUUUUGCAGUUUAACAGAAAAUAAGGAAGGUAAAUGUCGUAAUUUUUGGUCAUGUAUGUGAAAAGCAUUCAUGUGGACUUACAAAUGUUAAUCACAUCCAUAUUUAGAAGAAGUUCGUCAUGCGUUCAAAAAAAAGGUUGUUUCACAUUUUGAAAACAAAUUCACCAUGUAUUGUUCAAGUGCUUAGUGUGCAUUAGUAAAAUGCUUAAUUUUACCGUGCAUUAAUAGAAUUGCAUACAUGCCAUCAACUAGGAGUAGGACUACUCUAAGCUUAAUUUUAUGCCUACGUACGUACGAAGGUCAUGUGGCCUGCUUAACUCAAGCUACCCACCAAUUAAACCCUAGUUAUUUUGUAGCGGUUAGUUAACUCCAUGCUGGCUGGCUAGCUAGCUAGCUCGAUCUGAUCCACAGGACAGUUUGCAGAGAUUAACAAAAAAAAAGGGUGCAUAGCAGCGCCAGCACAGUGGCAUGUUUGCUGUAGACACAUAGAGAAAGUACAUUGCUCGAUUGAUUCGAUUCCAUGGAGUACCUGUUAACAGUUGAUUAAUCGAUUCCAUGCUCGAUUGGAUAUACUUAACAGUUGAUUACCUAACCAGUGACAAACUAAAUGCGGCUAGCUAGCUAAGCAAUAGGUUGUUAAUUAGUUGGUGAUACAUCUUAUAAUGUAAGACGUUUUUGCAAGCUAAAUUUAGCCAUGGAUGUACUAGCGACAUCUGCGUUUUCUUCACAUCAUGUAGCCAUGGUUGAAUUUUUGCUCUUGGUUGGUACGUAGCUAAAUAGUGGAGUCUGAGAUGAAAGGAUUUUCCUUCUCAUCCGCAGUAGUACAUCUUGUGGCCAUAUCCAUACUCCAUUGGUCACGCUUGAAAUAGCAAGCUUUGGUAGCAUCUGAUCCAGUAUAAACAGGGUAGCAUUUCUGCGAGCUUAUCCGGUUAUGUUGCAGCAGUAUUUGACAACCGGACAGUGACACCAAAUAGUUUAGUUAAGGCAUAUAUAGGUUUGACCAACAGUACUCUGUUCUUCGCAGAAAGAAAGCUAUUGCUAUGUUAGCAUACGAUUUAUAUCUUUAUCGAAAAAGCAUACGAUUUAUAUUAGUUAUAUGAAAUUAUACGUAGUUACUUUUUAAUGUGAAUCUAAGACAUCAGUUGCAUGUCGCAUAAAUUACAUAAUUAUAGAGUAACUGUUGGUCAAAUGUUUAACUUAACAACACAUAAUUAAUGGAUUCUAAGUUGAAGAAUGGAGAGAGUACAAGGUUUAACUUGCAGUGAUCAUACACCGUAACCACGAUUGUCUGAUAUACUCUGAGCACCCACUCAUCAUUUUAUUACAACACGAACGACGACUGGACAAAACGACUAGCAGAAGGACACCAUCUCCAGUGCACGCGUGAGCUAGCAUGGACGAUUAACCAAUCUCUCACAUGGCGGCGGCGUGUCCCUCGUCGUUGGCGGUCUCGAUACCCUCGACACGCCUGUUGGGGACGGCGCAGUUCUGCCGGAUCUCGCCCUGGGUGCCGGUGAGCAAGUCCAUGUUGCUCAUCUUCACCAUGGACAUGGCGAACUGCCUGAAGAAGGCAGACUGGCUGAGCGCGAACCGCGUGGUCAAGAGCCUCGUGUCGGGGUGGUCGAUGAGGGCCUGGUCGGACUUGAACAAUCCCUGCCUGACGAUGAGGUCGAAGUAGUACUUGUUGUCGAACACGUCGGGCGUGCGCACGUCGAGGGUCUGAUUGACGGUGCCCUGGGGCACGUCCUUGGCGCACUUGGCCCGCAGCCUCCUGGCGAAUAGCGGGUCGAUGAGCGGGUUGAGGUCGAUGUUGGGAGCGAAGCGGUCGGAGAAGACGGGGCAGUGGGCGACGCCGAAGGUGUGCGCGCCGGAGAGCGAGACGAGGUCGGCCACGUCGAGGCUCCGGUUGCCGAAGGAGGAGAUGAGAGUCGGCACGUCGAAGGAGGGCGCCGGCAGGGUGUCCACGAGGUCCUGGGACGCCGGGGCGAGCCCGUCGCGGCGGCCGAGGGCGACGUCGAAGUGUGGCCCGCCAGCCUGCAUCCACCACGUACGUACUCGUUGAUUAAUCGGUUCUGCUCAGGUUGAAAAUAUCGUCUGACAUAUGUACGCUUGUGUGGAGCAUAUGGCCGGCAGGCAUGAAGUGGAGUGUACCUGUACGAGGGCGUCACGGGUGGCGAGGACGGUGAUGUCGGCGCAGGAGACGGUCGGGCCGCAGGCGGCAUGGACGGCGGCGCGGAUGCGCUCGAUGAGGUCGAGAGCAACGGGGCGGAGCGUCUGGUUGGGCACCGCAUUCAGCUCGCUGUUGUUCCCGGUGAGGAGCACCGACGCGUCGCAGCCCUGCGGGAAGCAGUCGUGGAAGAGGAUGCGGAUGAGGGCGGGGGCGACGCCGACGUCGCGCCGGAAGGUCUCCGCCACGAGGUCCCCCACGAUCUUCUCCAGGCCCGGGCACGACGCGGCGUGGAAGCCCCGGGACAGCCCGCCGGCGUCCGCGGCCGAGAUGGUCGACUGGGCGGCGCAGAUCAAGGCUGCCAGGACGAGGACGGUCGCUGUUGCUCUGGACGCCAUUGCUGUCGCCCUACAGAGAUGUAGCUGAGCUUUUUUGCACGAUGAUGGUCGUGUGGCUUGCUCAAGCUAUGGACACUAAACCCUUGUUAUUUAUACACGGCCAAGUGGCUAACCACCCCACAGCUGGGUAGGUACGUACGUGGCUUAACUCGAUAUUAAUUAUCUACAAGGUGGAAAACAUGUGCAAGUCGGUGCCUGAAAUUUCCCAGAACUUUCCGUAUGCCUUGCGCCCAACAACCCCUUCACUGCGUAUGUGAGUAAUUUACGAUUAGGAUGUGUGACAUCGAUCCAAGUGGGACAUAUACAUAAGGGGUCUGGAAUCAUUUUGAAUGACGCCGAGCUGGCUACGUACGACCUACAGGGAUAGGAUCAGCCUGAGCUUCUUAACCCUCAAAAGAGUUAAGUCAUCAAAAUAUUCUCUUGAUCGAUGCGUGCGUUCCCACACAACCAUCUCAAAGCAUCUCCUGGUCCAAAUUUAACGAUCCAGCCCGUGGGGGGGGGGGGGGGGGCGGCCCGGCCCGUGAAAGUCCUCGGCCCCCCUCCCAGGUCGCACGUAGCCUAUGGGGAUAGCUCUGCAAGGCAGAAGCGCACGUAGAAGUAGACUAAUGUAGAUGCGCAGCCAACGUAGGACGUGACCGAUGGACAAGAUCGUGCACAUCACUACCACGCGAAGAUAAUGGGCCCGACCCAGCGCCAUGGGCAUCAUUACCGUGGUUCAGGAAGACCCAAGGUAAAAAACUAAAUUAACGCACAAUGCUCAGUCUUGUUUUUUAGGUCGUCACGCCCAAACUCCCAUCCCAAUCACGGCAAGGCCAUUGCGUGUUUGCCGCAUGUGUUUGCCUCCGAUGCGGGGGCGACACUACGACAGAUGAGCAUCCAAAUAGGGUAGUCAUCUAGAUCUGGUAGGUCAAUUUGCUCCUUUUGAUUCAAUCUUGUGGGUUUUAUGAAUUUUGGGGUUUCUUGAUUUCGGGGAAAAAAUUAUAGUUACAAUGAGAGGAUUUUUGUUUGGCAUUUCAAAAUUAGUAGCCAUGCUGCUAUUGUUCGGUUAUGAAAAUUGGGAAUAUGGGACGAUGUCUACUGCAACAGGAUUAUGAUUAAUCAUUGAAUCGUGUCAAGUUAUUUAUUAACUCGAUAAUCAAUGUUAUGGUUUUGUAGUGCAGCUGCAAAAGCAUUAUGUCCAAGGCAUGUUGAUAGUUCCUUCCGUAUUGAAGAUUCCAACUUAGAUCUCCGGUAUCAAAGUUUUGAUAGAAAAUGAUGUUUUUGGAUUUGGAGAUGAUAUCAAAUAAUAUUGGAUUUUCUGUCGGUACAAUGGGUUUCUCAUAUACCGUAGCUAAAGUUUGACUGUUUGACUCACUAUACAUGUGUUUUAUCUCCAGGGCUUAGAAGAUGUUUCUAAUGCUUCAUAAAAAACAAAGAUUCUUAUCAAGAAGCACAUGAACACGGAGGCACUACAUGAGUUGAUGAUGAUCAAGGUAUGAUUGUUUUUGUUCUACUAUAAGAAGCACAUGCAUCUUUCAAAUAGCUACAUAUUGAUAACAAAUAAUGGAGAAUAAUGUGAGAUACGUAAAUGUCCCAGAGAGGUUAAAAGUUUUGCAACUUAGUAUAUCAAGAAUAAAUUGUUGAAUAAGAUUGAUAUCAAUACCAUCAUCCCUGAGAUUGCAUCUCGGAAUGUUAGACCCAAAUUUUGAGAUACAUAUAUAAAAAUUAUGUGAUUUUAAAUGCAUUUUAAGCGUUACACGACAACAUUUUUUACGUUUAUGAAUUUAUGUUAAAGGGUCCCGGGUUCUAGUUUCGCCCCGGAUCCCCGAAAUCUCAGGACCGGCCCUGGGUCCAAAUUCAAAUCACUAAAAGGUGCUUUUUAUAAAAAGGCUCAACUUCAACAGAUGAUCUAAAACGAAGAUGUAAAAAAAGAGCAUCUCCAAUAGAUGGUCCAAAACAAAGAUGCAAAACCGACCGACGGCCGCACGACUGCUAUUCAGCCACUUUACAGCCGCGGUUUUGCGUUCAAAUAUCACUUCAAAUUCGAAAUAAAGUGCAUCAUCAUCAUAGUUCAAAUCAUAACAAAAGUGCAUCACCAUCAUUAUAGUUUACAAUCCCUCUACCAAAAGUGCAACGUCCCAAUCAAAGUUUUUUGGCGUACAAAUUAAAAUACACAUGAAUAUCAUUCAUGCGGAACAUCAACACCAUCGACGUUGUGAACUGUGGUACGAUCGUCAUCAUACACAUUUCAUCGAACAUGUUGGAGGCGGUGGCCGUCGGCGUGGCCAAAUCUUCCUCCACGUCCGGCGGUGGCAGCGGUGGAGGUGGGGGAUGUUGGGGAACGUUGCAUGGGAAACAAAAAAAUUCUACGCACACGCAAUACCUGUCCAUGGUGAUGAUCAUCUACUAGAAGGGAGAGUGAAUCUACAUACCCUUAUAGAUCGCUAAGCGGAAGCGUAUAUAUUGCGGUUGAUGUAGUGGAACAUCUUCGCAAUCCAAAUCACAGCCCGUCCCACGAUCUCAUCACGAUUCGUCCCGCGAUCCCAUCACGAUCCUUCCCGAUCUAGUGUCGAACGGACGACACCUCCGCGUUCAGCACACGUACAGCUAGAUGAGGAUGUCCACCUUCUUGAUCGAGCAAGAGGGGACGGAGAGGUAGAUGAGUUCUCCAGCACGACGGCGUGGUGGUGGUGGUGGUACUAUUCCAGCACGGAUUCGCCUAAGCACCAUUGAAACUAGAGGAGAAAUAGAUCUAGAGAGAGAGGGCAACACGUGGCUGUUUUCUAUUUUUUUUCUAAAUCCCUCAAAACCCUUAGUAUAUAUAUAGUAGGAAAGGAGGGAGAGUGUUGCGCCCUAGGGCUGCCCUUUCUUCCCUUGCGCAAGGAGGAGAGGAGGAGUCCUCCUUCAAUCCUAGUAGGAGUAGGCUUCCUCCUUCCCAGUUGGAAACUCUUUCCACCUUGUGUUUUUUCCUUCUCAAACCUUAUGGGCCUUAGUGGAAACUUAUUCCAGCCCACUAGGGGCUGGUUUAUCUCUUCCCAUAUCCCAUGAGGCCCCUUGGGGUGUGACACCCCUGCCGAUGGUCUCCGGCACCCCUCACGGCACUCCCGGUACACUACCGAUCAGCUCGAAACUUUUCCGGUGAUCAAAACAUGACUUCCUAUAUAUCAAUCUUUACCUUCGGACCAUUUCAGAGCUGCUCGUGACGUCCUCGAUCUCAUCCAGGACUCCGAACAACCUUUGGUCACCAACACAUAUAACUCAACUAUACCGAACCUUAAGUGUGCAGACCCUGCGGGUUCGAGAACUAUGCAGACAUGACCUGAGACACUCUCCGGUCAAGAACCAAUAGCGGGACCUGGAUGUACAUAUUGGCUCCCACAUAUUCUACGAAGAUCUCUAUUGGUUGAACCUCUAUGUCAAGGAUUCAGUUAAUCCCGUAUGUUGUUCCCUUUGUCCUUCGGUAUGUUACUUGUUGGGUUACGUAGCAUAAAUUCAAAAUUUUCCUACGCAUAUUCAGAUCUUCCUAUGGAGAGACCAGCAACGAGAGAGGGGUAAGAGCAUCUUCAUACCUUUGAAGAUCGCUAAGCGGAAGGGUUGCUAGAACGCGGUUGAUGGAGUCGUACUCGCAGCGAUUCCGAUCUAGUGCCGAACUACGACACCUCCGCGUUCAACACACGUGCAACCUGGUGACGUCUCCCACACCUUGAUCCAGCAAGGAGGAGGGAGAGGUUGGGGAAGAACUCCAGCAGCACGCGGCGUGGUGUCGAUGGAGAGACGAGGUCUCCCGGCAGGACUUCGCCAAGCACCGGUAGAGAGGAGGAGAAAGAAGAGCAGGGCUGCGCCGAGGGAGAGGGAAAAGUCUAUCUCUCAAUGGCAAAAAGUGCCCGAUAUAUAUAGGGGGAGGGGAGAGGGGGUGCCACCCCUAGGGUUCCCACCCUAGGGGGUGCGGCAGCCCCCCAGAUGGGAGGUGCGGCGGCCAGAGGGGGGAGGAGGGGGUGGCGCACCAUCUGGUGGGCCUUAGGCCCACCUGGCUUAGGGUUUGCCCCCCCCCCUUUUCUCUCCCCUGCGCAUUGGGCUGAGUGGGGAGGCGCACCAGCCCACCUAGGGGUUGGUUCCCACCCCCACUUGGCCCACCUUACCUCCCGGGGUCGUUUCCCCCCUUCGGUGGUCCCGGUGGUCCCGGUGGUCCCACUAUGUUACCGGUGAUGCCCGAAACACUUCCGGUAUCCGAAACCAUCCGUCCUAUAUAUCAAUCUUUACCUCCGGACCAUUCCGGAGCUCCUCGUGACGUCCGGGAUCUCAUCCGGGACUCCGAACAUCUUUCGGUAACCUCGUAUAACAAUUCCCUAUAACCCUAGCAUCAUCGAACCUUAAGUGUGUAGACCCUAUGGGUUCGGGAGACAGGCAGACAUGACCGAGACACCUCUCUGGCCAAUAACCAUCAACGGGGUCUGGAUACCCAUGGUGGCUCCCACUUGCUCCACGAUGAUCUCAUCGGAUGAACCAUGAUGUCAAGGAUUCAAUCAAUCCCGUAUACGAUUCCCUUUGUUUGUCGGUAUAGAACUUGCCCGAGAUUCGAUCGUCGGUAUACCUAUACCUUGUUCAAUCUCGUUAACGGUAAGUCUCUUUACUCGUUUCGUAGCACGUCAUCGUGUGACUAACUCCUUAGUCACAUUGAGCUCAUGAUGAUGUUCUACCGAGUGGGCCCAGAGAUACCUCUCCGUCACACGGAGUGACAAAUCCCGAUCUCGAUUCGUACCAACCCAACAGACACUUUCGGAGGUACCCGUAGUGCACCUUUAUAGUCACCCAGUUACGUUGUGACGUUUGAUACACCCAAAGCACUCCUACGGUAUCCGGGAGUUGCACAAUCUCACGGUCGAAGGAAAAGAUACUUGACAUUAGGAAAGCUUUAGCAUAGGAACAAUGCGAUCUAGUGCUAUGCUUAGGAUUGGGUCUUGUCCAUCACAUCAUUCUCCUAAUGAUGUGAUCCCGUUAUCAAUGACAUCUAAUGCCCAUGAUCAGGAAACCAUGAUCAUCUAUUGACUAACGAGCUAGCCAACUAGAGGCUUGCUAGGGACACAUUGUGAUCUAUUUAUUCACACAUGUAUUACUGUUUCUUGUUAAUACAAUUAUAGCAUGAACAAUAGACGAUUAUCAUGAACAAGGAAAUAUGAUAAUAACCAUUUUAUUAUUGCCUCUAGGGCAUAUUUCCAACAUUACUUGCCCGAGAUUCGAUCGUCGGUAUCUUCAUACCUAGUUCAAUCUCGUCAUCGGCAAGUCUCUUUACUCAUUCCGCAAUAAAAGAUCCCGUAACUAACUCCUUAGUCACAUUGCUUGCAAGGCUUGUUGUGAUGUUGUAUUACUGAGUGGGCCCCGAGAUAUCUCUCCGUCACACGGAGUGACAAGUCCCAGUUUUGAUCCAUGCCAACCUAACAGACACCUGGAGAUACCUGUAGAGCACCUUUAUAGUCACCCAGUUACGUUGCGACGUUUGAUAGCCCACAAGGUAUUCCUCUGGUGUCCGGGAGUUGCAUGAUCUCAUGGUCAUAGGAACCGAUACAUUGACAUGGGGAAAACAGUAACAAUAAACUGACACGAUCAUUUGCUACGUUCAUAAUUUUGGGUCUUGUCCAUCACAUCAUUCUCCCAAUGAUGUGAUCCCGUUAUCAAGUGACAACACUUGUCUAUGGUCAGGAAACCUUGACCAUCUUUGAUCAAUGAGCUAGUCAACUAGAGGCUCACUAGGGACAGUGUGUUGUCUAUGUAUCCACACAUGUAUUUGAGUUUCCAAUCAAUACAAUUCCAGCAUGGAUAAUAAACGAUUAUCAUGAAUAAAGAAAUAUAAUAAUAACCAAUUUAUUAUUGCCUCUAGGUCAUAUUUCCAACAGAGGAAAGGCUCCUUGGCUGGUAGAGGACGUGGCCGGCCCUAGCUGCGAGUCAUCGGCCCGAGCCCGCCGGCUGCCUUUGAGUUUUUGCCCAGCCGUGAUUAGCCAACCGUUUUCAUGCCUUCGGCGCCUUCGCAGGAACCGUCGGUGCAGGGGCAACCGGCCGGGGCGGCGGACGGGUACGGUGACAUGGACGAGGCGGCAGAGGGCGAGUUCGCCGCAACCGUGGCGGCCGACGGGCGGGUCGUGGGCUGGCGGUCGCGAUGCGGGAGGUGAAUGAACUAGCGGUUAGGCGUUGGCGUGGGGACGCGGUUUUUACAUCACUUGUAUCUUGUGAUGUAAAUUUGCAUCAUGCAGUUUUCAUUUUUACAUCACCGGGAGGCCGCAAUUGAUUUUUUUACAUAUGGACCGUUUGUUGGAGCAUUGUUUUUUUCCCAAGACGAUCCAAAAUUUAGGUAUUUUUACAUUUGUAUCAUCUAUUGGAGAUGCUCUUACAAAGGGUUAACUCAACAAAAUAUUCUCUUUUGAGGGGUUAACCGCACCUAGCUGGACGCCUGGACUCCUAUCCGGCUAACUCCUUAAGUAUUUGAGGAGUUAAGCGUGAAAAACUUCUCAAGGCUCUCAUUUUUGAGUGGGCGAGACAAGUUAUCGGCAAAACACCCCCGCUUCCCAACUCCUUCUCGCGACGCAUCCGCUAAUCAGUGUCACAGUCAGAGCCAUCGGAUACCCCCAUUUCGACGGGAAUGACAUGGGAGGGCGCUUCCAUGUCAAGGAAGCACUCGGGACAAAUAGCGUGGUGAGAACCAUCGCACCGUCGAAAAAGGCAAGCCGUAAGGGUAUGCUUUCACGAAGACGAGAGGUUCCCCUCCAUUUGCUCCGGCUGGUGGCAAGCGAGUGAGGAAGCCACCAGUGGCCGACAAGACGCUUAACAAAGUGCCGGCAAAGAAAAGGAAGAAGAUGUGCACGUCGACGCCUUCUCUGUCAUAGCCCUUCUCCAGCAUCCCCUAUCACCUCCUCCUUUAGCGCGUUUGCCCGCGGCGGAGGUCUGCCAACUACUCGACAAAAUGUCAAAAUGCAUGUGGGGUAAUUUGUUUUUCUGCUGUGGAUAUUGGUAGUAAUGUUUUGCAGCGGAUAUCUUGGGACGUGCUUGUGGUUGUUUAUUUUAGUGUGGAGGAGCAGUUGCAAAUUUCAUGUCUCAAUUGGAUUCAUCACACAUAAUCAGCCUUGACGAUCUAGAUUACGAUGGUCCAAGGUAUGCUCAAGAAACAAGAGAGGGAGGAGGAUGAUCAAAAAGUGAAAGAGGUCAAUGAUCCCGUGGAGCCACAAUAAAGCAUUAUGAAGACGAUAUAGAGGGCAGUAGGGCGUUCAGUGGCACCAUACUAGUUGAGUCUCAUCCAAUUUCGUAUUCUAACCCUUCUUUUGACAUGAUUAACAUUUAUGAACAAUACGCGUGUGAGAUUCUUUCCUCUAAAUGGACAUACAAAGAACGUUGCAAUAAUAAUUUGCACUAAAAGAUACUAUAAAAUCAGGAACUGAAGAUGACAGAUUCCAACAAAAGUGUACCCCUUCUUGAAUAUAUAUAGUAACACUAUUCAUCAUCGAGGGUGUAGAAUGAGUUAUUCUUCAUCCGAAGUAAUCUUACGGUUGUUUCAUAAAUAAUUUUUUUUUUACAAAUAGUUAUAUGCAUAUUGUUUCAUUAUAUAAAAUUUGGCAUAAGAAAACAAUUAUAUAUGUCAGAAGACCAGAAAAAAUGCAUUUUAUGUGUAUUUUACACUAUAUUUUUACGUUUGUAACUUUAAAUAGCGUAAAAUAUUUUUAUGACGAUUUAAUAUUUUCUUUAGUUCCUUUUUUGGUAAAAAGUAAGAAAAAAAAGUACGAACAGUAAAAAUACGGUGCAUUGAUGGUAAAAUAGAGGGGACGAAGAAUAACUAUUCCUCACCUAGGAUGACGAAUAGCGCGACUAUUCGUCACAUCAAUGCACCAUAAUUUUAUGUUCUGUUUUUUCUUCAUACGUAAAAAGAGACCGUAACAAGAUAUAUAGUCAUUAUAAAAAAUAUUUUAUGUCACCUAAAAUUACAAACAUAAAAACAUAGUGUAAAAUAUACAUGAAAUGUGAUUUUUUGAUCUUAUGACCUCUAUUUUUAAUUUUUUACAUCAAAUUUUACGUAAUGGAUCAACAUUAAUGAAACUAUUGGUAUUACAAAUGUAAUAUAUGUAUGAAACGGUCGUAAGAUUACCUGGGUGAGGAAUAACUUAUUUUGCACCCUCGGUGAAUCAUUAUUCAGGAUGCAGAAUAGUUUAUUCUUCAUCCGAGAUAUUUGUACGAUCAAUUUACUAAUAAAUUAAGUUUCAAAUACAAAUAAUUAAAUUUAUAUUGAAUCACUAUGUAAAAUUUGACAAAAUCAAAACAAAAGUAUAGGUCACAAGACUAGAAAAAUUUGAAUUUAUUGUAUUUUUUGCACUAUUUUUGUAUGUUCGUAAUUUUACGUGACAUAAAAUAUUUUUACGUUGAUUAUAUUUUUUUUACUGUCUCUUUUUAUGUAUAAAAUAAGACAAAAUUUACGGAACGUAAAAUUACGGUGCAUUGAUGUUAAAAUUAUGGUGAAUUGAUGUUAAAAUUAUAUAUAUACUAGAUUCAUGCAUGUCAGUAAAAUUUAGCGGCACCGUUCUCGUCGUCACCUAUAUUGUUAAGUGGACUAGUUGGACCAUCGCAAUGACGUGUUGGGUCACCCUUGACACGUGUCAGUGGCAUCUCGAACAUGUUGAGAUAUUCGCCUGCUGUCAGUCGGUGGCCACCACCACUCGAGAACAUUUGUGGCGGGUGUCGAGGGCUUAAGUGAUGUGGUCGUGUGGCAAUAGUUUUUUUUAUAGUGAAGUGAGGCGAUCACACACAGGAAAGAGUGGGGUGCAUGUGGGGGAGAAGACGAUAUGGCAACUAUUGAGUUUAGUCCAUAUUGAUUGUGGGAGCAGGCAUAACAGAAUUUAUAAGGGUGUGGGUGUCCCCUCCUAUCACGCAAGCUUUCUUUUUAAACGAAGGGUCCAAGCCCUGAAUUAAGUCUGUGUUCCUCUCUGGUUGGGCCUGGUUACCGCGCUGAGACGCUCGUGGAGGAUGUGGGUCAUGGUAGUUUGGUGGUUCAGAGGAAGAGGAUGAACAAUAAUGAUUUUUGAGGUUGAAGAAGAUGAUCUGGCCAUCCGUAUUGAAUCCAACGGCUCACAACGAUUCGACUGGCCCAAAUUCGAUUUUCGGUCACGUGACAUCUAUCGAUUCCCAUCAUUUUGCACUAAGUGAUGGACUAUGAUUUGCUCAACCAGUCCACUAAACCCAUGCAAUUUAUACACGGCUAGUUACUUUCAAGCCGGCUUAGGUAGCUAGACAUAUUUUUUCUUGUAAUAAAGGAAUACAUUAAUGUCACUACAAGAAAUAUGCCAACUUGUGACAUUCUCUUGGAGACCGUGAAUGAAUUGGUCGUAAGUCUACGACCAUUUUGAUCGAAUUGGUCAUAAGCUAUUUUAGAGGGUUCAAACCCUCAACCAUAACGACCAUUUUUAGGGGAAAGGUCGCAAUUGCCUGGCAUGAAAUGGUCGUAAAGCAGACAACUAGGAUUGACAACCUUAUUUUUAGCAGAAGACGACCAAUCUAGAUGGCCAUAACCAUGUAAAUUGCGGUGUGUUGCUAUGACCGGGCGCCACCUCAUCAAUUUCGCUUGUGUGUCAUGUAUAUGUGUCAUGUUUAUGUGUUAAUUUACGCUUACUUGUCUAGAUCAAAUAUACCAAUGAUGGGUGGAACCCAUGCAUUGACUGGUUAACCUACACCUCAGACCCACCACCACCUUACACGCUGGACCCAGUACAUCUCGGACCCAACACCAACAUACACGUCGGACCCACCCUAUCAUGGGUCCCACCAACCUGACAUGAAAGACCCACCAUUGAACUGACUUGUUGCCCCACCACGGAUGUGACAUGGAGGCUAAACCGGAGAUAGUAGAAAAAUAGGAAAGAAAUAUGCGUUGAUGGGAUUCGAACCCGUGACGCCCUAAGAGCAAGUUCAGGAGUUCCCCCAUACCUUCCCUGGUCAUUUUUUUAAGGGAGAAAGGCAAAAAAACUGCCUCCAACAGUGCCCCGAUCUACUCCGGAUAUUUUGGCCUCCCCGAAAACGUUUCCUCUCUCCCCUCUAUCUAGGGGAACGAGGACCUCCCCGAUCCCCUCCCCGACAUGCCGAGCGAAGCAACUGCCGGCUCCGAAAAGCUCCCUCCCGCCACCACCCCGCCGCCACCACCGCAUUGCAGGUUCGUUCCCUCCUUUGUUUUCUCUCAGAUCUCGGCAAAAAAUAAUAAUCUAGGCUAGGGAGUAAUGGUGAUGUUGGAGAGUGAUGCAGGGGUGCGCAGUCGCCGUGUGAGGAUGGGGAGGCGCUGGAAGGGAGGAGCUGGGCGUUGUUGCUAGAGAUUUGGGCGCUGCUGCUUGCUAGAGUUUUUGCUACCGCUUUGCUAGAGAGAACAGAGAGAGAGAGAGCAGAGAUAUGAGAGAUUGGGAGAUGCACUGUUUGCUGAACAUUAAUUCAGAUAUACAAUGCUUCUUUUUAUAUAUAGAUCAGAGAGAUAACUUGUUGAUUGCUAUAGAUCAGUGAGCUAUUGUACUGCUGAUUGCUGCACAUUUAGAUAUAGAUCACAGAGAUUGCUUGCUACUGAUUUCGGUUGCUAUUGCUAGUAAUUUGCUAGUGAUUGCUGCUGCUAUUUGCUUUCAUUUGUAUUUGCUACUGAUUGCUCCAAGUUAUUUGCUACUCGGAGAUAAAUUUACAUAUCAAUUUGCGAUUGCUUGCUGCAAGUUAUUUCCUACUAGGAGAUGACAUUUAAAUAGCUAUUUGUGACUGCUUGCUGCUAGUUAUUUUCUACUGGUUGUUGAACAUCUAUAUGAUGUAUGGUUUGUUUGUUUUGUUUCAUAUUUUCAUAAUGGACGGUCAGAGUUAUUUGAUCUUUUGCAAAGUGAUGUCGGCUUGAAUGAUUUGCACUGGACUGAAGAAGAACAAAUCGACCUCGAAAAGAAUGAAGAAAAACAAAUUGAUCUUGAAGGGCCUAAAUAAACUAGUCGUUGGUAGUUAUGAAAUAUUCUUAAAAUAUAGAAUAAGGGAGAUGUUUAGGGGAACUAGUGGAGUUGAGCAAUCUUUAGGGGAGAAUCUUUGUAAGUUAGUCCCCUGUUUUGAGAUAUAGGGGAGAAAUUUUUGGGAAACUGUUGGACUUCCCCUAAGAAAACACGGUGGUUUCUUACCACCACGCCACCACCCAAGUAACGAUACGAAACUCCACUCGCUACUUUUAUACGAAACAGUCGCUUCCUGGGCUUGGGCCUAAAUCAUGAGAGAUCUCCCCUUCGCUCCUUCUUUUUCCCCUUUAGCAUUAUGGUCCAUCGAGUGGCACUAUAACAAAUGUGAUAAUCUAUGAUGCACAUUCUGUGACGAUUCAAUGUAAAAACGUGAGGGAAUCAUCUAAAUUUCAAAAAAUAUGACGUUUUUUCACAGAAUCGUCACAAAAUGAGCGUCUUAGAUUAUCGCAUUUGUUGUAGUGUGGGCCAACGGCCCAUGGCCUAUUAGAAGAUCUUUUCUCGUGGGAAAUGUGUGUUUUUUUGUUUUUUUUCUUCUUUACAAUAUUUCGUGAUUUCAGAAAAUCUCCACACAUUUAAAAAAUUUAUUUUGGAAAAAUGCUCGUGAAAUCAUGAAAUGUUCGUCCAUUAAAUAUGUUCAUGAUUUUUGAAAAAUUUGCGUAUUGAAAUAAUGUUCACGGAUUUGACAAACAAAUGGGAAUUCAAAAAAUCAUCACAAUUUUUUCAUAAAAUGUUCAUUGACGUGAAGGUUUAGAUUUUUUUUAUUUUCUUAUUUUAUACCGAUUUUAAAACCAGGUCACAUAUAAUGAUAGAAUACAAAGGCUUUCCAUAUUUUUUGACACAAUGCAAAUGUUCCUUUUUUACAUGGAACCAUUUGGAAAUUUGUACAUGAAAUGUGGUCUAAUAAUUUCGAAAAUGUUCCGGUAUAGUUUUACAACAAAUAUUUGGUAGUUUCUUCACAAAAAGAACUCAUUUUGUGCACUUAAAAAAUCAAAAUUCCCUUUGGCAACAUUGUUUGCCAUUGCAAGAUGCACCCUUGAAACACAUAAAACUUCACACAACAUAGUUCAUUUCUGAGAAGACUUUUAAAAGGUAUUUAUCGUAGUCCAAAUUUUUUAUUUCUCCUCAAAACAAGAUCACAUAUGAUGACACAAUGCGAAGGUUUCCAAUUAUUUUAACUCUUUUUUCUAAUUUCUUAUGUCCGUUUUAAAAUGCGGUCAAAACGACGGGCAUGAUCGUUCGUAGCUAGGGGUUGAAUCUUGGAAAAACUUUUGGUGUCUUUGAUAAAACCUAUAGUUAUGUACCUAUAGUUCAAAGUUGACCCACUUCUUGCAGAAUCGACCGAAAUUUGUAGUUCAAACUUGACCCGCUUCUUGCUGAAUCUAUCGAAAUUUGUCUUUUUCAUGAGAAGUGACUAAAAAAACUCACUUUAGUCACUCGAAUAAUGCAAAAUGAAUUUACCGUCCAAAGAAAAUGAAAACUUUCUUAGGCAACAUUGUUUGCCAUUCCAAAAUGCACGAUAUUAGAUCAUUUGAAUAAACUAUACAUGAAUGUGGCCAUAAGAUUGAUCAUUUGACUUCAAAGCCAUGAAUCUUCAUACAUGAUAACUCAUUUUUUAGAACACAUUUAAAAAAUAUUUACCUUAUUAUAAUUUUAUUAUUUUUCCUAAUAACUUGGUCACGUAUAAUUAGACAAUGCGAAGGUUUUUCAAUUUUUUGAUUUGUUUUUGAAUUUUUCAAGCCCAUUUCAAAAUGUAGUCAAAACGUCGGGCACGAUCGUUCCUAUCUAGUGGUUGAAUCUUGAAAAACUUCUAAUGUUUCUAUGGUUAAAUAGAUACUUGUUUACCUAGAAAUGAUUUUUGGAAAAAAUAAAGAACAAACUAUGACUCAGCCGCCGUUCAAACUUGACCCGCUUUUUACUAAAUUGGCCGAAAUUUAUCCUUUUCACAAGAUGUGGCUUAAAACUUUUGACACUCAACCAUUUGGUCAAUUGUACAUUAAAAAUGUCCUAAUAUUUUAAAAAAUUGAUUUGGUCCAAAAUUGCCACAAUUAUAUGCUAGACCCUUCAUAAAAAACUCAUUUUAGUCACUUGAAAAAUGGAAAAUAAACUGUUCGUUCAAAAAAAAUAGAAAACUUCGUUACACAACAUUGUUUGCCAUUACAAAAUGCACCAUUUUGCACAAUAUUAGAUCAUUUGAACAAGUUAUGCCAUGAAUGUGGCCGUAAGAUUGAUCAUUUGGUUUGAAAGCCUUGAAUCUUCACAAAUGGUAACUCAUUUCCGAGAAUACUUUUUUUAAAAUAAUUUUCGUAUUAUAAUUUUAUUGUUUUUCCUCGUAACUUGGUCACAUUUAAUGACACAAUGGGAAGGUUUUCCAAUUUUUUUAUUUUUUUUAAAUUUUCAUGCCCGUUUCAAAAUGCAGUCAAAACAACGGGCAUGACCGUUCCUAUCUAGUGGUUGAAUCUUGGAAAAGUUUUGAUGUUUCUCUCAUUAAAUAUAUACUUAUGUAUCUAGAAAUGAUUUUUGAAAAAAAUAAAGAGCAAACUACGAGGCAACUGCAGUUCGAAUUUGUCGCGCUUCCAACUAAAUCAGCGGAAAUUUGUCUUUUUCACGAGAGUUGAUCAAAAGUUUUGACACUCAACCAUUUGGUCAAUUGUACAUUAAAUAUGGCCUAAGAUUUUAUUAAAUUGAUUUAGUCCAAAUUUGCAACAAAUAUUUGUUAGGUUCUCCAGAAAAGAACUUCAUUUUGGGCACUUGAAAAAUGGACGAGAGGUGGACGAAAAACUUUUAAGAAGGAAGUAUUUGGUCAAUUUGUACAUAAAACACGGUCGAAUAUUUUUUAAAAUUGUUGCGGUCCAAUUUUUUAACUAAUAUUUGAUAGGUUAUUCACAUAGGUGAAAACAAAAAAGAGAAAGACAAAGAAAGAAAACACAUUUACAUAAGCUUAAUUCUCGUUGGUGGAGAUGUUUGUGCCAUGGAUUGAUGACAUGGCACACAUCCAUCCAUAUAUCCAUCCACCCGCAGCCCAAACCCUAACUCCAAUACUCCCAUCGGUCCCCUCCCCCUCUCCCCCGAUUCAGAUCCAGUCCUCGCUGCCGCCACCUACCUCAAGCCGAUCCUGUCGUCCAUGCCCGCGCGCCAUCACCCGCUCCGCGACCACCACCCGCUCCUCCUUGCCUCCCGGAGGACGCAGACCCCACGUCGCUCUUCCUCCGCCCGCCAACCCACCCCGUCCUGGAGGCCUCACUAGCUUCCUUCCGUCGCAGGGUCACCGCGCUCAUCGCGCCCUCGGUACGCACCUCCACCGCCAUCUUUGCUGGCUCCUCGCCUCCGCCUCCGCCCCCGCUAAUUCCCCGCCCAGCGGCUACCCGGUGGCGCUCCACCUCCUUCGUGCGCCACUCGAUGAGCUCGAGGCCCUGUGGCUAUGCCAUGUUUGGGACAGGUGCCCGUUCCAGUACGUGGUCGGGAACGAGCACUGGAAGGACCUGGUGGUCGCCAUUCGGGACAGUGUACUCAUCGCACGGCCGAAGGCGGAGGCCGUCGUGGACAUGGUCACCACCAUCGAUUGCGAGCUGGAGUCCUGGGCCUUCCCCUCAUCAUCCUCGGCGGCGACAUGUGGAUGAGCCACCGGACGAUAAGCAGCAGAUCAUGUUUGCGCUGACCUCCAUCAAGGGUGUGGGCCGCCACUUCUCCAACAUCAUCUGCAAGAAUGCCGAGAUCGACAUGAACAAGAGGUGAGGAACCGUCCCCCUUUCUCGCCAGAUCUCGUCGUGGUGGGUGGGGGAUGAGUCGUGCACUGUCUUCUGUGUGGUGUGCGGGGCUGAAAAGCUUUCCGCUAAGGAGAUGGUUGUAUGAUGGCGGUGGUGCACAAUUCACGUCAGUUCAAGGUGUUGGACUGGUUCCUGAACAGGAAGAAGGACUAAAAGAAUGGGAGUUUCUCCCAGUUCAUCUCCAAAGCCACCGAAUUGAAGCUCAGGGAUGACCUUGAGAGGCUCAAGAAGAUAACGUAUAAACUCGUCCCCCCUUGUUUGUUUUUGCUUCAUACUGUUGGCUGAUUGAUCGGUGAUUAGGUGCUAGGUUCAACUUGUUAUGAUCCUGUUAACUAACAUCUUGCACAUGCUUUAGUGGUAGAAGUAGUUGAUAUCUCAUCCAAUACUUUACAACCUAGUCUUGGGAUUCACAUAGUGGGUUUCUGGAAGGAGAUCUCCAAACAUUAGAAUGCCUGAAAUGCGUUUAUUCUGUUGUUCUUGAUGGGCGUAGUGUUGUUCUGGUAGGAUGUACUAACUUCAUGUGCUUUAUUCUAUACUCGUUUAUACACACAACAAUGUGGCUAGAGUUUGAUUUUCAGUCGGUAUAGUCUGCUUAUGUGAUACGUCUCCAACGUAUGCAUAAUUUUUGAUGGUUCCAUGCUAUUAUCUUGUCAUCUUUGGAUGUUUUGUAUGCAUGAAUAUGCUAUUUUAUAUCUUUUUUGGGACUAACCUAUUAACUUAGUGCCAAGUGCCAGUUCUUGUGUUUUCUGUGUUUUGACCUUUUUGAGAGGAGAAUAUUGAACGGAGUCCAAAUGGAAUAAAACCUGCGGAAUGAUUUUUUCCAUAAUAGAAGACAUGCAGGAGACUUGAGAACAAAGGAAUGGGAGCUCGGAGGAUGUCACAAGCCACCCAGGCCCGACCUAGGGGGGGCCUAGCAGGCUUGUGGGCCCCCUGUGGCUCCCCUGCCCUAGUUCUUCCGCCUAUAGAUUCCUUAAAAAUCUGAAACCACGGAAGAGAGCCACGAAAAUACUUUUCCGCCGCCGCAAUCUUCUGUCUUCGCAAGAUCCCAUCCGGGGCACGUUCUGGUGCCCUGUAGGAGGGGGGAUUCGAACACGGAGGGCUUCUUCAUCAACACCAUUGCCUCUCCGAUGAUGCGUGAGUAGUUCACCACAGACCUUUGGGUCCAUAGCUAGUAGCUAGAUGGCUUCUUCUCUCUCUUGGAUCUUCAAUACAAAGUUCUCCAUGAUCUUCAUGGAGAUCUAUCCGAUGUAAUCUUAUUUUGCGGUGUGUUUGUCGAGAUCCGAUGAAUUGUGGAUUUAUGAUCAGAUUAUCUAUGAAUGUUAUUUGAGUCUCCUCUGAUCUCUUAUAUGCAUGAUUUUGUAUCCUUGUAAUUCUCUUCGAGUUGUGGGUUUAGUUUGGCCAACUUGAUCUAUAGUUCCUGCAAUGGGAGAACUGCUUGGUUUUGGGUUCAUACCGUGCGGUGAUCUCACCCAGUGACAGAAGGGGUAGCGAGGCACAUAUCGUGUUGUUGCCAUCAAGGGUAAAAUAUGGGGUUUAUAUCUAUUGCAUGAAUUUAUCCCUCUACAUCAUGUCAUCUUGCUUAAGGCGUUACUCCGUUUGUCAUGAACUUAAUACACUAGAUGCAUGCUGGAUAGUGGUUGAUGUGUGGAGUAAUAAUAGUAGAUGCAGAAAGUAUCGGUCUACUUGUCUCGGACAUGAUGCCUAUAUGUAUGAUCAUUGCCUUAGAUAUCAUCAUGACUUUGCGCGGUUCUAUCAAUUGCUCGAUAGUAAUUCGUUCACCCACCGUAAUACUUGCUAUCAUGAGAGAAGCCUCUAGUGAACACUAUGGCCCCCGGGUCUACUUCACAUCAUAUUUUCAGCUUUACACUUUUAGUUUGUUGCACUUUCCACCUUCAGAUCUCACCUUCUAGUUAACCGUGAAGGGAUUGACAACCCCUUUGUAGCGUUGGGUGCAAGUUUGCUUGUUUUUGCGCAGGUACUUUGGAGACUUGCCUUGAUAGUCCUACUGGAUUGAUACCUUGGUUCUCAAACUGAGGGAAAUACUUACUGCUACUGCGCUGCAUAACCCUUUACUCUUCAAGGGAAAAACCAACGCAAGAUCAAGAGGUAGCAUUAUGUUACUCUUUGGUUGGAGGCAAUUAGAAUGUUGUAGGUUUAGUAUGAACGUGUCUUAAUCCAUUGGAUGCCCUUGGCUAGUUUAGUUGGUAUCUAAUCUAAAAUAAUUUAUUUUCCCAUUUUUUGUUUCCUUGCUAGACAUGUCAUGGUACAAGUGCCGGUGCCGAUGUUUACUACCCCCGCCGUAAAGAAAUAUAAGAGCGUUUAGAUCACUACUUUAGUGAUCUAAAUUCUCUUAUAUUUCUUUACACAGGGAGUACAUGGUAUUAUUGUUAGCUAUAUAUAUACCUCAUACGUCUCCAUCGUAUCUUCUUUUCCAAACUCUUUUGCCCUUGUUUUGGACUCUAAUUAGCAUGAUUUGAGUGGAUCUAACCCGGACUAACGAUGUUUUCACCACAACUGCCAUGGUGUUGUUUUUGUGUAAAAAUAAAAGUUCUCGCAAUGACCGGGAAACUUAUGAGGAUUUUUUGUGGAAUAUAUAAAAAAUAUUGGCGGAAGAAUUACCUGAAGACAUGGAGCCAGGGGCCCACAAGCCCAGGAGGUGCACCCCCCUAGGGCGGGCCUGGCAGGCUUGUGGGGCCCACGUAGCUCCGCAGCCUCCAACUCCAACUCUAUAAAGUCUCUCUUGCCUAGGAAAAAUUAAGAGAGAAGAGUUCAUCGCGUUUCACGACACGGGGCCGCCGCCACCACCUGUUCUUCCUCGGGAGGGCAGAUCUGGAGUCCGAUCUGGGCUCCGGAGAGGGGAAAUCGACGUCGUCGUCAUCGCCAACCAUCCUUCAUCGCCAAUUCCAUGACGCUCUUCACCGUUCGUGAGUAAUCUCAUCAUAGGCUUGCUGGAUGGUGAUGGGUUGGAUGAGAUCUAUCAUGUAAUCGAGUUAGUUUUGAUGGGGUUUGAUCCCUAGUAUCCACUAUGUUCUAAGAUUGAUGUUGCUACUACUUUGCUAUGCUUAAUGCUUGUCACUAGGGCCCGAGUGCCAUGAUUUCAGAUCUGAACCUAUUAUGUUUUCAUCAAUAUAUGUGUGUUCUUGAUCCUAUAUUGCAAGUUGUAGUCACCUACUAUGUGUUAUGACCCGACAACCCCGGAGCGACAAUAGCCGGAACCACUUCCGGAGAUGGCCAUAGUAUGAGGAGUUCAUGUAUUCACUAUGUGCUAAUGCUUUGUUCCGGUUCUCUAUUAAAAGGAGACCUUAAUAUCCCUUAGUUUCCGUUAGUACACCGCUGCCACGGGAGGGAUGGACAAAAGAUGUCAUGCAAGUUCUUUUCCAUAAGCACGUAUGACUAAAUACAGAAUACAUGCCUACAUUACAUUGAUGAACUGGAGCUAGUUACAUAUCACCCUAUGUUAUAACUAUUACAUGAUGAAUGUCAUCCGACAUAAUUAUCCAUCACCGAUCCAAUACCUACGAGCUUUUCCUAUACCGGUCCAUGCUAAAUUACUUUACCGCUACUGCUGUCACUACGGCUGCUGUUACUGCUGCUACCGUUACUAUCACACUACUUUUCUACUAAAACUUUGCUGCAGAUACUAAGUCUUGCAGGUCUGGUUGAAUUGACAACUCAACUGCUAAUACUCAAGAAUAUUCUUUGGCUUCCCUUGUGUCUAAUCAAUAAAUUUGGGUUGAAUACUGUACCCUCGAAAAUUGUUGCGAUCCCCUAUACUUGUGGGUUAUCAAGACCUUUUUGUGGCACCGUCGCCGGGGAGCAUAGCUCUAUUCUCUGAGUCACUUGGGAUUUACGUCUGUUGAUCACUAUGAGGAAUCCGAGAGAUCCAAAAACUAAAGUCUUGCCCUCAACUACGAGGACAGGUAAGGAACUGCCAUCUAGCUCUGCACUUGAUUCACCUUCAGUUAUGAGUAAAUUUGCGACACCACCAACUAUUGGUAAUUCUGAUAUGUCGCAUGUGCUUGAUGAUGCUGCUUCUGCUAUCCAUGAUUCUUAUGAUGAUGCUUUGCUUGAUAAUGAGAUGACACUAGGUGCAUUUCUUGAUGCACAAAUUGCUAGAGUUACUGAUGAAUGUGAUGAUACUUCUGAAACUGAUGAAAUUAUUGAAGUGGAACCUGCUGUUACACCUGUUAGACCUAGCUCUCCCAGAUAUGAAUUGCCUGAUAUACCUAAGGGUUAUGUUAUGGAGGGAGAGGUAGCUGAAGGCUUUCUUGCUUGUAAGGAUAGCUAUGAUCUUGAGAAUUUAUUACGUAAGUGGAAAGAAAAAUCUCUGAAUGCUUGAAUGAAAUAUGAUCCUAAGUUUGCUACUUCGCCCAUCUUUGUUACUGAUAAGGAUUAUGAAUUCUCUGUUAAUCACUUUGGUUGAAUCUGAUCCUUUUCAUGGUUAUGAGUCUGAAACGGUUGUAGCACAUCUUAGCAAACUGAAUGAUAUAGCCACCCUAUUCACGAAUGAGGAAAAAAAGUUCUCCAUUACUAUAUCCUUAAGUUGUUUCCUUUCUCACUAAAGGGUGAUGCUAAAACUUGGUUUACUUCUCUUUCUCCUGGUUGUGUGCGUAGUCCCCAGGAUAUGAUAUACUACUUCUCUGAGAAAUAUUUUCCUGCCCAUAAGAAACAAGCUGCCUUAAAGGAUAUAUAUAACUUUGUGCAAGUUGAAGAAGAGAGUCUCCCACAAGCUUGGGGGGGGGGGCUUGUCCAGUUACUGAAUGCUUUGCCUGAUCACCCUCUUGAGAAAAAUGAAAUACUUGAUAUCUUUUAUAAUGGACUAACCGAUGCUUCUAGGGAUCACCUAGAUAGUUGUGUUGGUUGUGUUUUCAGGGAAAGAACUAUGGAACAAGCUGAAAUUCUAUUGAAUAAUAGCUUGAGCAAUGAUAAUGCUUGGACUAUUCCCGAACCACCUCCGAAGCCAAGAGGUAUUCUAUUCCUCAGUCCUGAAGAUAUGCAAGAAGCCAAGAAAUCUAUGCAAGAGAAAGGUAUUAAAUCUGAAGAUGUUAAGAAACUACCACCUAUUGAAGAAAUACAUGGUCUUGAUAACCCGACACAGGUAGUAGAGGUAAAUUCUCUUCGUAGAUUCAAUGAGAGUGAUAUUCCAUAUGAUAAACCUGCUAGCUUAUGCUUAGAUGAAUUUGAUAACUUUGUUGUCAAACAACAAAGUUUUAAUGAUUAUGUUAGCAGACAAUUGAAACAAAAUGCUCGUAUGAUUAAUCAUAUAAGUGCUUGUGUGGAUAGAAAUGUCAAUGAUCUUAAGCUUUUGGGAAAACAUGCUUCUAUGGUCACUACUCAAGUAGAACAAGUACUUAAGGCUCAAAAUGACUUGCUUAAUGAGUUGAAUGACAAUUCUGUUAGAGUUGUCACUAGAGGUUGUAGAAUGACUCAGGAACCUUUGUAGCCUGAGGGCCAUCCUAAGAGAAUUGAACAAGAUUCUCAAGGAGUUAACACUCAUGCACCUAGUCAUCCUGGUAACAGGAAGAAAAUAAAGAUGAUAGGAACUUGCAUGCUAGCAAACCUGUUGCCGUUACACCCGAGAAUCCAAAUGAUGUCUCUAUUUGUGAUGCCGAAACACAAUCUGGUGAUGAACAUGAGCCUAGUGAUAAUAUUGAUAAUGGUGUUCAUGUUGAUACUCAACCUAGUAAUGAUAAGGAUGUGGAGAUUGAACCUGUUGUUGAUCUUGAUAACCCACAACCUAAGAACAAGCUAUAUGAUAAGAACGACUUUAUUGCUAGGAAGCAUGGUAAAGAAAGAGAACCAUGGGUUCAGAAACCCAUGCCCUUUCCUCCCAAACCAUCCAAGAAAAAGGAUGAUGAGGAUUUUGAGUGCUUUUUUGAAAUGAUUAGACCUGUCUUUUUGCAAAUGUGUUUGGCUGAUAUGCUUAAAAUGUCUCCUUAUGCUAAGUACAUGAAAGAUAUCGUGACUAAUAAAAGGAAGAUACCUGAGGUUGAGAUUUCCACCAUGCUUGCUAAUUACACCUUCAAGGGUGGGACUCCUAAGAAACUAGGUGAUCCCGGAGUGCCCACUAUACCUUGCUCCAAUAAAGGAAAUUAUGUUAGAACUGCUUUAUGCGACCUUGGAGCCGGUGUUAGUGUUAUGCCUCUCUCUUUAUAUCGCAGACUUGAAUUGGAUAAGUUGACACCUACUGAAAUGUCUUUGCAAAUGGACGACAAAUCAACUGGUUUUCCUAUCGGCAUUUGCGAGGAUGUGCUUGUUGUGGUUGCGAACGUUACUAUCUUAACGGACUGUGUUAUUCUGGAUAUUCCCGAGGAUGAUGCCAUGUCGGUCAUCCUUGGAAGAUCCUUUCUAAACACUGCAGGGGCUGUUAUUAAUUGCAACAAAGGCAAUGUCACUUUCCAUGUUAAUGGUAAUGAGCACAUGGUGCACUUUCCGAAGAAACAAUAUCGAGUUCAUUUCAUCAAUGCUAUUGAAAAAUCUUCAUCCAUUAUUAUUGGAGGCUUUGAUUGCCCUAUACCUACUAUCAAGAUGAAAUAUGAUUUACUUGUUGGGGAUAUGCACAUCCCCGUUGAGGUAACCUAGUGAUUAUUCGAAAAUUCUCCGUUUUUAUGUGUUUCGAAAAAAGUUUGUCAAGGAGACUUGAUCAACCUCAUUGACGGAUUUCUGUUGAUGACCAUGAGAUGGAUGAAUCUAGGAGUCACAACCUUCUGUUCCCAACUUUUACUUUCUGUUGUUUAGAAGAAAAAUAAUAAUUUUAGCUUUAUUUUCCUAUUUUCCGCGUUUUCCGUUCAAUAGAAAAGUGACCCGAAAAUAAAAGUUCUCCAAAUGCCCUGAAAUUCAAGUAUGAUUUUUUCUGGAAUAUUUGAAAAUUUCUGAGAUAGAUAACUAGUCACGGGGAUGCACCAGUGGGCCACAAGCCCAGGAGGCGCGCCCACCCCCCUGGGCGCGCCUGGCAGGCUUGUGGGUCCCACAUGACCCCCCUCCACUUAUUCCAGCUCCCAUCUCCUUCGUCUACCUCCAGAAAAAUUAUUCCACUGCUCAAACCCGUGUUCUUGCUCUUUGUGCUGCAUUUUUCAAUCUCCUUGUGCAAAGCUCCAUACACCAAACUGUUUUGGGGAAUUUUUCCUUGGUAUGUGACUCCUCCAUCGAUCCAAUUAGUUUUUGUUCUAGUGCUUUAUUCGUUGCAUAUUUUUGCUGCCUUGGUGACCCCGUUCUUGAGCUUUGCAUGUUAAUUUUAGUUGGUCCCAAGUAGUUUUGAUGCAUGAUAUGGCCUCUAGGAACUUGUAGGAGUAGUUGCUAUGAGUUUUGUUGAGCCUUGUUCACUUUUCUUUUGAGUCACUAAAAAUUUCAAAAAAAGAAGAUGUUCACGAAAAACUAUCAUGGUGGUUCCUCAAGCAAAAGGGGUCCCCGUCUCACGAUUCGGGAGCCCGAUCCUUAUCAGCCGAGGAACGCACAGGUGCAACCAUGUGAAUGGCCUUCCGAUGACUUUAUGAUUGAUGCAGGUUUCAAGGACGAGUUUGAUACUUUUGUUCACAACGCCGGGCUCAAAGAAUUCAUCUCCAAUAAAUGUGAACAGUAUACUACACUCACCGCCUCUUUUGUUCGUAGAUUCAAAUUUUCAGUUGGCCGUGACACAUCCAUACUGUUUGAUCUUUAUGAAAAAUCGUAUACCAUGGAUUUAGAGGAUUUUAAUAGAAUUUGCAAGAUACUUGAUUGGGGUAGUCCCAAUGACCCUCCUAAAUAUUUGGUUAGAGAUUUUAUUUCUAGUAUAAUUGUUGGAGAAACUAGAGAUAUUACGCAGGCUACCAUGGGGAGCAUUCAUUUUCCUGCCUUACAUUAUUUUGCCCUCUUCAUAGGUAUAUGCAUUAACGGCAAGCAUGAGCAUAGUCACCUCUGCGCACCUAACCUUAGUAUUCUUAAGAGCGCAGUAACGAGUGAUAGAAGUUUCAACAUGGGAGCUAUAAUUGCGAGGAGGCUAAAUAGUAAUGCUAAUGAAGGGGAUUUCUUUGGUGGGAUCUAUGCCACUCGCAUAGGAAAUUUUCUUCGAAUACCCAUCCGCACAGGAGAUCCCCCGGUCCAUACAGCUUUCCUUGAUCACGCCGCUAUGAGACAUUAUCAGUUCCUUGAGAGGGAUAAUGAAUCCCUCCUAUACCGGUUAAUAUUUAACUGACAACGCGUUUUCCAUAUUACCCUUCCUGCUCCUGCCUUCUUUGACUUUCAGGGAAAACAGAGAUAUUACAUAACCAGAGGAGAGGCAGAGGAGUAUGAGAGGGAGGUGAAGGUUGCUCGCCUCCGUGAGGCAGCUAUUCAGGCGGUAGCUGCCACGUUCCCGUACAACCCCCAUUAUGAUUUUGGAUAUCGCCCGGACCAGCCGUGGGAGUAGACCAACUUAGGCCAAAAUCCUAAGCUUGGGGAGUACGUGUCUCUCACCGACUUUAUAUUCAUGCUCACACAUUCACUUUGAUAGUCGGUGUUCACACUUUGCCAUUGUAUCAUCCAUGCUAGUUUAUUUCUUUUUCUCGCUUUCUUCUUGUGUGUAAGAAAAAUUAGUUGUAAGUUUACUUUCCAGCUUGCUUAGUGGUAAUUAAAAAGAAAACCCAAAAAGAUUUCCCGUUCUUCUUUUUCUUGUUGGGAGCUUUUCCGUGUAAAUAGUUUUCUUUUUCUUUGGGUCAAGGUAGAAUAUCAUGAUUAAAAUGUUUAGUGGCUCUCAUAUGCAUAAUUGUUUAUCCGUCAGAGAGCCCGUAUUACUUUGUCUUCUCCUCUAAGUUUGCUUGCAGAUUCCAGCUUAGUCCAAUGCAGGAACACUCUCAUUAUUAUUCACUUCAUUCGGUCGUGCAAGUGAAAGGCAAUAAUGACGAUAUAUGAUGAAGUGACUGAGCCUGGAAAAGCUGGUAUGAACUCGACCUAUUUUGUUUUUGUAAAUAUGACUAGCUCAUCGUUCCUAAUUCAGCAUUGUUAUGAGAGAAACAUGUUUGCAAUGACAACUUAGAGAUCAUAGCUUCUGAUGCCAUGCUUAAUUAUCUAGGAGCUUAUAAUGGUUUGUCUUGGAUGCCAACAUGAAUUUCAAAAUGAUUAUGAUGCAGUAUGAUAAAAUGGUAUCCUCCUUUGAAUGAUUCAAGUGGCUUGACUUGGCAAAUGUUCACGCAUGUAGUUGAAACAAAAUCAACAUAGCCUCUAUGAUAUUCAUGUUUAUGGUGAUUUAUAUCCUACUCAUGCUUGCACUCAACAUUGGUUAAUUUCAAUGCAUAUUAAUGACUGUUGUCCCUCUCUAGUUGGUCGCUUCCCAGUCUUUUGCUAGCCUUCACUUGUACUAAGUACGAAUACUGCUUGUGCAUCCACUUCCAUAAACCCAAAGUUGUUCCAUAUGCGUCCACCAUACCUACCUAUAUGCGGUAUCUACCUGCCGUUCCAAGUAAAUUUGCAUGUGCCAGUCUCUAAACCUUCAAAUAAUAAUCUGUUUUGUAUGCCCGAACCGCUCAUGUGGUGACAAGGGGCGGUCAGUAUCUUCCAUGCUAGGCGUGUUAUCCUUGAUACGUGUUUAUUCACUAUCACUCACGAGAAAGGGGACGGUAAUCGGAAUGCCCAGUUCCAUGCUCAAGUCGAAAAUAUAAUUGCAAACAAAACUCCCCUGGAUUGUUGUUGGUAUGGACGGCAACCGAGGAUUCGGCUAGUCGUGGAGUGUGAUUGAUCGGUGGUGGGGGAGUCAAAACUUUACUUUUCUGUUUGGGAACCGCCUAUAAUAUGUGUAGCAUGGAAGAUGGUGAAAACUCUUGGUCAUCGCGUUGACAACGAAAGCAUGCCACCCAAAAUUAUUUAUCUCUGUUUUAAAAAGCUUGAGCUCUCGCAGCUCUGCAAAUCAAUGCUUCCCUCUGCGAAGGGCCUAUCUAUUUACGUUUCUGUUGAGUCAUCCUCUUCUUAUUAAAAAGCACCAUUAGAGAGCACCUCCGUCAUUUUUAUGCUUUGCUAUUAAUUGAUAUUGAGUAUGACUGCGACUGGAUCUUCUUUGCAAUGAAUUACAAUGUUCAGUCAGCCCUUGGUCUUUGAAGGUGCUCUGCAUUUAUGUUUUGCAGUCUCAGAAAGGGCUAGCGAGACACCAUCUGUUCAUAUUGUAUUAUGAUUGUUUUGAAUGAAGUGUUGAUGUUUGAAACUUAUUAUUAUUGCUCGCUAGUUGAUUAUGCCAUUGAUAUGAGUACAUCAUGAGACCUAAAUGUUAUUGCUUAUGUGGUUAGCUUAUGAUGUUGCUGAAAAUCCGAAUAUGAGUUAGACAUAAUUACUACAACAAGGUCAAACAGAGUUCGUAAAAGUUGUUCUUUUGUCUCUUUCAGUUUGUCAACUGAAUUGCUUGAGGACAAACAAGGCUUUAAGCUUGGGGGAGUUGAUACGUCUCCAUCGUAUCUACUUUUCCAAACUCUUUUGCCCUUGUUUUGGACUCUAAUUUGCAUGAUUUGAAUGAAACUAACCCGGACUAACGCUGUUUUCAGCAGAACUGCCUAGGUGUUGUUUUUGUGCAGAAAUAAAAGUUCUCGGAAUGACCUGGAAACUUACAAGGAUUUUUUGUGGAAUAUAUAAAAAAUACUGACGCAAGAAUUACCUGAAGACACGGAGCCAGGGGCCCACAAGCCCAGGAGGCGUGCCCCCCCCCUAGGGCGCGCCUGACAGGCUUGUGGGGCCCACAUAUCUCCGCAGCCUCCAACUCCAAGUCUAUAAAGUCUCUCUUGCCCAGGAAAAAUUAAGAGAGAAGAGUUCAUCGUGUUUCACAACACGGAGCCGCCGCCACCACCUGUUCUUUCUCGGGAGGGAAGAUCUGGAGUCCGUUCUGGGCUCCAAAGAGGGGAAAUCGACGUCGUCGUCAUCACCAAUUCCAUGAUGCUCUUCACCGUUCGUGAGUAAUCUCAUCGUAGGCUUGCUGGACGGUGAUGGGUUGGAUGAGAUCUAUCAUGUAAUCGAGUUAGUUUUGAUGGGGUUUGAUCCCUAGUAUCCACUAUGUUCUAAGAUUGAUGUUGCUACUACUUUGCUAUGCUUAAUGCUUGUCACUAGGGCCCGAGUGCCAUGAUUUCAGAUCUAAACCUAUUAUGUUUUCAUCAAUAUAUGUGUGUUCUUGAUCCUAUCUUGCAAGUUGUAGUCACCUACUAUGUGUUAUGACCCGGCAACCCCGGAGUGACAAUAGCCGGAACCACUCCCGGAGAUGACCAUAGUAUGAGGAGUUCAUGUAUUCACUAUGUGCUAAUGCUUUGUUCCGGUUCUCUAUUAAAAGGAGACCUUAAUAUCCCUUAGUUUCCAUUAGGACCCCGCUGCCACGGGAGGGAUGGACAAAAGAUGUCAUGCAAGUUCUUUUCCAUAAGCACGUAUGACUAAAUACGGAAUACAUGCCUACAUUACAUUGACGAACUGGAGCUAGUUACAUAUCACCCUAUGUUAUAACUGUUACAUGAUGAAUGUCAUCCGAAGUAAUUAUCCAUCACCGAUCCAAUGCCUACGAGCUUUUCCUAUACCGGUCCUUGCUAAGUUACUUUACCGCUACUGCUGUCACUACUGCUACUGUUACUGCUGCUACAGUUACUAUCACACUACUUUGCUACAUAUACUAAGUCUUUCAGGUGUGGUUGAAUUGACAACUCAACUGCUAAUACUCGAGAAUAUUCUUUGGCUCUCCUUGUGUCGAAUCAAUAAAUUUGGGUUGAAUACUGUAUCCUCGAAAACUGUUUCGAUCCCCUAUACUUGUGGGUUAUCAAGAAUACCCGCCCUGAGUCAUGCUCUUGUGGUUAGGAUUCUACUCCUCUAAGUGAUGCUUUUGCAUGCCUUUCCUUCCUCACGCACCUACAAACUAUUCGCUAUUUCCUUCCGCGAUAAUGUGAGCAGUUUUGAAAUUUCUGUAAAGUGGACCCAAUGUGUGAGAUGAUGACAACUGGGACCCAUCUGAUUGGUGGGACAACUCCAAAAUAUAAUGGCCCAAACAAUGUUAAAAGGCCAUGACCUAGAAAUAAAUAAAGGCUGAAUUGUAGGGUUUGGCCUAUGUAGCUAACCCAAAUUGGCAAGAAAAAAAUAUGAAUGGGUUGAAUUGUUAGGCUCGGCUCAUGUAAAGUAGUGAAAUGGACCGAGCUGAUUCUUAUCAACGACCAAUUCUAUUGGUUGCAAUUUUGCCGCGAUUUUGCUACAUCAGCUUGCCACGUUGGAUCCGAUGUGGCCUGGGCAGACAACUAGUGGCCAAAACAAAAGGUCAUAGGACCAACGACCUUUUGUUUUGGUCGUUGCUUUCUACGACCAUAUCACAAAGAAGGUCGUUAAGUUUCAUUAAAGAUGGUUAGUUUUUGACCAACUGUUUUUUAGCAUAAAAAGAUCGCAAAUGAAAAACAAUGUUCAUUCAGCGACCAAUAGUGAUGGUCGCAAGUUGACAUAUUUCUUGUAGUGUGUAGCAGAGAUAUCAGACACACAACCUCUGCAACAUCGAAAUGUCCUAAAGACAUUAAGAAUGCACACAACCCAAAAAGAAAAGGAAAACAAGAUUUUUUUUUGCUACAAGAUGAAUUCCUUGUAACUAGCGAUAUGAUCCACAAGCUAAGACAAGUCGUAGCUGUGAGGAAACAAAGUGGAACAAUAUGUGAAGGUCGCAUGGACUUUUCCGCAAAAAAAAAAAGUCGCAUGGACUAAUCAAGGACAGAACAAUUAAUGGGUGGCCACGCUGCUUGUUAAGUGUAAACUAAUGUCUAUGUUUGUAUACGCCUAGCACCAAAUUAACAACCCCGCACUAGACAGUGACAUGUUAUCUCCAUUAUAUUUGUAUACAUUGCUUGAUUGGUUCCAUACAUGCAUCUUGAGAAAAGAAGAAUGCUUUUGUUAAUAAUAUGGUCGGAGAUAAUGAAUAAUCAAGCUGUGAUAUCCAAUGCAAGUUGGAUAUACUUAAGGGACGGGUCUAGAAUUGUUAGAGUUUAAUUAGUUAAUGUAAUUAGUUAACUUAAUCUUUACUUGUAACUGCACGUGGGCAUCUCCACGACCGAACCAACACUUCGUUCGUGGAGCGACGCCUCCACGAACCGCCUCCUCGUACCGUCGCUUUUUUUGGAAGCGACUGUUCCCCAUGUAUAUAUAUGUUCAUUCAUCAAUGAGAAACAGAGUUUGAUUACAUUUCUUCACACGUUAUCAGCACGUAGCCUACCGACAGAGCACCGGAGACGAAGAGAAAAGGUGAGAUGGCAGGGAUGAACCUGCACAGAAUCACCUCCGCCCUCGUUCGUUUCUUUAGAAGAGAAAUCCAUCGAUCUGCAAGAAGCCAGGGUCUUGGAGUUCAUCGCCAUUGGGGCUCUGGCAACGGCCGCCGUGGCUGCUGUGGUCGUCGUGGGCGUCGUGGUCACCACGACCACCAUGGAUCUGCAGCAGCAGGACCAAGCCACCCACCCAUGGCCGUCCACCAUGCCUACCAGGCACCUCCAAUGUCGGACUUCGUCGCCCCGCCGGCCUUUGUCGCUCCAGUCAUGGAUUGGCAACUGGAAUACACAGGGGGGAUCUUCUGUCCUGUGCAUAGAUACGGGCCAUGCCCUUCAAACCCGGCCAAUCCACCACUGGAAUCAGAGAUCGACGGAGGGGACACUUACCCGGAUCUCCCAACACCGACGCCUGCCGACGAAGAUCCCCUUGCCGCCUCCAGGCUAUGGCCCUGUUCCGGCCAUGGCCAAGUGGGAGGUGAUCCUGACGGAGAUGGCCGAAGCCAGCGCCCCAUCGGAGGCGGCCGAAGCCUGCGGUCCAUCGGAGGCGACCGAAGCCAGCGCUCCAUCGGAGGCGGUCGAAGCCAACGCACCGACGGAGGCGACCGGAUCCGGCGCCACCAUCCCCGCAUCUCCGCCGCCUUCGCCCCAAGCCCGCCCUCGGACGCCACCAGCGGCGGCUCGCCGGAUCCUUUGCCGAUUUGCUGCAGCACUAGAGCAGCACCGCCCCGGCCUCCGCUCCGCUCCUGGGCUCACGCCGGCAUCCACCUCCCUGGCUACGACGCGGCAGCCGUAGCCCCGUCCUCUCCCUGAGCGCUGCCGACGAGGGGCGCCAUCGGCGGCGGAUGUUGCGGGACGUCGUGGAGGUGGCUGUGGAACGGGGGAAUUCAAGGCGAUAUUUGUGGUCCUAUCCAACCAUUAUCUGGACCUUUUAGGUAUUUCAUGGUUCUAAUUGACGCAUCUACACGAUGGUCUCACGUGUGUCUAUUAUCCACACGAAACCAUGCAUUUUCCAAAAUAAUGAGACAAGUAAUUAAAUUACAAGCUCAUUAUCCUGAAAAUCGGAUUAAGUCAAUUCGAAUGGACAACGCUGCUAAAUUUUCCUCACGUGCCUUCAAUGAUUAUUGCAUGGCCCUAGGAAUCGAAGUUCAGCACUCGGUCCCAUAUGUCCAGACACAAAAUGGAUUGGAAGAGUCCCUAAUUAAGAGAAUUAAGCUCAUUGCACGGCCCUUGCUAAUGAAUUGCAACUUACCAACUUCAUGUUGGGGUCACGCAGUUUUACACGCUGCUGACUUAAUUCAAUUGCGACCAACUGCAUAUCACAACACUUCCCCUCUGCAAUUAGUACGUGGAAACCUACCAAAUAUUUUCCAUCUGCGUAAAUUCGGAUGCGCCACAUAUGUGCCCAUCUCACCACCGCAGCGUACAUCCAUGGGCCCACAUUGGAAAUUGGGGAUCUAUGUGGGGUGCAAAUCACCGUCGAUAAUCAAGUACCUUGAACCCCUCACUGGGGAUCUAUUCCCAGCCCGUCACGCUGACUGCAUCUUUAAUGAGGAAUAUUUCCCGGCAUUAGGGGGAGACAUCAAGUACCAAAAGAAUGCCCGGAAAUCUAUUGGAAUGCCCAAGACAUUUCCUCCUCUGAUCCACGUACUCAAGAAACUGAACUUCAAGUUCGGAAAAUAAUUAAUUUGCAACAUAUUGCAAAUAACCUGCCAGAUUCAUUUACUGACUAUAAAGGUGUUACAAAAUCCUACAAUCCUGCCAGAAAUGCGCCCGAAAGAGUGGAGGUACCAACAAAAACCACUCAACCCCCUGUUCAAAGGAAGAGGGGGAGAAAUAGGGGGAGAAAUACGGCCACAGAACAGGAUUCAACUUCUCGCAAACAAAAAAGGAAACAGAGGAAGAAACCCCGUGAACCAGUAAAUGUAAAUCAACCUAGCGUUGAUAAUCAUCAAAUGGGUAAUGAACACCCAGUGGAAGAACGGCCUCCACAACCCAGCUCAGUUGUGCACUCAAUGACUAGGACAUCGGAAAACCCUGACUCAAUCGUAUUGGGAAAUCACGACCAGUCAACAUGGGUAAAUGAAAUUUCCACCAACUAUAUGGAUUCUGGAGAAUGUUACAAUCGUAAGUCUACUAUUGUCGACAUAUAUUUCUCAACUACAGUUGCAGACUACCUUCUAAAUGAUCAUGAUCCAAAGACCAUGGCAGAGUGCAAGAAACGCUCCGACUGGCCUAAAUGGAAGGAUGCAAUCCAGGUAGAGUUAGCCUCGCUCAAUAAACGAAAGGUAUUCACUGAAGCAAUACCUACACCUCCCAGAGUUUUCCCUGUGGGAUUCAAAUGGGUUUUCGUCCGUAAAAGAAACGAGAACAACGAGAUGGUGAGAUAUAAAGCAAGGCUUGUAGCCCAAGGUUUCACGCAGAGACCAGGCAUUGAUUGCAAUGAAACAUACUCUCCAGUAAUGAGUGGUAUUACUUUCCGAUACCUUAUUUCUAUGGCAGUACAAAAUCGUCUACCUAUGCAGUUGAUGGACGUAGUGACCGCCUAUCUUUACGGUUCACUUGAUUCGUACAUAUGCAUGAAGGUUCCUGAUGGAGUUCCAAUCCCGAAUCCAAACGCAACGCAUAUUGUGUAAAACUAAACAAGUCUUUAUACGGCUUAAAACAGUGGGGUCGCAUGUGGUACAACCGACUUAGUGAGUUCUUUUUGAAAAAAGAUACUCCAAUAAUGAUGAUUGCCCAUGUGUUUUCAUAAAAAAGUCCGCAACCGGAUUUUGCAUUAUUUCAGUGUAUGUUGAUCAUCUUAACAUCAUUGGAACCACCGAAGAUAUUGAUGAAGCACGCAAUAUCUUAAAGACGGAAUUUGAAAUGAAGGAUUUGGGUAAAACUAAAUUUUGCUUAGGAUUACAACUUGAGCACCUUCCCUCGUGUAUUUUGGUUCAUCAAACCGCCUAUAUCCAGAAAAUAUUGGAGAAAUUCAAUAUGGACAAAUACUAUCCAUCCAAAAUCCCUAUGGUAGUUCGAUCUCUAGACAUAGAGAAAGAUCAGUUUAGACCAAUGGAUGAUGGAGAAAAGAUAUUAGGACCUGAAGUCCCAUAUCUUAGUGUGGUUGGAGCGCUCAUGUAUCUUACAAACUGCACCAGACCUGACAUUGCAUUUGCAGUAAAUUUAUUAGCUAGACAUAGCGCAGCUCCCACUAAACGCCAUUGGAUCGGAGUUAAGAAUAUCUUUCGAUAUCUCCAAGGUACAAAGGAUCUUGGCCUCUUCUUUCAAUUUCAAAGAAAUUUGGACAUUGAUUUGAUUGGGUAUACAGAUGCUGGCUACUUAUCUGACCCCCAUAAUGCCAGAUCACAAACCGGUUUCGUGUUCCUACAUUGUGGGACAGUCAUAUCAUGGAAAUCUUCCAAGCACACCCUAGUGGCUACAUCCACCAAUCGUUCUGAAAUAAUCGCAUUAUAUGAAGCAUCACGUGAAUGUGUAUGGCUUCGCAGAAUGAUAAACCACAUACAAAAAUCAUGUGGCAAAGGUCUUAUCAAAUCUCCAACCAUUAUCUAGGAAGAUAAUGCUCCUUGUGUUGCUCAAAUGCAAACGGGUUAGAUAAAGAGCAAUAUCACUAAGCAUAUUUCUCCUAAAUUAUUUUUUCCCCAUCAAUUACAGAAGAAAGGGAAAAUAAAUAUUUUGCAAGUUAAAUCGUGCGAUAAUCUCACUGACCUAUUUACAAAAUCACUCCCAGCUUCAACAUUUGAAAAAUAUGUUCAUGGGAUAGGUAUGCGAAGACUUCGGGAUUUGCAAAGAUCAGGGGGAGUUUCUCUCUCUGAAAAAUAACCCGUUCAAACAUUAUAUUGCACUCUUUUCCCUUUAUGAGUGUACUUCCAUAGUUCUCAUCAAGGUUUUUAAUGAGACAAUAUCAACAUAAGACAUAUGUCAUACUGUCCGUUUUUCCCCACCGGGUUUUUUAGGAAAAGUAUAUACGACGUAUUUUUGUCCUCUAAUUUUAUGGAUACAUUUCAUAUAGAAUUGACAGAGGCAAUAAUCAUUAUAUGUUGUAUCAUUUUCUCCUUAUUUUUCCACAAGGUUUGAAGGAGUUUUAGCAGCAUAUACUAUACUACUUCUCAUAUUUUUCUCACGGGGUUUUUGGAGGAGACUAUUUUAAGAUGAUGAACAUACAUUUUAAGAUGAUGAACAUACGAUGAAUACUUGCUGUUUUCCCUGCAAUGAAACUGUAUGUACGACCGUGGAAUUCUAGUCCAGUCAUUUCAAUGUCAUUUACGGUGAAACUGAGGAGCAUAACGUACGGGGACACAUGCUAGCUGCAAACACGCGCACUCCGGCCGCCGCCAGUCAUUUGCAACACUGUGCGUUGUGUCAAGCUACGGAUUUCCGGUGGUGGCUGUCGACCGAGAUCGAACGUUUCUUCCGGCGACCUCUAUCUUUUGCUGUGGUAAUUUCUUUUGUCGUCGCUAGAGGACGUGGAUGAUAUUGUUGCAACGCACGGCAAUUCUUUGGUUUUGUUUAUUUAUUUAUAAAUAAUCUAACUGCUGCGGUCACGAUGGAUUUUCUAGGUAGCAUACCUCUUGUAUCUACUCCACGUCUUCACUUCAACUUUAUGCGUGGCUAGCUAGGGCAGUUGCCGACAGUUUGGACAAAAGAUCAGAUCAGUGGCCGAAUCGGGUAAGGUUGUCGGUUCAAGGUUUCAUCGGUCGGUUCACAGUCUGUUUUUUUUUUUWAUAAAAUAUCUUUUGUAUACUGAUGUAAUAUAUUUACCUUUUUCUUAACACAACACAGUCACAUACACUCAUAGAUACGCAAAUAUACUUACCCCUAUGACUGGGAGCUAUGACAUGUUUUCCUUGGGGUUUGUGAUCUCGAACGGACCACUAUUUGUACACGUCGACUUGGUUCGACAUCUCCGGUUUUACCUCCCAAUUCUUUAUCUUUAUCUUUAUCUUUACCUACUAAUAAAGCAAUUAGUGCUUCUGUUGUCCGUCUUUAACAUUGCCCAUAAAGUUGAUGAAAAUUAUCCACAAUUGCCACUUAUAAGUCAUUGAAAACAUUUCAAACAAGAAAAUCUUUGGACUGGGCCGGCCCAUGUAGGCACCUCCUAUAUUACGCUCUGGGCAUUGCAAAAAGAUGCAGCACACCUAUUUGGGCCGGUCCAUGCGUGGCCGCCUGUUAUUUUAGUUUUUUUUACUUUUCAGUUCUAUUUUUUUCUACUUUAAAUAAUUUAGAAGUUCAAAUAACUUUUUCUUAAAUUUAAGAAACUGAGAAUUUUGAAAUAAAAUAUUAAAAAACAUAUUUUUUUGAGAAUUCAAAAACUACUCAGGAGUUUUGAAAAAUGUUUGCAUAUACAAAGAAAUGUUUAAAUUUUUAAAAAAUGUCUGUAAAAUGAAAAAAGUCAAUAAUUUCAAACAAAAGUCCGUGUAAAAAUCUUAAAAACAGUUUGUGCCUCUGUUUUUAGUCUCAUUUUUAAUUUUCAUUUUCUGUUCCAUUUUUUAAAUUUAAAUAAUAUCGACUUUUGAAAUUUUUUUGCAACUUAUAAAACUUAGAAUUUUGAAAUAUAAUUUUGAAGAAAAUAUAAAAUGUUUGUGAAUUCAAAAAAUGCUCGGGAUAUUUGUAAAAGUAUUCCCAUAUUCAGAAAAAUGUUCAUAAUUUUGAGAACAAUGUUGGUGAAAACAAUAAAAGUCCAUGAUUUUGAGAAAAACGUUUGUGUAUUAUUUUUUGAGUGCAAUUGAAAAAAAUAUUUGCUAAUUCAAAAAAUGUUCAUGCAUUUCAAGAAAUGUCCUAAAAUUUUAAGGACGUAAUAUGAUCAACAUCCUUGAAGAUUAUAAUUAUUUUUCUUCCGUUGCAUCGCACGGGACCUUUUGCUAGUUGCAUAAAAAGUUCAAAACCUUUCGAUUCAACCGGUCCACUUUGGUUUAACAGGUGGAACGUCCAGAGAGUUUAAGAAACCGGCAUUGUCCCUGGUUCCAGCUUUCAGUUUCACCAGCGGUCCCGUCCCGUGCUGAUAAAUAUGCUGGCCGAUUAAUUUCGAUAUAUGCCUCUUUUAUUCUUUUAUCUAUCAGCAUAUCAACAUUUGUGUGCAUGUUGAGUCGUUGACUUGCCACCUCGAUCCAUCUUAUAUUCAUUUAUUUGUUCGAGUUGUGCAUUCUAUCUUUGCAGGUGCAAGAGAUAAUAAUUCAGUAUAACCUAGACACUUUCCUCCAUCUAUGGAUUCUCUACUUGAACAUUACCAUCAUAUACCAUCCAGAUGAUACUAGCUGGAUUACUGGGUUGGAUUACAUCUUCGAGUUGGCACCUCUCUUAGAAGAUUUGGAACUACAUGUAAGUUCUUCACUCGCCGAUCAUGGUACUUGCAUCUGUUUGUAUACAAAUAUGUAUUUGGUAUUAAUGAAUGGUUGGAUAUACUUGUGCAAAUAAAUUGUGGUAGAUUUGGCCUUCCUACAAGGAGUGACAACUCUUCCAAGGCCUCGGCGUCAUCAUCUCAGUAGCGCCCGCAUUAUUGAUUUUGUGAUCUGGUGGGGAUAGUCGAGCUUGAUGUCCUCCAGAUCCAGGCACGACGCGCCACAUAGAAGCCUCGUGAUAUCCCCCGGUGGGCGUCACCGACAGAGACAAUUGUGCAAUGAAGACCCCGGCAGCCUUUGUUGUCGCCCUAUAACUGUAGCUGGGUUUUUGCAACUAGGGCGGUCGCGUGGCUCUGCUCAAGCUGCCCACUAGUCCCCUGUUUCGACAUGAUCCAGAAGACAAGUCGCGGAGACUAAACAAGGUUGAACAACAUGUGCCUCUUGCAGUUUAACUAAUGAUGCUUCUUAAAUAAUGCCUUGUCACUUGCUAGAUUUUUCCUCCAAGUUUCUAUAUGCACCGUACCUUGCAUGUCUCUCAGAGAGGAUGGUGUACUGUUGAUGUAUGUACCACUUCUUUUUGCAGGGAAUGUAUAUAUCAUGUACGUACCACUUGCAUGAGCCGCUGAAUGUUCCUAGGUAGUCUUAACGUAUGUUCGUACGCUAACCAUUAGGCUACACUGGAGCGAGUAGUAGUCAACAAGUCAUGGAUGAUGGGAUGCGUGCGUUCAUGCUCUAAAAAGUCAAAGGCUAGCUCUUUUUCUUAAAUUUGUUGCAAUGGUUUUUAGUUGUUGUGGCUAGAAGACGUGGAUGCUAUUGUUGCAAGGCACGACAAUUCCUUGUUUUUAUUUAUUUACAUUUAAAAAUAUGUUGCAGUCGCGACAUAUUUUCUAGGCAGGACGGCAUCUCAUCCCCUUCAUCUUAUCAGUUAACUCGCUAUGCUGUUUAGAUUUCUACACCAUCUCAACUUUGCACAUUUGGUUCGACCUCUUUGGCCGCUAUUGGCCCCUUACGUCAAAUGGUUUCGGCUUUUCUGAUGAAAUGUUUUAAUCACCGAAUAAAGCAACAGAACACGUACUUAAUUUGUACUAAAACCCGAUGAGAUGCAGCCGCGCAGGUAAGGAAGCCCAUCUAUGGGCCCAUCCAGUUUGCCGUACAUAACAACACAAGCCCGUGAAUAUUUGAUUGUCGCAUAGAGAAAAUGUAUUUAAGAAUUCACUAACUGCAACCUUGAAACAUUAAAUAGAAGAAUGACAGAGUGUAGACGUGCACUACCUUUUGGUCAGGGGCAGAGCUAGGAUUUGAACAUAGGUGGGGCGAAGAGGACAAUGCACGUGCAGGAAAUUCAGGACCAAAUAUAUUGAUUCUGAAAUAUAGUGUUAAUAUCAAACAAACAAUGUUAUUUUUUCCUGCAAUAACAUUGAAAUAGCUAGGUUUUUUAUUAGCUUAGAUAUAUAUCUACACACAUCAGGCCCAUCAAACGUCAAGGUUUGUAGAGAUUUCACUCCCAAAAUAUAUACUCCCUCUGUACCUAAAUAAUUGUAGUAGGGAAGAACUAGUCAAGUUUUCCCCAAUUACAAUUAUUUAGAUACAGAGGGAGUACAUGUCACUCUGCAAUGUGCAAUCUCAUCAGUAGACUGGGUGGUUAAAAUAAAUGGUUUCAAUUGUUAGUUAUUGGUGGUCUCUUCUUCCUCAUGCUUUAUGCAAUUCUAGACUUCUAGUUAGUACACAAAUAUCAUUUUUAAUUGAAUCUAACUGGUACAACCUCUGUCCCAAAUUACGUGUCUUAAAUUUAUCAAGAUAUGAAUGUGUUGUAUGUAAACAAACCUAAGACAAGUAACCUUUGGAUCCGCACUGCUUCUGGUACUACCUCAUGUUGGUUUAACAGUGUGCCUCCUCACGCCAUCCAUGAUCAGCGUGUUAGUUAAGCUGUCUUUCCACUCUCUGCCAUAUCUCUUAUACCACUAUCAUGAUGGGCUUGCCUGCAUUUAUACAUAUACUUCUUUUUUUGCACCGUUACAUAUACUUUUUUCGUCACGGGUUAGAAGGCGUGCUUGGAAAUUCUCUGGAACCUAGGCGUUGUUGAUUGAAUGCGAGAUGGGUUGAAAAAUAGAAUUCACACUACGCAUGCAUACAGAACUAGUACAAUGGAGUACUAAUUGGCUGCUAAAAGUAAAUGCAAUGUGUCCACAACUUUGUUUAGUGUGAAAAUGCACGUAAAUUUAACCAUGCGUUCUAAACCGCGACUGAGGGAGUACUUGAUAUGGCAAGUUCUUUUUUAGCAUUUGUGGGCAUAUGUUGGCUUUAUUGACCAUUAAUGGGGUGAUAGUGACAAGGUAGCAUUUCUAGUAUUAUAGGUGAUCCAAAUUUAACGGUGUAUAAUGACCACACUAUUAUCCAAAUGGGAACAACCUCCCAUUAAUGGUAGGAGAAUCAGUCACCCAUUUUUGUACAACCUCCCACUAAUGUGUCUGUGAUUUGUUUGCAAACAUUUAUUUUUUACUCUCACUGCGAAAUGCCCCUAUGAGGAAGAACAACAUAAAAAUAGGUCUCGUGCCUGUGAGUUUUUGCAAAGUUUUUUACUCUCCCUGUCAAGUGGCCCUACAAGUAAGAACAAUAGUAAAAAAUGGAUCGUGUACCUGUGAUUUUUUACAAAGUUUUUUACUCUCACUGCCGAGCGGCCCUAUUAAGAAAAGCAAGACAAAAAUUAGGCAGCAGCUUCAAGGGGUUGAACCAGGUUCCAACUCACCAUCGUACCAUCGCAUACUUCCAAUUUUUCACAGGUUACAAAUGAAGUUAUUCCAUUCCUAAUAAAAUUUGAAAUAAAAAUGAGUUUUUGUUCGGUACACCGUACCCCCGCCCCCUCCCUCACAACCUACCUUGAAAAAAGCCAAGGCACGCGUUGGUUUGAAGUUUUCGUAGCAAUCUAGAGGAUCUGUGUGAUAUUUCAGCUGCAACGGACUGCAGUUCUUUGUCGAUUUUUCUGCAAAUGAUUUACCUAUUGUGGCCGCUAUAGAUUUUCUAGGUAGCAUGUCUUCUCAUCCCAUCCCGGGCCUCGCUCUCGAGGCCAUCGGGGAUCAGUUUGUGUGUUCGUCCGAUUUCUUCUAAGAUCGAUCUGCAACGUCCGUCGGUACCGCUGGAGCUGCACUUCCACUCUAGUGUGGCACGCCAAUAUUUUUUAUCAUAUCUACACGCCGUUGCUUAUACUUUAAAUGGUAUGUUUUGGGAGCAUUCGUUUGUAGCCUUAUGCAACAUAGACUAUCAUGCAAUGACAGGAUGACAGUGACUGAGGUAGAAUUUCUGGAACCGUACCCAAUGACAGAUUUUAAGAUGGAUGGUGAUCACACUGUUAUCCAGAUGGAAAAACCUCCAAUGGUAGGAAUCAUAUACUUGGGCAUGUUGUCCUGAUUUUUCUUUUUGAAAUUGAGACAAAAUAUUUGCCUCAUCUCACUAAUAAAAGAGAGGGUUGAAUUACAUAGCUGGCUGUCCAAGGACGGCUCUCCAAUUUUGUUUUUUAUUCUUACGACAUUACAGAACUAACAUCCUCAGAGCAACUCUAGCACACCCCGCAUCCAUCCCCGACCCGUAAAAUAACCGCCAAAAUGCGGGUACGGGCCGGAAAGCCUGCCCGACCAGACCACGCAUCCCGCCCCGGUCCGCAAAUUUUUUUUGGGGGCGCGGCAAAUUCCCGACCCCAACCCGGAAAAACGCGGGUUUCCGCCUCGCUGCUGCGGUGCCCUGCAUCACAGAGAAGCAGUUGGCGGGAGGGACAUUUCAGGCCGCGCUCUUUGCCCCCUCCUUCCGCCGCCGCCCGCCCUUGCUUACGCCCGCCCGCCGCCGGCGAUUCCGGCAAUAUCUGCAGGCGAGCCGCUGCACCGCCCCUCCGGAUCCGGUGAGAAGACSCCCCCCCCCCCGCCGCUGUCGCCGCCGGGGUAUCGACCACCAUCGAGCGCACCCCCUCGUCGCCGCCCGGGUCAUCCGCAACCGGUUAGUCCUUUAUUUUUAUUUUUGUGAGCUGUGCGAGAAGUUCUUACUAUCCGAUUCGUCCGAUUCGGACGACUCGGAUGUUGAGACCAUGCUUGCGAACUUUCGGCAGCAAACAUUAGUCAUGGCGCUUGCCGUGAAGGAGCAUGAAGACGAGCACCGGAAGAGGAGGCGAGGAUUGACUGUCGGGCGUUUGUGCAUUUCUCGAAAUCGCCAUCUUGGAAACGAGAUGUUGAUGCAAGACUAUUUCACGAAGAAUCCUACAUAUCCUCCGCACCUCUUUCGGAGAAGGGAUCGAAUGCGCCGAUCCCUCUUUGUGAAACUUGUUCAAGCUUGCGAGUCAAAUUGCCGGUAUCCAUUUGUAUUUGUAUUCAUGACAAGUUUUGUAUUGCACUAUUUAAGUUUGCUAUGGUUAUUUGAAUAAUUAUUUGUAAUGCGGAUGAUUAUUGUAUUAUGUUUGAUUCGAAUAAUUAAGUUUGUUUUCGAUUGUUGAAUUAUGUUGUAUUUGAUAUUUGUGGGCUGAUGAUAUGCGGGAUGCAGCGGUGCAAAGAGCAGACCCCGCAAAGCCGACCAGUAAAAAAGUAUAUUCCGCGAAUAUAUAUUUUGACGGAUCCGUUUGGAGGGUCUGCAUGUGUGCCAGCCCGGGCCAGCCCGCAAAAGCUGUUUUACACGAACUGCAAACGCGUUUUGCAAGCAAGUAGUACUUGUUGUGGAACACGUCCGGCGUUCCACCACUCCUUAAUAGUGCCAAUUUUCUGGCCCCCUCUUGCAAAGUUCACUAGUGGAAAACGGACCUUUGGCCGGGACCCUUUAGUCCCGGCCUGCCUCUAGGCCAGGAUUAAAGGCCCGGCCACGUCACCCCAGUUCUCAAUGCCUCCCUCGAGGCUUUAGUCCCGGUCCGUAAGGAGCCUUUAGUCCCGGUUCGUGUCCCAAACCGGGACUAAAGGGCUACGCGGCGGGCAGUGGUGGUGGCAACCGUUCGUAUCCCCCUUUAGUCCCGGUUGGUGGCUCAACCUGGGACUAAAGGCCUAACACGUGGCAUGUCGUAGUGGUGGCAACCGUUGGUAUACCUCUUUAGUCCCGGUUGGUGGCUCAACCCGGGACUAAAGGCCCAAACGGUUUGCAUCCCGCGUCGUUUCGGGCAAUGAAAAGCACGAACCGAAGCACAGUCGCCAUUUCUCUGUUUCUUCUUCUCUCUCGCUCUCCCUCUCUGUUCUUCUCCUCUCUUCUUCCCUUCUCUUCUUCCACCAUGCCAACUCGCUUUCAAAAGGUGCUCGCACAUCGCACGACCAUGCUCGAUGUCGUGUACACGAACGAGAGCAGGGAGGUGCCAUUUUUUCUUGAAUAGUUGAAGGAAAAAUGUCUUGACGCCGCAAUGGAUCAUGAGAAGUUUUUGGGGCUUGAUCUGGAGUACACGGCCGAUCAACACGGUGUUGCCGUCAUCCAACUAUGCUUCGCACGCCAUGUCUUGAUCUUCCAAUGGGCGAGGUAAGUUUUGAGGCUUUCUUUGAUCCAAGAUAAUGACAUUGUAAGUUUAUUUGUUUCAAUCAUAGUUGGUUCCCUUCAAAUAGUUGUAGUGAAACAAUUUUGAUUAGUUGAAGGGGAACACAAUCUAAUUGGUAAUAGURGUUCCAUAAUCUGAAAAUCGUAUUAGAAUCAACUAGUGUUUAAUAUGUUUCAUUGGAAUCAUAGUUGGUUCGCUUCAAAUAGUUGUAGUGAAACAAUUUUGAUUAGUUGAAGGGGAACACAGUCUGAUUGGAAUAGUGUUCCAUAAUCUGAAAAAUCGUAUUAGAAUCAACUAGUGUUUAAUAUGUUCCAUUGGAAUCAUAGUUGGUUCGCUUCAAAUAGUUGUAGUGAAACAAUUUUGAUUAGUUGAAGGGAACACAAUCUGAUUGGAAUAGUGUUCCACAAUCUGAAAAAUAUGAUUGGUUCAAUAUGUUCCAUUGAAAUCAUAGUUGUAGUGAUACAAUUUUAUGCGGUGUUCUUUGAUCCAAGGUUAUGAAAAUUGCAUAUAGCUAGUGAUCUCUCUAGGUUCCAUUGGAUAGCAAUAUGAUAUGUCAUAGUCAUGAAAAUUGCAUAUAGCUAGUGAUCUCUCUAGGUUCCAUUGGAUAGCUAUAGUGAUCUCUGUAGGUUCCAUUGCAUAUGUUCUAUUUGAAUCCUAAAGAUAAUUUUCUCUUCAGUUGUAGUGAAACAUGUUUCCUUAUUGCAGCAGUAUGUAACAUUUGUUCCAUUUUAAUUUGUUUCUGUUGCAGUAGUGACAAGCAUUGUCCAGAACUCAUGGACUUCCUUCGCAGCGGCAUCACUUUUGCUACCGCUGACAUAAGGAACGACAAGCUGAAGAUGAGGUACAACUUCGGUAUUGCAGAAGGAAAACGCCAGGAUAGCAAAGGAACAUCAUGAUGCGCAGAUGAAAAAGAAGGAACCCGAGCCCCGCCCGGAAUACACCGAGAAGCAAAUAGCAUGGGCAAAAGACUUCAUAACCCUUCCAUCACAAUAUGACUUACACUAUAAGCCUGAUGACUAUACACGCACAUUGCAGAAGGAAGUGAAAAAGAGCAGUUCAUGUGCAAGUGCAAGUGGGAGCAAAUCAAGUUCAACUACAAGCAAGAAAAAAUCAGACGUUCCUCAGCUUGGACAACAGGCCAAACAGUCGAUCCCACCCCUCAAGGUGUUAACCGAGAAUGUUCCCCCUCCGAUGCAGGGGCAAGCUUUUGAAAGAGCAAAGGAGUUGGCGGCUGAAUGUGGUAUCUCGGUUGAAGAUUUGCCGGCUUCCCAAGACGACAGGAUACCCAAGGCUGUGGUAGCCCCUAAGCCACAGUUUGUCAUGGGAGAGCCUUUGGUCAGCAAAGAUGAUCUCCCAACAAAUAUGCGUUACUUGCAUCAAUGGUACUUAAGUGAAUCAAAGAAUGGGAGAAUGAUGAUCGUGCUGAGUGUCCCACGGGAGUACUACGGCGGCUCCGAAGAAAUCCAUAUCGACUUUGAUGAACUCUUCCAGAUGUACAAUGGCGACGCCCUCGAUAAAUCGCUUAUGAGUUGCUAUUGUCUGUAUGUUUUUCAAUUCGUUGUCUACAUAUAACUUGUUUAGUUAUUUCAAUUCAUUGUCUAUAUAUAACUUGUACUCUAUUAUGCAGAAUGAAGAUUCUGGAUUGUAAAAGUAAGACCAUCCUAAAUAUUGGGUUUAUUGACCCAGAUAAAAUACAUAUAGCGACGCUAACUGAUAAACCCAAGGAGGCAGAGGAAAACCUUCUAAGGUUUCUAAUAAAUCAAAAUUUCUGUGACCACAUACUGUUUCCAUACAACUUCAGGUGAGGGUCUUUACUCUGUUGUGUCCAUUCACUUAUAAGUGUAAUUGAUAAGUUACUGACAUAUACACACACACACACACACACACACACACACACACACACACACACAUGUGCAGCUUUCAUUGGAUUCUGUUGGCCAUUCAAAUUGAUAAGGGAAGAGUUGAUGUCUUCGACCCAUUAUCGAGACCCUUGGAACAGUUCCAAAGCCUGCAGGACAUGCUCCAAGGGUAAUUUUAAUCAAUCUUGCGCUCUAUCGGUCUCUUUCAAUGAUUUUCUGAUAUAUCAAUUAAUGAAAAACUUAGCAAAUCAUUAUCCUUGUCAGGCAGGGUUUGGAAGCGGUUCAAGUGCGUGACUCCCGGUAACUUUCCUGAGAAGCUGACCUUUAGAGCGGCUCAGGUAAGUAGUAGUAUGAUAUACUUCUAUUAAUUUUCAAUACAUUUAUGAUGCUAGAUUAUUAUUUUGAUUAUAUAUAUUAUAUUCUCGUAAAGUGCGACCAGCAGCCACGGGGAACGCAUCUAUGCGGAUACUAUGUUUGCGAGACCAUUCGCACGUUUACCUCUGAGCUCAAGGAUCACAGAUUCGACGUAAGCAAUGAACAUUCACACCUCUAUUUUUACCCGUCAUUCUUUGUUAUCAUGAUUGAUAUUCAUAUUCAUCUCCUCUUCUUAUAUAGCACACGACCAUGAGGACGAAGGUCCUACCAGAGCAACGCGCGAUUGCUGUUGCAGAGGAGCUUGCGGGAUUUCUGAGAACGGAAGCUAUAGAUGACAAAUGACGAUUUAGUGUAACCAGGGGCCAUUACUGAUGUUCGUCCAUGUAAUCGAAUAGACGGGCUCUAGUCCCGAUAAUUCAAAUCUCCAUAUAAUUGUAUAUAUAUGCUCGCUUGUAAGAUAAGUUAAUCUUAUAUAUAUAUGCAUAAUUAUUUCUAUUUAAAUUAUAUGAAAACUAAUUCCCGAACACCAAACAAGGCAUCACGUUAAUCUCCCGAACACCUAAACCCUAAAACCCUAAAACCCAAAAAUAAUUUCAUUCAAAAAAAAACCCAAAACCAGUAAAAUCUGAAAAUCUUUAGUCCCGGUCCGUGUAACGAACCGGGACUAAAGGGCCUGCCCCUGGGACGCUACGAGGCGCCCACGUGGAGCACCUUUAGACCCGGCUUGUAACAGGGCCGGGACUAAAGAUUAGGCCUUUAGUCCCGCCCCUUUAGUCCCGGUUGGUGAACCGGGACUAAAGCCAGUUCGAACCCGGUCCUGUAUGUAAGUCAAGCAAAGAAUUUAUGCUCUGGUGGUGCCUGAUUGUUCCACACAGCCGUCAUAUUGUCUUAUCACUCACUCAUUUUAUUACAACACCAAAAUUACACAAAAACAGUAGCACCAUGACACGGCGUAGAGCACACACACGCUCACAAGCUUCAGCAUAAAUCAGCACAAAACUUACUGGGAGGUAGCAUCUCUGGACUUCUAGCCAAGACAGAUUUCACGUUGUAUGGUGAUCAGAGUGUUAUCCCAAAUGGGAACAACCUCAUAGGGUAGGAAGCAUAUAUAUAUACUCCGGGCAUGAUGUCUGAUCACUCAACUCAUUUUAUUACAACAUCACAAUUAUAAAGAACCACUAGUACCAUGACAUGAUCAUAGCGCACACACACACACGCUCACACGCUUCAGCAAUCACGGCAACUAAACAAUUUCUUACAUGGCGGAGGCAUGGCCCUCGUCGCUGGCGGUCUCGAUGCCGUCGACACGGCUGUUGGGGACGGCGCAGUUGAACCGGAUCUCGCCCUGGCUGCCGGUGAGCAAGUCCAUGUUGCUCAUCUUCACCAUGGACUUGGCAAACUGCUCGAAGAACGCUCCCUGGUUGAGGGCGAAUCGCGUCGCCAUGCGCGUGGUUUCAGGGUGGACGAUGAGGCCCUGGUCCGACUUGAACAGGCCCUGCUUGGCGAUGAGAUCAAAGUAGUACUUGUUGUCGAACACGUCCGGCGUGCGCACAUCGAGCGACUGGUUGACGCUAAGCGCGGGCACGUCGUUGGCGCACUUGGCCUUGAGCUUGGCGGCGAAAUUGGGGUCGAUUGCUGGGUUGGUGUCGACUUCCGGCGUGAAGCGGUCGGAGAAGGCGGGGCAGUGGGCGAUGCCGAACGUGUGUGCGCCGGAGAGGGACACCAGGUCGGCCUUGUCGAGGUUGCGGUCGCCGAAGGACUUGAGGAGCUCCGGCACGGUGAAUGAGGGGGCUGGAAGGGUGAAGACGAGGUCCUGCGACGCUGGGGCCAGCCCGUCGCGCCGGCCCAGAGCCACCUCAAAGCGGGGCCCGCCAGCCUGCACGCACCACAUCCACGUAAACGUAAACGUAAACGUAUAUGUUAGUCACAGUUCGAGAAACAUGUGUAGAAAAAACUGAAAAAGUAGACUAUGAUAUGCUAGGAAUAAUGGUUUGGCCGUGCAUGCAUGCUGCAUGUCCAGCACGAAAGGUAUAGGGCAAUGGUACCAUACCAGCACGACGGAGUCACGGGUAGCGAGAACGGUGAUGUCGGCGCAGGAGACAGUCCGGCCGCAGGACCUGUGGACGGCGGCGCGGAUGGUCUCGAUGAGGUUGAGCCCCACCGGCCGGAGCGUCAGAUUUGGCCCCAACGCCUGCUCGCUGUUGUUGCCGGUCAGGAGCACCGACGCGUCGCAGCCCUGCAACAAGAGCAAAUAUAAGUAAGUAAGAAGAAGCGCCAUGCAUAUAUCAUAUGUAGAUACAUAUUUCUGACGUUGAUACAUACGCACCUGAGGGAAGCAGUCGUGGAAGAAGAUGCGGAUGAGCCCCGGCGCUACGCCGACGUCUUUACGGAAGGCCUCGGCGACGUGAUACUGGACGAUGUGUUCCAGGUCCGGGCACGAGCCCGCGUGGAAGUCCGGCGAAAGCUCCCCGGCGGCCGCCGCUGCCGAAUGGACGACGGCGCAGGCCAUGGCCACGACGACCAGGGCCGCUGCUGCUCUGGACGCCAUCUUUCGAUCACACUCUCUGCGGCAGAUUGAUGGAGCUAGGUUUUGCAGGUACCUAGGGCGGCCGGCGGUCGUCGUGUGGCUUCCUCAAGCUAGCUAGCCAACCCCUCUCUAUUUAUAAUCGGUCGGUCCUCGGUCAAAUGUCUCCGAUGCAAUUACCUCCACAGCCUUGAUCUGAUCCAGAAUUCCAACACAGACGGACAAGUCGCACUAGCUAGACGUACGUACGUUGCUUACAAAUCUGGAUCAACAUGUGCAAGUCGCUUAACUUUUUUUUAACAUAUACAUGCGCAUACAUUUAUUCCUAUGAAUACAUACAUGCACAUCAUACCCCUAUGAGAAGCUCCGAGAGACUCAAUCGAUAUAUCAUAUUAAGAUUUACAAAAUUAUCAUAGACGCCUCUUCGACAAAAACUCUUCUUCCAAUAAAAGUGUAUAGCUGGAAAUCCUAAAGUAAAUUUGAAAACAAUGCAAACAACAAGAUUUGAUCAUGAUAGGAUGGGGAUAUCACUGUUUCUCUAACCAUUCAAUAGGUUGGUUUACUCAAGUCGCAUGCCUUGAAACUACAUGUCGGAAGAGCUAGUUAAGGCCUACACCGUUGCGAUAAAAGAGUUUGAUAAUGCAUGCAUCGACGGCGUCACUUUCCCGGAGCUUUCGUGCACACGCAUUUGCACCUAACCAACGGUGACAUGUUGCCAAACUAGCAUACAUGUGUAUGCAAUUAAGGGCCGGCGGGCACGCAGGCAAGAGCUGACCGGGCUCCAUUGUUUUCUCGGUGAAGCGGAUCGAUUGGCUGCUCGAUUGAUUCCAUGGAUGGACAAACAAGAAGAUUAGUAUUAAUUAAUCCACUUGUUAAUGUGUAUAUAUAUAGUUUACUGAUCAAGAUAGCUGUAGGAUCAAGUAGGGUUUUAUGUAUGUAUUUCGCCUGCGUUGAAAGGAGACUUGGAUAUGGUUAACUGAUUUGGAAUAAUUUUGGAUGACACAUAGGAGAUGAUUGAGUACUUAAGGACGGAUUAAUUAGCUAGGGGUGGUUGGAUGGGAUCGAUAGAGUGUGGCCUCAUCUCCCGGAGGAUGCCUGCCACUUGCAAGAUCGACAUGAUAGAAUAAUGCCGCUGAAAAUUCUUACAGCAAGGUCGGCCACGUGCUGCACCUACAUAUGGGCGACCUCCAUGGAGGUGGUUAUUUUGAAAAAGACUCAAAAUAAAUUUUAAAGCUUCAAAUAUUUUUGAAAAAAAUGUUACAUGUUCAUAUGUAUUAUGGUUGGAGCUAGACAGAAAAGGCAAAGUCAUGAUUUGAAACCGGCAAACAGUACAAGAACUGUUCACUAUUAAAAAUGUUGGGUUUUAUCUUUUUUGUGUAGCUCUCGCUGUUACGUAUUUCAUCGCCAGAUUUUAUACACAUGUAGAAUACAUCCAUAUGAAUGUGUAGAAUUGUUUUCAGAAUGUUCUAAAACUCCAAAAUGUGAUUAUCGGAUUUUUACAAAAUUUCCAUCUUCAUGGAGGUCGACCGCCAAAAGCCCUCACUCAGCCAAAUACUCUUAUAAUAUAACUGACUUAGGCUAGAUGGAGCCAGUCAUGCGCUCGUUCCUACUUACCCCCUCCGUUCUUAAAUAUAAGACCUUUUAAAAAUUUCACUAUGAACAACAUACGGAUGUAUGUAAUCAUAUUUUAGGAUGUAGAUUCACUUAUUUUGCUUCGUUUUUAGUUCAUAGUGUAAUUUCUAAAAGGUCUUAUAUUUAGAAACGGAGGGAGUACACGAUAGCCAAGGCUCCUCUUUGCGUACAUGCCGGAAGUUCAAAAGAAGCAUGAGAUGAUUGUUUUUCUUUAGAUCUGAAGGCAUUCUAUCUAGGACGGUUCAAUCAGGUUAAAUUACCGUCCUGGAUCUGAGCUAUGGCUGAGCUCAGUUCUGCACCUAGGCAUGUUCAUAUCAAGGACGGUCGACCUGCUCAAGCGAGCCGUCCUGAUCGUUAAGGACACGAACGUCGUGCACUGUACUUGGUAGGUAGCUAAUCUUGGAGUACGUUCGUACGCAGAAUAGUAGGCUGGAUGCGCGCGUUCCAGCACAAGAAGUCAAAGCCUAGCUCCUCCCCUGGGGUGCAUGCAUCUGACUUUGAUCCACCGAAAAUUGUUCGAGGACCGUGGAAUCCUUGUACGGUUCCGGUUAAAUUGCCCUCACGCAAGUGGAGUGGACCUGAGUAGCAUGUAUUUUUUUUCAAACCAUGCCAUUUCACUAAGCCAUGCAUGUCCUUUUCUCGGUGCAAUUAACCCAUUCAUGAUUGUUAGUCCCAAUUUAAAUUUCUGUAUUAGACCCUUGGAGUCAGAAUAUAUAGUUAAGAGUGAAUUCCAGCUUCUACCACCUAUUUUGACAUUUUUAACACUAAUUACCCUAUUUAACGGGACUUCAUCUGUUUUAUCCCAUUUAGCAAAAAUUCUGCCUUAAUUUAUCAUGUUUAAAAUUUUAUGAACGUUCUGAUAGAAAGGUAUCAGUUUUCAGAUUCAGCUGGCAUGCCACAUCAAUGAUUUUUUCCAGCCUAUUUUACUUCAUGUUGAACCGGUGCUGGCAGCUUCUCCCAACUAAGGGAGUCCUUGUCUAAGGGGUCCUCAGGCUGUUUGUCUAUUCUCAUGGACCGAACUCCCGGUCAUGUUCGACCGUCACUAGAACUAUCAGAAUCAAGAUGGACUCUUCCGAAGACUUAACGUACGGUCCAAGGCAACGUAGUGAUCGGCAUAAUCCUUCUCUAUUGUAAUCGAUUUUGUGUAAUCCUAUCAUCCCUGGUAUCUAUAUAAACCAGGGGGCCAUAGUUCAUAGGCCAGAUUAAGCUUAUUACGAUUAGGGUUUAGACCACAACAUAUGAUCUCGAGGUAGAUUAACUCUGUACUCUGUACUACUCCAUCAAUACCAACAAAAGCAAGACGUAGGAUUUUACUUGCAUCAAAAGGGCCCGCACCUGGGUAAAACAUCGUCUUAUUCUUCUCUUGUUACCAUCGACCCAAGAUCCAUAGUUCGGACCCCCUACUCGAGAUCAGAUAGUUUUGCUACCAACACCGACCCAUCCAACCCGAUAUGAACGCACCAGAGCAGGUGGUUCGCAUCACCGACCAAUGCAUAAGUCAGUUUUAGAAGGGUGACAUGUAUACACAUGAUCUUCUAAUAAGGAUCUUAAUUCUAUCAGAAUGAAAUGCCUCAUCGGCCAAUGCAUGAGUUACGAAAAUUUCAGAAUAUACAAAUUGCUAUAUACUAAUGCUGAAAGUCAUGUGGAAUAGGGUACGAAUGAGAGGGCCAUAGACCCGCUAUCAACUGAGCACAACCUGAUGGGGUCCUGCCAUGUCACCGAAGUAGAAAGAACAACUGAGCACAUUGUAAUGGUGUCAUGUACAUGCACACGCCCACACCGACGCCGGCGAGCAUGACAGAGCCGUCAGAUCCCAUGGGGUCGUAUGUUUCCUUGAUGUCACGGCCAUACAACCCUACUCGAGCAGGUAAGAAAUCACGCUGCCAUCGCCAUCGCCGUUGCCUGACAAUCCCUAAGCCUAGGUCUGAGCAAGCCUAGCGGGUGCAUGCGGUCCGAAACAUGGACGGACGACGAUUGGAGGCAAGUGUGGCGCGCAGCCGACUCAGGCAUUGUGCGUUGGACGCGAUGCGAGCGACCUCCAUCGGAUCGGACCUAUUCGGGGGAAGCAGCGAUGAUCGGUUCAGCAGAGAGAAAAGAGACAGAAAAAACAGUUGAUGUGACAUAACGCUUGCAAUGUCUUAAACACUGUAAAUCAUGGCAAAACUUUUGCUAAAUAGGAUAAAAGAGAUAAAAUCUCGCUAAAUAGGGUAUUAGUGUCAAAAAUAUUAAAAUAGAGGGUAAAAACCGGAAUUCACUCUUAAAUGAAAAAGAGUUAGUAAGAGGCCCAUAGGGCAGCACAUAGUUUAGCUAAAUAUGUUGAUGAUCCUUCCAUUUGGUGUUGUCAUUGCUAAUGGUGACUAUUGUAACCAAUUAAUAUAAACCACUAGGGUGGCUUCACAAAAGCGGAGUGUUACAUUAGCCAGCGAACUCUUAUUAAAACACUAAUCUCGCUAACGUCGGUGGUCUCAAACGGACGCGGAGAGGCCCUCAUCGCUAGUGGUCGUGAGGAUGCUCUGUGCAUUGCGCACGAAGCAACUGUUGCGACGGAUCUCGCCGACGUUUCCUUGGGGCCCCUGGAGGUUCCCGAGCUUGGUCAUGGAGGCAGCAAACUGGCCGAAGAACCACCAGUGGUUCCCGGCGAAGCCGUUGACCACCCAUUCGGUGCGCCAGUCGGCGGUGAGCUUCUGGUCGGAGGUGAACACCCCCUUGCCCUCUUGCAGGUUGGUGAAGUACUUGUUGUCGAACACGUCCGGGGUGGUCACGUCCAGGUCCUGCAGCCGGUUAAAGUCGGUGGAGCAGUUGGAGGCGAGGCUUCGGACGAAGCCUGAGUCCUCGGAGAAGCGGUUGGAGAAGGAGCUGCAGUGGCCCUUGCCGAUGGUGUGGCCGCCCGAGAGCGCGACCAGGUCCACGUUGUCGAGGUUGCGGGUCUGGAAGACGUCGAUGAGGGUGGCGGCGUUGGAGCUGGCCUGGGGGAGGUUGAAGACGGCCGAGCUCGGGGCCGGCGCGAGGCUGUCGAGCCGGCCGAGCGGCACGUCGUAGCCCUGACCCCCGGAGAAGGCGACGGCGUCACGGGUAGCGAGGGCCGUGAUGUCGGCGCAGGAGACGACGGGACCGCAGGCUGCGUGCACCAUGGCGCGGAUGGACUCGAUGAGCUGCAGCGCCCGUGGCUGCAGCGUCAGGUUCGGUGCCAGUUGCAGCUCGCUGCCAUCUCCCGUUAGAAGGACCGACGCAUCACAACCCUGUACAACCACGAAUGAAAGAGAUGAUGCUCUCUGGACAUUGACAUGAUCUCAAGUAUAUAUUUUGACCAUUAGUCUACUCAUAUGAGCAAGUUUUACAAUUAUAUGUUACAAGUUAAAACAAAUAUGAAAUUUUUCGUGAUGAUCUUUAUGAUACCAUUAUCAUCUUUAAGAAACUAUGUUAGAUCACACUUUAGUUUAAAUGUUUAAUACGAGAGCUAUUCCCAGAACACAAAAUGAGAUCUAGCUAGCUGGAAUGAAUUACCUGAGGGAAGCAGUCGUGGAAGAAGAUGCGGAGGAGGCCGGCGGCGAGGGCGAUCUCGCUCUGGAGCGCGGUCUGCACGGCGGAGCGCACCACGUCCUGUAGCUGCGGGCAGGAGUCGGCGUGGAAGUCGAAGGCGAGCCCUUCGGCGGGGGAGACCGGAGGAAUACUGCCACCGACGUGGUCGGUGGGCAUAGAGAUGAACGCCGAUGACGUCUUGGAGAAGGCUGCCGGGCACAGCACGGCGGCCACGAGGACCAGCAUCGCUGCUGUCCUGCUCGACGCCAUUGAUCCUAGCUAGCUACCUUGAGCACCUCAGUGCCUUCAGUCUGCUAGUGCUACUUUGCUGCUAGCUGCCUGCAAGUGAGCGUGGCUUCCUCACGUCAAUGAGAUGCCCUUAUUUAUACACGAACUAGAUGCGAUCGAUCUAUCGAACGUUUGCCAUCAAAGUCGUCAGAGAAAUUAAGAGGGAGCUAGCAGAGAUCCAAGACGAGAUCGAGUAGGUGGCAAGCUAUACCAGGAUCCAAGUGCACAUGCUUGAUCACGUCCGUGGUGAUGCAGAUUGCUGAGGUCGUGUGCGUACUUGUGCCGACCAAGCUCCCGGAUUCCGUGGUUCCGCUCGUGGCAUGUCAACGAACAGUACGCCCAGAUCGGUAGUUAUAUGCAGAGAUCUAAAAUUCAGGCAAUUACUUCGGAGUAUAAGCUAUGCAAAAAUGGUACAAUUACGGGCUACCUACGCAAUCAACUUGCAUGCCCUCCCACUAACCAAUCACUCCUCCAAGCUAUGACAUGUAGAAGCAUUGCAUAUGGUAGAUAUCAGAAGGACUGGACGCGCUUUGCUGCGCGUUAGAUUAGAAAAACCUAAUCAUUUGAUUUUAAAAUACAAUGUGUAUUACUUUUUAAAAAUGUCAAUUUUUUUUAAAUUUAUUAAAUUUAUUGAUAAUUAUAUAAAAAUCCAUAAUAUCAAAUUAUUAUUAGAUUCAUCAUUAAAUGAAUUAUCAUGUUUUUUAUUUAAUAUUGUGAAUGUCCAUAUAUUUGCUCUCAACUUGGUCAAAGUUGAAGAAUUCGACUUUCCAAAAAACUAAUGCCCCUUAUAUUUUGAAACUAAUAGAAAAUUUCUUUUGAUCUACGGGGGAGAUGACAUAGUGUGUUUUACUUUCAUUUAUAAUUCGAUAAUUUAAUGGACAUAAUAAUUUGAUUUGAAAAACUGUUAGUUUGAUUAGAAAGCAUAAUGUAUUUGUCUAAAGAAUUGUAGAGAGAGUUUUGAGAAAUUGUUGGCCCGGUCAAAAUUGGAUGAUCCAAUUUUAAUUGUUGUCUUUGAAGACCUCAACUGAGUGACUCUUUAAAACUAAGUAUGGUAUUAUAGAGGUAUAAAUAAAAUAAUUAAAUAAAAAAUCUUUGGGAAAUUGUUGACCAGAUCAAAAUUGGGUGCCACAAUGUCAAUUGGAGGCCUCAAUUGAAUGUGGGCUCUCCAAUUCUAGGGAGAUUAAUUAGUGUUAUAGAAUAUUACUACUGGUAAGUUGUGUUCCAAGCAAAUGUGAAAAAACAUCUUAUGUUAUGAUGAACAAUUUGAUGAUCCAUGAAGCGUAAGUGAAUUACGAAUAAAUAUGAUGUGUGGAGGGGGAGAGAAACUAAAAUGUUAAUUAUGAAUAAGUAACAAAUGGGAUUGCCAUUUUGGCACGAGGAAUUGGAUGGUGGUCCGUGUGUUGAUUGGGAGCGGGCAAAUGGAGCUUAACCCAACAGAGUGUAACACACCGAACCAGCGUCCAGAUGCAAAAAUGCUACACCUACGUAAUCUAUUACUUAAGCUUACGUUUCUUUCCUUCUCAACUAAUCAUCUCCCCCCUGAUUUUCAUUGGAUGGGUUUGGGCCUUUUUCCUCUUCCAACCAGAUUAAGCCAAAUCAGCUCUUACGUAACUUCCUUAAGUAGUUUUACGUAGGUGUAGCAAAGCUCCUCCAGAUGCCACACCUCAAACGUGCCCCACCCACCCGCUCCGAGAGUUUCGCGGCCAGGGGAAAGAGUAGUCGUCCCGCGAAACUCACCAAUUAGCUCAUAUAAUCUGCUCAUCAAUUAUUGAGAAUUAACACUACAACUAUACAAUGGUAUUAUCCGAUUGACAUUGGUUGGCAUAAUGAUGUAAAACAUGUCAUUUUGUGACCUACUCGGGAUAAUUGAUUCAUUCAUCUCAUAUGUGUAUGAUGCAAUAGUCAAGACGAGUGAAUUGUACGUGUAUUUUUGGCAGAAAAAAAGGGGUCUAUGUAUAAUUGCCAAAUAUAUGUGAAUCAUCUUAUCAUGCAUGGCAAGAAAGCAAUUCUCCACAUAAUAAACAUUCAGCACCACACGCACUUACCUCGUUAGACUAUAACGUCCCCCGUUCGGACCUAGCUAUGGAAGAGGAUUAUUCAUCUGUGGUUCCUGCACUCAUGGAUACGUAUACUAAAUAUAAAGGUAGUAAAACAUGUUUCUGCAGUUCAGUACAAGUAAAUUAGGAGUGGAAUAAAAAAAACUACAGUAGCUCACAUCUGCUUAAUAACAAAAACAAUGGCAGAUACCAUACAUAUGGUUAAUGAGGCUACAAGUGCAACGGCCGUAGAUAACAAGGGGGAUACCAUACAUAUGUUUGGCGCAAACCACCGCUCUUGGUGAGGAAGUGGCAUCACCGAGGUGAUAUUCGACAAGACAUCUAUAACGUGUAGGUGUAGGUGUAGGAUCCCUGCGUACAAUGGUGUCACCCGUGAUGGUAGGAACGGCCUUAAAACCAAUACUCAGGCUCCUUUUGAUGAGGCUCUGACCGAUUGUAAUGUCAAUCAAGAGAGCAUUGCCCCCAAUACUUUUUAACGGGACGGCUCUUCCGAGGAUAAGAUCUGCUACGUUGUACACUAUCAUGUGGCUCGAGUAAUCGGUGCUGGUACCGACGAGCAAGAUCUGCGAGUCACAUUCUAUUAGUUCAAAAGGGCUGCAGAUCUUUGCCUUGGGACAUAAUAUGGUGAUCACCUUGGGUGGGUGAAACGAAAACGACGACGAAGACCAAGUGAAUCCUGACUUCUUCUCGUGGAGAGGCGGGUCGAUCUGGAAAAUCCAUAGUUCAUCAUCUUUGCUUGAGCCGGGCUUUUGCUGCAGCAUGUAAAAUUUUCCUCGGCAUGAUAUGAUUCUGUUAUCCGGCGAGAAGCUCCAGGCCGAGAAACUCCAUUGCUCAUCCUUGGUGGUAGCAAACAUCACGCGUGACAGACUUAGAUGAACGAUCAUGAGCAUCGGAACCCCUUGAGCGCCGACGCUCAAGGACGCGGCCACCCUGCCUGGCCAAAUAUAAGGACGCUCCAUGCGUGAACUACAGUGGGUUAGUCCCAAGCUCAUUGUGACAUAGGUGAUUGGCGGGAACUUGGCAACGCUCCCCGUGAAGGGGUGAAGUAGGCAAACCUCAUCGUCAUUUUCAUUAUCGUGUUGCCGGCGCCGCUGCAGGAGGAGGAGGCCUUCAACCGGGCAGAGGACCCAAUGUUCGUCGAGAAGAGGGACCCGAGGGCGGAGGAACACUCCGGUGUCGAGGUUGAGGAAACGCUGCCGGCCGUCUUCAAGGUGGAGGCCGUGGCCCUCGGGCAGCAUCAUCCACCGGCGCGGGUGGAAGCGCGGGUCGGCGAUGCCCUUCGCGCGCGGGCAGGGCGUGCUGGACCGAACGUGCGUGCACACGGCGCGGAAGCGGACGUAGCCGAGCAGGUCGUCGCCGGCGAGCACCAGCCAGCCGACGACCUCGACCAAGUCAGCGGGCAACGACGCCAGCGGAGACGCGUUGUCGGCAUCGGUCGGCGGAGGGCGGCAGCAGUUCGCCGGCGAUGACAUCGACGGAUCGGAUCGUCGUUCGGGAUCUUUUUGCCUGCCCUAGCCGCCAGCGGAAGCGAAACGACGACGAAUGAUUCGGGAUGGCCGCUGAGAUGAUGGAGGCUAGUGUUUGUUUGUGCAUGGGCUACCGUAGCUCGUCGGGCUAGCAUACGGCCCAUGUACCCAUUUAUCUCUCUGACGUCGUUGCGUGUAUGAUGGUGGAUACUCCUUUUGUCCCAAAAUAUUUAUCAUAAAAAUGUAUGUAUCUAAAUUAUUUUAGUUAUAUAUAUAUUUAUUUAUUUAUUUUUAUACAUUUAUGUAACAAGUAAUUUCCGACAAAGGGUGUAAUUAUUUUCGCAUUUUUGUACCAGAACUUCUGGCCACCACCGUGUCUCGAUCUCAUAUGCACCCGGAUGAACCAUAAAAUCAGAAAAAAUAGUUAAACAAUUCAAAUAAUUCUGAACUAAUGAUGAAUGUCUCACAUUCAUGCGAAAAUUCGAGAUGAAAUGACAUUCUUUGAAAUCUGGACAGAAACAAUAAAAUCGACGCUUCCAAAAGACCAAUUUUAAAAGCAGUUUGGAACAUGGACCUUUUUUUUUCCAGGCCUCAACUAAUGUCAUUUCAUCACCAAAUUUUACAAGCAACUAAAACAUUCAUCAAUGUUUAUCACAUGGAAAAAUAAAAUUGUUUUUGGAUUUAUCUGCUACUUUUUCAGAUUUUACUAUAUAUUCAACCGGAUGCAUGUGUGCUCAGGAUUAAAAAAGCACUUUCGCCGCCACCAUGGUUUUAUUGAAGAUAACCAUAGGUAGAGUGUGAAUUACCCGUGCGUACCCUCUGCCAAAUGAGGCCACAUGUUCACCAUGUGACUGCUGAAAAUGUGCCAUAGAGGCAAUAAUAAAGUAGUUAUUAUUAUAUUUCCUAGAUAAUGAUAAUUGUCUAUUAUUCAUGCUAUAAUUGUAUUAACCGGAAACCGUAAUUCAUGUGAGAAUAUAUAGAUCACAAUGUGUCCCUAGUGAGCCUCUAGUUGGCUAGCUCGUUGAUCAAUAGAUGAUCAUGGUUUUGUGAUAAUGGACAUUGGAUGUCAUUGAUAACGUGAUCACAUCAUUUAUGAAUGAUGUGAUGGACAAGACCAAUCCUAAGCAUAGCACUAGAUCGUGUUGUUCGUGUGCUAAAGCUUUUCUAAUGUCAAGUAUCAUUUCCUUAGACCAUGAGAUUGUGCAACUCCCGGAUACUGUAGGAGUGCUUUGGGUGUAUCAAAAGUUACAACGUAACUGGAUGAUUAUAAAGGUGCACUACAGGUAUCUCCGAAAAUAUCUGUUGGGUUGUAUGAAUCGAGACUGGAAUUUGUCACUCCGUGUGAUGGAGAGGUAUCUCUAGGCCCACUCUGUAAUUCAUCAUCAUAUUGAGCUCAGUGUGACUAAGGACCCGUUCGGCAACGCUCCAGCUCCUUGCUUCGCAGCCGGAGCCAGCGGAGCUGUCCCAAACAGUCGCGCUCCGCGGAUCGACAAAGAUGGAGGCUCCAUCGAUUAGGCUGAUUUUGCAGAGCUAGCCUGGUCCCGCUCCACGAAGACGAAAAAUCAGGAGCGGCAUGAAAUUACAUGUGGAUGCCACUGAUAAGUAAUAACGAACAGGUACGACGCUGUUGAAUCUCUCUCGUGUCUUUUCUUCCCCGUUCGAGCUCCUCGCCAUGGCGCCCGAACCCUAGACCUCCACGUCGAUCGAAGUGUGUUGCUGUCCGAAUUAAGCUCUCCUCCGCCAAAACUAGACCACGAGACGAAUUUCAAUCCACCCCAGCAAACAUACACCUCUCCACGUGCUAGAUCUGUUUUGAUUUUUUUAGAGAAUUUGGAUCCAUCUUCCUGCUAUUAGCAGGCUGGAUCCACAAGAAAUGGGCCGACAACCCAACUACACAUGAAACAGGGGCACAGAUCGCUACCGAACGGUUCCACGCUCAAGCUAGCGAUCAGGGGAGCGGCUCCUCACUCGCCUGGAGCGGAGCGACCGGAUUAGGAGGAGCGGAGGGCUACUGAACGGGCCCUAAGGAGUUAGCCACGGGAUGAUGUGUUACGGAACGAGUAAAGAGACUUGCCGGUAACGAGAUUGAACAAGGUAUAGGGAUACCGACGAUCGAAUCUCGGACAAGUAUCAUACCGGUAGACAAAGGGAAUUGCAUACAGGAUUGAUUGAAUCCCCAACAUCGUGGUUCAUCUGAUGAAAUCAUCGAGGAACAUGUGGUAACCAACAUGGAUAUCCAAACUCCGAUGUUGAUUAUUGACCGGAGAGGUGUCUCGGUCAUGUCUGCAUGCUUCCCGAACCCGUCGGGUCUACACACUUAAGGUUCGAUGACGCUAGGGUUAUAGGGAAAUAGUGUACGUGGUUACCGAAGGUUGUUCGGAGUCCCGGAUGAGAUCCUGGACGUAACGAGAAGUUCCGGAAUGGUCCACAGGUAAAUAUUCAUAUAUAGGAAGUGAGGAUUUGGUCACCGGAAUUGUUUCGGGUGACACCGGUAAUGUACCGGGACCACCGGAAGGGUUCCUGGGGUCCACCGGCAAGGGCCACCAGCCCCAAGUUGCUACAUGAGUUAAGAGUGGGUGGGAACCAGCCCAUAUGUGGGCUGGUGCGCCUCCACAACUAGCCCAAGGCGCACAAGGGGUGGAGAGAGGGGAAACCCUAGGCGUGGGAGGCCACCUUGGGCCUCAAAUGUUGGAAAUAUGCCCUAGAGGCAAUAAUAAAUUAGUUAUUAUUAUAUUUCUUAGUUCAUGAUAAUCUUUUAUUAUCCAUGCUAUAAUUGUAUUGAUUGGAAACACAAUACUUGUGUGGAUACAUAGACAAAACACUGUCCCUAGUAAGCCUCUAGUUGACUAGCUCGUUGAUCAAAGAUGGUCAAGGUUUCCUGGCCAUAGGCAAGUGUUGUCACUUGAUAACGGGAUCACAUCCUUAGGGGAAUCAUGUGAUGGACUAGACCCAAACUAAUAGACGUAGCAUGUUGAUCGUGUCAUUUUGUUGCUACUGUUUUCUGCGUGUCAAGUAUUUGUUCCUAUGACCAUGAGAUCAUAUAACUUACUAACACCGGAGGAAUACUUUGUGUGUAUCAAACGUCGCAACGUAACUGGGUGACUGUAAAGAUGCUCUACAGGUAUCUCCGAAGGUGUUCGUUAAGUUAGUAUGAAUCGAGACUGGGAUUUGUCACUCCGUGUGACGGAGAGGUAUCUCGGGGCCCACUCGGUAAUACAGCAUCACACACAAGCCUUGCAAGCAAUGUAACUUAGUGUAAGUUGCGGGAUCUUGUAUUACGGAACGAGUAAAGAGACUUGCCGGUAAACGAGAUUGAAAUAGGUAUGCGGAUACUGACGGUCGAAUCUCGGGCAACUAACAUACCGAAGGACAAAGGGAAUGACAUACGGGAUUAUACGAAUCCUUGGCACUGAGGUUCAAACGAUAAGAUCUUCGUAGAAUAUGUAGGAUCCAAUAUGGGCAUCCAGGUCCCGCUAUUGGAUAUUGACCGAGGAGUCUCUCGGGUCAUGUCUACAUAGUUCUCGAACCCGCAGGGUCUGCACACUUAAGGUUCGACGUUGUUUUAUGCGUAUUUGAGUUAUAUGGUUGGUUACCGAAUGUUGUUCGGAGUCCCGGAUGAGAUCACGGACGUCACGAGGGUCUCUGGAAUGGUCCGGAAACGAAGAUUGAUAUAUAGGAUGACCUCAUUUGAUUACCGGAAGGUUUUCGGAGUUACCGGGGAUGUACCGGGAAUGACGAAUGGGUUCCGGGAGUUCACCGGGGGGGGCAACCCACCCCGGGGAAGCCCAUAGGCCUUGGGGGAGACACACCAGCCCUUAGUGGGCUGGUGGGACAGCCCACAAGUGCCCUAUGCGCCAAGGAGAAGAAAAUCAAGAGAGAAAGAAAAAAAAAAGGAGGAGGUGGGAAGGGAGGGGGACUCCCUCCCACCAAACCUAGUCCAACUCGGUUUGGGGGGGGGAGAGUCCUCCCCCUUGGACUCAGCCGACCCCCUUGGGGCUCAAGAGCCCCAAGGCAAGGCCCCCUCCCUCCCACCUAUAUAUACGGAGGUUUUAGGGCUGAUUUGAGACGACUUUUCCACGGCAGCCCGACCACAUACCUCCACGGUUUUUCCUCUAGAUCGCGUUUCUGCGGAGCUCGGGCGGAGCCCUGCUGAGACAAGGUCAUCACCAACCUCCGAAGCGCCGUCACGCUGCCGGAGAACUCUUCUACCUCUCCGUCUCUCUUGCUGGAUCAAGAAGGCCGAGAUCAUCGUCGAGCUGUACGUGUGCUGAACGCGGAGGUGCCGUCCGUUCGGUACUAGAUCGUGUCACUCAUCGCGGGAUUGUUCACGGGGCGGAUCGAGGGACGUGAGGACGUUCCACUACAUCAACCGCGUUCACUAACGCUUCUGCUGUACGAUCUACAAGGGUACGUAGAUCACUCAUCCCAUCUCGUAGAUGGACAUCACCAUGAUAGGUCUUCGUGCCGUAGGAAAAUUUUUGUUUCCCAUGCGACGUUCCCCAACAGUGGCAUCAUGAGCUAGGUUCAUGCGUAGAUGUCUUCUCGAGUAGAACACAAAAGUUUUUUAUGGGCGGUGAUGUGCGUUUUGCUGCCCUCCUUAGUCUUUUCUUGAUUCCGCGGUAUUGUUGGAUUGAAGCGGCUUGGACCGACAUUACUCGUACGCUUACGAGAGACUGGUUUCAUCGUUACGAGUACCCCCCUUUGCUCAAAGAUGACUGGCAAGUGUCGGUUUCUCCAACUUUAGUUGAAUCGGAUUUGACCGAGGAGGUCCUUGGAUGAGGUUAAAUAGCAACUCAUAUAUCUCCGUUGUGGUGUUUGCGUAAGUAAGAUGCGAUCCUACUAGAUACCCUUGGUCACCACGUAAAACAUGCAACAACAAAAUUAGAGGACGUCUAACUUGUUUUUGCAGGGUAUGAUUGUGAUGUGAUAUGGCCAACGAUGUGAUGUGAUAUAGUGGAUGUAUGAGAUGAUCAUGUUGUAAUAGAAAUAUCGACUUGCACGUCGAUGGUACGGCAACCGGCAGGAGCCAUAGGGUUGUCUUUAUACUAACGUUUGUGCUUGCAGAUGCGUUUACUAUUUUGCUAGGAUGUAGCUUUAGUAGUAAUAGCAUAAGUAGCACGACAACCCCGAUGGCAACACGUUGAUGGAUGAUCAUGGUGUGGCGCCAGUGACAAGAAGAUCGUGCCGGUGCUUUGGUGAUGGAGAUCAAGAAGCACGUGAUGAUGGCCAUAUCAUGUCACUUAUGAAUUGCAUGUGAUGUUAAUCCUUUUAUGCACCUUAUUUUGCUUAGAACGGCGGUAGCAUUAUGAGGUGAUCUCUCACUAAAAUUUCAAGACGAAAUUGUGUUCUCCCCGACUAUGCACCGUUGCUACAGUUCGUCGUUUCGAGACACCACGUGAUGAUCGGGUGUGAUAGACUCAACGUUCACAUACAACGGGUGCAAAACAGUUGCGCACGCGGAACACUCGGGUUAAGCUUGACGAGCCUAGCAUGUGCAGACAUGGCCUCGGAACACAUGAGACCGAAAGGUCGAUCAUGAAUCAUAUAGUUGAUAUGAUUAGCAUAGGGAUGCUUACCACUGAAACUAUACUCAACUCACGUGAUGAUCGGACUUGGGAUAGUGUAAGUGGAUCAUGAACCACUCAAAUGACUAGAGAGAUGUACUUUUUGAGUGGGAGUUUAGCAUAUAAUUUGAUUAAGUUGAACUCUAAUUAUCUUGAACAUAGUCUAAGUCCACUUUGAAUAUAUUUGUGUUGUAGAUCAUGGCUCACGCGACAGUCAUCCUGAAUUUUAAUACGUUCCUAGAGAAAGCUAAGUUGAAAGAUGGUGGAAGCAACUUUGUAGACUGGGCUCAUAAUCUUAAGCUAAUCUUACAAGCUGGGAAGAAGGAUUAUGUCCUUAAUGCUGCGCUAGGAGAUGAACCACCCGCUACGGCUGAUCAGGAUGUUAAGAACGCUUGGUUAGCACGUAAGGAGGACUACUCAAUAGUUCAAUGUGCAGUCUUGUAUGGCUUAGAACCGGGACUUCAACGUCACUUUGAGCGUCAUGGAGCAUUUGAGAUGUUCCAGGAGUUGGAGUUUAUCUUUCAGAAGAACGCCCGGAUCGAGAGGUAUGAGACCUCCGAUAAAUUCUAUGCUUGCAAGAUGGAGGAAAACUUGUCUGUCACUGAACAUGUGCUCAAAAUGUCUGGGUACUCAAACCGUCUAGCUGAACUGGGGAUUGAACUCCCGCAAGAAGCUAUCACUGACAGAAUCCUUCAAUCACUGCCGCCAAGCUACAAAGGCUUUGUGUUGAACUACAACAUGCAAGGGAUGAACAAGUCUCCCGGCGAGUUGUUUGCGAUGUUGAAAGUCGCAGAGUCUGAACUCCAUAAAGAGCAUCAAGUGUUGAUGGUGAAUAAGACCACUAGUUUCAAGAGAAACGGCAAAGGCAAGAAGGGCAAUUCGAAGAAGAGCGGCAAGCCUGUUGCCAAUCCGCCGAAGAAACCCAAAGCUGGACCUAAGCCUGAAACGGAGUGUUUCUAUUGCAAGGGUAUGGGUCACUGGAAGCGCAAUUGCCCCAAGUAUCUGGCAGAUAAGAAGGCGGGCAAAGAAAAAUUAGGUAUAUUUGAUAUACAUGUUAUUGAUGUGUACUUAACCGGCUCUCGUAGUAGUACCUCGGUAUUCGAUACCGGUUCUGUUGCUCAUAUUUGCAACUCGAAGCAGGAACUGCGGAAUAGACGAAGGCUGGCGAAAGACGAAGUGACGAUGCGCGUAGGAAAUGGUUCGAAGGUUGAUGCAAUCGCCGUCGGCACGGUGUCACUUCAGCUACCAUCGGGAUUAGUGAUGAACUUAAAUCAUUGUUAUUUAGUGCCUGCGUUGAGCAUGAACAUUAUAUCUGGAUCUUGUUUAUUGCGAGACGGUUACUCUUUUAAGUCUGAGAAUAAUGGUUGUUCUAUUUCUAUGAGUAACAUCUUUUAUGGUCAUGCACCGAAUGUGAGAGGAUUGUUCAUAUUGAAUCUUGAUAGCAAUACACAUAUACAUAACAUUGAGACCAAAAGAGUUAGAGUAAACAAUGAUAGCGCCAUAUUUUUUUGGCACUACCGCUUGGGUCAUAUUGGUGUAAAGCGCAUGAAGAAACUCCAUGCUGAUGGACUUUUGGAGUCACUUGACUUUGAUUCACUUGACACGUGCGAACCAUGCCUCAUGGGCAAGAUGACUAAGACUCCGUUCUCCGGAACAAUGGAGCGUGCAAGUGACUUAUUGGAAAUCAUACAUACCGAUAUGUGUGGUCCAAUGAGCGUGGAGGCACGCGGCGGAUAUCGUUAUUUUCUCACCUUCACUGACGAUUUAAGUAGAUAUGGUUAUGUCUACUUGAUGAAGCACAAGUCUGAAACAUUUGAAAAGUUCAAGCAAUUUCAGAGUGAAGUGGAAAAUCAUCGUAACAAGAAGAUCAAGUUCCUACGUUCUGAUCGUGGGGGUGAAUAUCUGAGUUUCGAGUUUGGUGCUCACUUAAGACAAUGUGGAAUUGUUUCACAGUUAACACCGCCUCGAACACCAUAGCGUAAUGGUGUGUCCGAACGUCGUAAUCGUACUUUGUUAGAGAUGGUGCGAUCUAUGAUGUCUCUUACUGAUUUGCCCUUAUCAUUUUGGGGUUAUGCAUUAGAAACAGCUGCAUUCACUUUAAAUAGGGCACCAGCAAAAUCCGUUGAGACGACACCAUACGAACUAUGGUAUGGCAAGAGGCCAAAGUUGUCGUUUCUUAAAGUUUGGGGAUGUGAUGCUUAUGUCAAAAAGCUUCAGCUUGAAAAGCUGGAACCCAAAGCGGAAAAAUGCGUCUUCAUAGGUUACCCAAAAGAGACAGUUGGGUACACCUUCUAUCUCAAAUCCGAGGGCAAAGUGUUUGUUGCUAAGAACGGAGCUUUUCUCGAGAAGGAGUUUCUCUCGAGAGAAUUGAGUGGGAGGAAGAUAAGACUUGACGAGGUUGUCGAACCUCUCAUCCCUCUGGAUGGUGGCGCAGGGCAAGGGGAAACCUCUGUCGUUGCGACGCCGGUUGAGGAGGAAGUUAAUGAUGAUGAUCAUGAAACUCCAGUUCAAGUUUCUGUUGAACCACGCAGGUCGACGAGAUCACGUGCUACUCCAGAGUGGUACGGUAAUCCCGUCUUAUCAAUCAUGUUGUUAGACAACAAUGAACCUGCAAGUUAUGAAGAAGCAAUGGUGGGCCCAGAUUCCAACAAAUGGCUAGAAGCCAUGAAAUACGAGAUAGGAUCCAUGUAUGAGAACAAAGUGUGGACUUUGGAGAUACUACCUGAGGGCCGCAAGGCUAUUCAGAACAAAUGGAUCUUUAAAAAGAAGACGGACACUGACGGUAAUGUGACCGUUUAUAAAGCUUGACUUGUGGCAAAGGGUUUUUCACAAGUUCCAGGAAUUGGCUACGAUGAGACUUUCUCACCCGUGGCGAUGCUUAAGUCCGUCAGAAUCAUGUUAGCAAUAGCUGCAUUUUUCGAUUAUGAAAUCUGGCAGAUGGAUGUCAAAACGGCGUUCCUUAACGGUUUCCUUAAGGAAGAGUUGUAUAUGAUGCAACCCGAAGGUUUUGUCGAUCCUAAGAAUGCUAACAAGGUGUGCAAGCUCCAGCGAUCCAUUUAUGGACUGGUGCAAGCAUCUCGGAGUUGGAACAAACGCUUUGAUGAGGUGAUCAAGGCAUUUGGGUUUAUACAAGUGGUUGGAGAAUCUUGUAUUUACAAGAAAGUGAGUGGGAGCUCUGUGGCGUUUCUAAUAUUAUAUGUGGAUGACAUAUUACUGAUUGGAAACAACGUAGAGCUUUUGGAGAGCAUAAAAGGUUACUUGAAUAAAAGUUUCUCUAUGAAGGACCUAGGAGAAGCUGCUUACAUUCUAGGCAUUAAGAUCUAUAGGGAUAGAUCAAAACGCCUGACAGGACUUUCACAAAGCACAUACCUUGAUAAAGUUUUGAAGAGGUUCAAAAUGGAACAGUCCAAGAAAGGGUUCUUGACAGUUUUACAAGGUACGAGAUUGAGUAAGACUCAGUGCCCAGCAACUGAUGAAGAUAGAGAGCAUAUGCGCUCCAUCCCCUAUGCUUCGGCCAUAGGUUCUAUCAUGUAUGCGAUGUUGUGCACUAGACCGGAUGUUAGCCUGGCCAUAAGUAUGGCAGGUAGGUUCCAGAGUAAUCCAGGAGUGGAUCACUGGACAGCUGUCAAGAAUAUCCUGAAGUACCUGAAAAGGACUAAGGAGAUGUUUCUCGUAUAUGGAGGUGACGAAGAGCUCGCCGUAAAAGGUUACGUCGAUGCAAGCUUUGACACAGAUCCGGACGACUCUAAGUCGCAAACCGGAUACGUAUUUAUUCUUAAUGGGGGUGCAGUAAGCUGGUACAGUUCCAAGCAAAGCGUCGUAGCAGAUUCUACAUGUGAAGCGGAGUACAUGGCUGUCUCGGAGGCAGCUAAGGAGGGUGUCUGGAUGAAGCAGUUCAUGACGGAUCUUGGAGUGGUGCCAAGUGCACUGGAUCCAAUAACCUUGUUCUGUGACAACACGGGUGCCAUUGCCUUAGCAAAGGAACCACGGUUUCACAAGAACACCAGACACAUCAAACGACGCUUCAACCUCAUCCGCGACUACGUCGAGGAAGAGGACGUAAAUAUAUGCACAGUGCACACGGAUCUGAAUGUAGCAGACCCGCUGACUGAACCUCUUCCACGGCCAAAACAUGAUCGACACCAGAACUGUAUGGGUGUUAGAUUCAUUACAAUGUAAUUCACAUGAUAAUGUGAGGGCUAGAUUAUUGACUCUAGUGCAAGUGGGAGACUGUUGGAAUUAUGCCCUAGAGGCAAUAAUAAAUAUAGUUAUUAUUAUAAUUCUUGUAUCAAGAUAAUAGUUUAUUAUCCAUGCUAUAAUUGUAUUGAAUGAAGACUCAUAUACAUGUGUGGAUACAUAGACAAAACACCAUCCCUAGCAUGCCUCUAGUUGGCUAGCCAGUUGAUCGAUGAUAAUCAGUGUCUUCUGAUUAUGAACAAGGUGUUGUUGCUUGAUAACUCGCUCACGUCAUUGGGAGAAUCACGUGAUGGACUAGACCCAAACUAAUAGACGUAGCAUGUUGAUCGUGUCAUUUUGUUGCUACUGUUUUCUGCGUGUCAAGUAUUUAUUUCUAUGACCAUGAGAUCAUAUAACUCACUGACAUCGGAGGAAUGCCUUGUGUGUAUCAAACGUCGCAACGUAACUGGGUGACUAUAAAGAUGCUCUACAGGUAUCUCCGAAGGUGUUGGUUGAGAUAGUAUGGAUCAAGACUGGGAUUUGUCACUCCGUGUGACGGAGAGGUAUCUCGGGGCCCACUCGGUAAUACAACAUCACACACAAGCCUUGCAAGCAAUGUAACUUAGUGUAAGUUGCGGGAUCUUGUAUUACGGAACGAGUAAAGAGACUUGCCGGUAAACGAGAUUGAAAUAGGUAUGCGGAUACUGACGAUCGAAUCUCGGGCAACUAACAUACCGAAGGACAAAGGGAAUGACAUACGGGAUUAUACGAAUCCUUGGCACUGAGGUUCAAACGAUAAGAUCUUCGUAGAAUAUGUAGGAUACAAUAUGGGCAUCCAGGUCCCGCUAUUGGAUAUUGACCGAGGAGUCUCUCGGGUCAUGUCUACAUAGUUCUCGAACCCGCAGGGUCUGCACACUUAAGGUUCGACGUUGUUUUAUGCGUAUUUGAGUUAUAUGGUUGGUUACCGAAUGUUGUUCGGAGUCCCGGAUGAGAUCACGGACGUCACGAGGGUUUCUGGAAUGGUCCGGAAACGAAGAUUGAUAUAUAGGAUGACCUCAUUUGAUUACCGGAAGGUUUUCGGAGUUACCGGGAAUGUACCGGGAAUGACGAAUGGGUUCCGGGAGUUCACCGGGGGGGGGGGGCAACCCGACCCCGGGGAAGCCCAUAGGCUUUGGGGAGACACACCAGCCCUUAGUGGGCUGGUGGGACAGCCCACAAGUGCCCUAUGCGCCAAGGAGAAGAAAAUCAAGAGAGAAAGAAAAAAAAAAGGAGGAGGUGGGAAGGGAGGGGGACUCCCUCCCACCAAACCUAGUCCAACUCGGUUUGGGGGGGGGAGAGUCCUCCCCUUUGGACUCGGCCGACCCCGUUGGGGCUCCUUGAGCCCCAAGGCAAGGCCCCCUCCCUCCCACCUAUAUAUACGGAGGUUUUAGGGCUGAUUUGAGAUGACUUUUCCACGGCAGCCCGACCACAUACCUCCACGGUUUUUCCUCUAGAUCGCGUUUCUGCGGAGCUCGGGCGGAGUCCUGCUGAGACAAGGUCAUCACCAACCUCCGAAGCGCCGUCACGCUGCCGGAGAACUCUUCUACCUCUCCGUCUCUCUUGCUGGAUCAAGAAGGCCGAGAUCAUCGUCGAGCUGUACGUGUGUUGGACGCGGAGGUGCCGUCCGUUCGGUACUAGAUCGUGGGACUGAUCGCGGGAUUGUUCACGGGGCGGAUCGAGGGACAUGAGGACGUUCCACUACAUCAACCGCGUUCACUAACGCUUCUGCUGUACGAUCUUCAAGGGUACGUAGAUCACUCAUCCCAUCUCGUAGAUGGACAUCACCAUGAUAGGUCUUCGUGCGCGUAGGAAAAUUUUUGUUUCCCAUGCGACGUUCCCCAACAGCUCUUUCUUAUCCCACUUUGGGAUGGCAGUCUCAUAGCCCCCUGGCCCCAGUGUGUGGUGAUAUUUCUUCUUGUCGGCAUUUUUCUUAUUCUUUUCUGAUAAUGCCUUGGCAUCUUCUGACUCCUUGUACUCUUGAAAUGCCUUCCAGUUAUUCGCCUGCUUGGCUAGAUACCCCUCGAAUACUGGCACUUUCUUUGUCUUCCGACAGUUUUUCCAUAGCUUCUUCUUCCAGCUACGGAACAGUUCGGCCAUCUUGUUUAGAGUCCACUGCUUGACUUUGUUCCUCAGUUUUUUUGCGGCGUCUUCAUUCUCACAUUCUGGCAGGUUGAAAUGUGACAUGAGAUCAUUCCAAAGAUUAUCUUUGUACCUUUCGGCGACAUAGUCACUAUCGGCUGCCCCUUUGCGCUUGUUCCACUCCCGUACGCUGAUCAGGACAUGAUCCCUAACGAGAACUCCGCAUUGCUUCUUGAAUGUGUCAGCAACAUUCUUAGCAAGCUUGGGUUCGCCCGUAGGAAAUAUCACCUCAAAGGUGUAAUGCGUCCGUGCAUCCAACUUUUUAGUCGGGCCUCGUUUCGUAGCUUUGCUCGAUGUGGAGGCCUAAGAGGGAGAAACAUUCGUCAAAUGAAUGUAUAUGUAUACGAUAUAGAGCUAUCUCCAAUAUUUUUCACAUAUUACAAGUGAUUGUCUAACUUCAUAUGUAUACCUCGCCGGACUUUAUUAUUUCUCCACCGGCUUCUCCGCCGGCUUCUCCAUCAGUGGAGCUAUCACCUUCUCCGUCAUUGGACCUAUCUCCUGCCCCAUAGGCUUCAUCUUUGUGUCGGUCGACCUCCAUUCCAUAUCCGGAGGGGUUUAGAUAUGACGACGGAGAUUCAGCUGGUUCAACGUCGGGGCCGUCUUUGAUUAUAUCUUCGAGAAGUUCUUCCUCUUUGAGGUUCCUGAUAUGUGGAUCCAUAGUUCUGCAAAAACAGACAUUUGAUUAACUAAUAAACUAGCAAACUAUAUAAGAGGGGUUGGAAACUUCGAAGUGUCGUUUUAUAUAGGAGGACCUUUAGUCUCGGGUCUUGGCUAGAACCUAAUCUCUAAAAUAUGUCUAACGGAUUCUCUUAACCUUUAAGGAUUUAACAAAAUGGCGACAUUCUAGAUGUGUAGAAAAUGAUCGUAUUUUUCCUCAUCUCAUCUAUCCUUCUAUAUGUCACAUUGUCUAGUGUCAAAGGACUUUGUUGCACUUUGUACCAAAAAAGAAUUAUUCUAUCAGGAACUCCGUUCCAAAACAACUUUAGUCCCGGGUCGUGGCUCCACCCGGGACUCCUAGAUUUCUGCAUAGUAUUCAAAGUAGGAGUACUUUUCCAAUUUCAGCAUUCAAUAAGCAAAACCAAAUCGUAAAAUAAAGUAGUAUUCAAAUUAGCAUGCAUUCAAUUAUAAGCAAAACUACAUCAUCUCUUGUGUCCGUACAUCGUCGAAUAUUAUCACUAAUACUCCUCGAAUACUAUCAUACAUAUAGCAUCACUAAUACAGCUAGAACCGUAGCGCCCGACGGGUAUCUUCGCGGGUGGUGGACACCCAAAGAGAAGCAACCAUCACAGGAUCAUGGCUCCAGUGAGAUCCCUGAAGAACCUGCCAGGUAUGGUCGAACCUGCCCUCCAACGCAACCAUGUAGCGACGGACGUGCUCAUCCUCCUCGCUGACACGGUGACGUACCACCUCCGCGGUGUCCGGAAGCCUCGGCACCGUCAUUGGCCCACGCGACCGCCACCAAAUAAGGAUCGGGUCAACAACGGGUUGGCUCCUCACCAACCUACGCCCCCGGAAGGUAGCACCUCCCAAUACCAGCCGGGCGGAGCCUAGUCCCGGACAUGGCCCCUCUGAUCAAGCAGGUGUCCUCCGCCGAGUCGACGACGAGGAUGCGGGAUAGGCAUCGUAAAAUAAACUAAAAAAUAAACUAGUUCUAUUAAUUUUCUUGUUAAAAAUAAACUAAUUGUAUAUAUAGUAAAAUAAAGUAGUUUUAUUAAAUCAACUAGUUCAACUAUAUAUUAAUUAACACUAACUACCUAACCCUAAUAACACAAAUUUAAAUAACACAAAAUAACACAAAUAACCUAUUUAACACUAACCUACCUAACCCUAAAUUCACCAAAUAUUCUACAAAUAACACUUAAGCAUAUACAAUAGCAAAAUUAAGCAAUAAUCUAAAAAACACUAAUUAAGCAUCUAUAUACGUAGAAAUGUCUUCUUCCUCUUCUUCUUCUUCUUCUUCUUUCUUAUUUUCUUCUCCGCUUCUUCUUCUCCUAUUUUUCUUCAACUUCUCUUCUUCUACUUCUCCUCUUCUUCUAUUUUUCCUCUUCUUCUCCUCUCCUCCUCUUCUUAUUCUCCUUUUUCUUCUUUUCUUCUCCUCCUCUUCUUAUUUUCCUUUUUCCUAAUCUUAUUUUUUUAUUUUUGUUCAUCUUUCUUCUUCUUGUAACCCUAACCUAAUUCUAAAUAUUACUAACCCUAAUAAUCUAGCACAAACCUAAUAACAAUAGGAAUAAAAUGACAAAAAAAAUCUUUUCUUCUUUUCUUCUCCUUUUUCUUCUUUUCUUCUCCUUUUUCUUCUUUUCUUCUCCUCCUCACCGGCACGACGGCGGCGGUGGCGUCCCCGCCGGCGGGCGCCGGCGGCUCGUCCUUNNNNNNNNNNNNNNNNNNNNNNNNNNNNNNNNNNNNNNNNNNNNNNNNNNNNNNNNNNNNNNNNNNNNNNNNNNNNNNNNNNNNNNNNNNNNNNNNNNNNGAGGCGACGGCGGGGCAGGGGAUAGGGGCGGGCCGGGGGAGGGCGACGGCCGGGCCGCUUCUGCUUCAGGCAGCAGGCGCAGGCCACCAGCAGGCCACCAGCAGCGCAGCCGCGCAGGCUACUUCUGAAUUCUGGUUCAGACAUGAGCAGUGGGCAUGAGAGUCUAGCAAAUCCAAAAAAAAGAGGAAGAGGUAAUCUUUUAUUUUUCUGAAAUUUGAGGUGGUUGGUACUUGGUAGUGGCAGCAGAUUGUAUUGAGAUAUUAAUGUUGUAAUUGCAGAUUUAAGAAAGUAUUUUCAAGUGCUUGGUGGUGGCAGCAACUCAAAAUCGAAUCCAAGCACUCGUGAAAGUGUCAAUAUUUCAGCACAUGACCAUCAUCAAAAUCAAGUUAUUUCCAUGGAAGUGGAACAAACUACAAAUUCCGUUGAAGCUAUAGUGGAAGAGAAUGUAGAAGUUCACGGGGUUGAAGGUAUAACUAUUUUUAGUGAAGAUUACAUAAAUGGUGAUCCAGGACUUCGCAUUCCACUUGAUUGUUUUGCCCCCAACAUUAGAGAUGAUGUUAGAUUUGCUUAUAUACGAAUGGGUGCAACUCAACCAACAAGUUGCAUUUCCCCCCCAAAUAGAGAUGGAAGAUGCUUCCGACCACAAUGGUAUAAAGACUUUGCUUGGUUGGAAUAUAGUGUAACAAAGCAUAAGGCUUAUUGCUUCUGUUGUUUUCUUUUCAAGCAUGACCGAAUGGAUGAUAAAUUUGGGCAUGAUGUCUUCUCCAAAUUUGGUUUUGACUGUUGGAAAAAUGCAGUUGCAGCAUUUCGUAAACAUGUUGGUGGGCCAUGUAGCAUCCACAAUAUUUCAAAGACAACAUGUGAUGAUUUUAAAAAUCAAGGGGCAAGUGUGAAAAGUAAAGUUACAAUUUACAGCCAAGAUUCACUAGUCAAGUAUGAAACUCGUGUCGAUACAUCUUUGGGCAUUGUAAGUUAUCUAGCAUUGCAAGGUGAACCAUUUCGUGGACAUGAUGAAUCCAGUUCUUCUUUGAACAAGGGGAAUUUUUUAGAGUUGCUUGAUUGGGUCAAAGAAAGAAUUCCAGAAGUGAAGGUUGCAUUUGAUGAGUUAUGUCCUAAAAAUGCCAAAAUGACUUCCGGGACAAUUCAAAAAGACCUUGUCAAACAUUGUGCAAAUGCAGUCAUCAAAGUAAUCAAAGAAGAGAUGGGUGAUUGCCUUUUCUCUGUUCUUAUUGAUGAGUGCCGUGAUAUAUCGGUGAAAGAACAAAUGGUCGUGGUUAUCAGGUAUGUAUAAUGUAUUGAAGAAUGUUAAGUGUCUAUGUGUUUUUCCUUCUGUUAUAUGUAGAGUAGGUUAACUAAUUUUAUGAUUGUCUACUUCUACAGGUAUUUGAGCAAAAAAGGAGAGACCAUUGAAAGAUUUUUGGCUAUUAAGCAUGUUCCAGACACAACAUCUGUUUCUUUGAAGAAGGCAUUGUUGGAGGUUUUUGCUAAACACGGUUUAGUUGUUGCAAGACUACGAGGGCAAGGAUAUGAUGGGGCAUCUAAUAUGAGAGGAGAAUUCAAUGGACUUCAGAAGUUAAUUCGAGAUGAGAACCCAUAUGCUUUCUAUAUCCACUGCUUUGCCCACCAACUGCAGUUGGUAGUUGUUGCUGUUUCGAGAUGUUGCAAGGGUGUUGAGGAUUUUUUUUGAAUAUGUGACCAUGAUUGCCAAUCUCAAUACUUCAUAUUGCAAGAGGAAGGAUAAAUUGCUUGACAAGCAAAAGGAAAUUCUUUUGGAUAAGAUUGAGAGAGGUGAGAUGACCACAGGAAGAGGGAGAAAUCAGGAAACAUCCUUAGUCAGACCUAGAGACACAAGAUGGGGAUCUCAUUACACAACCUUAUCUCGCAUUGAAUCAAUGUGGGAUGCAGUCAUAGAAGUUUUGGGCAUUGUUGAGGAUGAUUUGCGUGUUCCAUGUAGGGCAGGAGGUUUGGUUCAUCAAAUGGAAACUUUUAGCUUUGUGUUCAUCCUGAAGAUGAUGUUAAAAAUCCUUCGUAUCACAAAUGAUUUAUCUCUUCUAUUGCAAAAAAAGGAUCAAAAUGUUGUUCAGGUAUGUGAUGGAUCAUGUUAGAUGUAUGUAGUAUGGUUCAUAUAUUUAGUUCAUGUCAGCAUACAUGCAUCUAAAAUUGUAUUUAUCUCAUUUCAGGCAAUGUCAUUGGUUACGGAUGUGAGAACACGUUUGAUCAACUUCAGAAAUGAUGGUCGGCAGCCACUAUUGGAAGAUGCCAAAGCCUUUUGCACCAAAAACGACAUUCCAAUACCAAAUAUGGAUGACAUCUUUACAAAGUGGGGUAAAUCAAGAAAAUGUGGACGAAACAAUGUCACAGCUGAUCAUUUUUUUCGUGUGGACACCUUCUAUGCUGCUAUAGACUCCAUCACCACAGAGUUCGAUCAUCGUUUUAAUGAGGUAUCUUCAGAGCUGCUCCAGAACUUCUCUUGUCUUGACCCAAGAAACUCCUUUUCUAGGUUCAACCUGCAUAAACUAGCUAGACUCACAGAGAUAUACCAUGAUGAUUUCUCUGAUUAUGAACGUGAACAUAUAGAAGAUAACCUUGAUCUAUUCAUUAUCCAUAUGAGAAGAAUUGAAGACUUUAGAUCUUGUCAUGAUAUUGCAAGUCUAGCUAAAAUGAUGGUUGAACUUGAAAGGCAUGUCAUGUUUCCUACUGUUUAUCGCCUCAUUGAGUUGGCAUUGUUACUACCGGUAGCGACAGCAACAGUUGAAAGGGCCUUCUCAUCAAUGAAAAUCAUCAAAACUGAGUUGCGCAGCAAGAUGACAGAUGGUUGGCUUAAUGACUUGAUGGUUUGUUAUAUUGAGCGAGAGAUCUUCAAAAGUAUUGAUCUUGGUAAAAUUAAGGAAGAUUUUCAGAAUGAGGGUAGGGCAUUGCCAUUACCUGGGUCUUCUAGACGUCAUUGAAAGCUUCAUUAUCGGUAUGUUUUAGGUUGUUUUUCUAUUGAAACAUGUCUACAUUUUUAUUGUAUUUGGUUUUCAUUUGUAAUGUGUAUUGAGUCUUUCGAUUUGCAUUAAAAGAAUUCUUUCCUUAAGACUUCGCCACACCUUAAAUUUUUUUUCGUCCUCCGCCUCUGCUUCGGCUAGUUCCAGAUUAUGCACUUCAUCAACAUGGCUCAUGCUACCACUUGUACAAAUCCCAAUAGAUUUUUUAUAAUCAAAAAUAGCCCAUGUGCCGUGAAUUGGAGAAGACCACAGGAUCAACAUUCGUCAACAUGAACUUUAUCGGUGGUAGAGACCAUUUUUCAAUCGACCCCUGGUUCUCACACCAUGUGGACGUAGUCUAACCGGAAGCAAUGAACUCUAGAUUGUAACAAUUUGUCAUCAAUUUGACAUCCCUAGUAUAAAUGUAAGAAAUCAGCAAUCAUGUCAUAUUCUCCAAUGAUUUCCUUACGCAUAUUUCUUGAGUGGUUUUGGUUGCAAGAAAACUGUCUUUCUUGUAGCAUCAUCCACUCGCAAGUGAUCAUACGCACUACCUCUUGAAUCAGCUAGUUCAUCUCUACAAAAGUACAAGUUGAUAGCACAAUCAGCUACUUCACCGAGACAAGUAUAAAGAAUGCAAAUUAUUUCCCCUAAUAGUUUCAACAAGAACGUCCAUGAAGUAGAGGUAUGUCUCACUUGGCACAACUUGUCGACCUUCCAUAAAGGAUGGCUUGAAGAGGAUUGCUCGGGCGAUCUCAAUGGAAAAGUUCCAACUCAGCGUGUAAUUCAGAUAUUUUAUUCCAGCUCAGGUUCAUAAGAUUAAACCCCAAAGUUUGAUUAUGCCUCUGAUGAACAAUCAAAGAGCAAACACAAUAUAAAUAGCAUUCAAAACACAUUAGUUUUGCAGUGGAAUGCUCCAUAAUUAAAUAUCUAUGUGGAAUGGCAUGAGAGUCUUUUAGCCACAAGAUAAUCUUGCUCAUACAAUUCUAGUAGGUCACACAUAUUACGCCAAAUAUAUCACCAAGAGUGAUAACUUUACAAGUGACAAACAUUAAGAGUUGAGACUGUGUGCUGAGGGAGAGCAUCUUGAUCUUUGGGUUUUUAUUGCUGACAUCAAGGUUGCUGUAAUAACACCUACCAUUCCUCACACCUAACUUAAUGAACAGUGAUUACCAUAGUGAAAUGUAUUGAGAGAAGAAAAAAACGAGGGACGACGAGGGCCCAAUUAACAUGCUGAAUGGGGAUCGAAUUUGGAGCCGCACCCAUGUCGUGUAACUGGCGGCCUUACUCGCCCUAUCCCAUGCGAGUCGAAUGGGCCGUGGUGGACGACGGAGGCCACUACGGCUGUGGCAGACUAGAAAUUUGGUGGACUAUAUCUGACAUGCCUCGAGCUGACUCCUAUCUAGUCCAAGCCAACCAUUGUUUGACAAUAGAGUCGAGCGGCAGAAAGCCACGAACAAAGCAGAGGAAGGAUAUCGUCCCUGUUGGGGAACGUAGUAAUUUCAAAAAAAAAUCCUACGUCAUGCAAGGAUCUAUCUAUGGAGAAAUCAGCAAUGAGCAAAGAAGUAGAGCAUCUUCAUACCUUUGAAGAUCGUUAAGCAGAAUCGUUGCUAGAACGCGGUUGAUGGAGUCGUACUCGCAGCGAUUCAGAUCACGGUGGAUUCCGAACUAUGCACCGAACAUCGGUGCCUCCGCGUUCAACACACGUGCAGCCCGGUAAUCUCUCUUAGCACGACGGCGUGGUGACGGUGGAGCUGUGUGGUAACUCCGACAGGGCUUUGCUAAGCACUACGGACGACGAGGAUGAGGAGGAGUAGGGCUGCGCCGAGAGAGAAGUAAUUGUUGUCUCAAAUCUGCCCAAAAGUCCUCAAUAUAUAUAGGAGGAGAGGGAGGAGGUGCCCACCCUUUAGGGUUUCCCACACUAAAGGGUGCGGCAGCCCUAGAGCCCAAGGAGCGCGGCAGCCAAGGGUGGAGGGCCCUAGGGUGGGCCUUUGAUGUUGGGGAACGUCGCAUGGGAAACAAAAUUUUCCUACGCGCACGAAGACCUAUCAUGGUGAUGUCCAUCUAUGAGAGGGGAUGUGUGAUCUACGUACCCUUGUAGACCGUACAGCAGAAGCGUUAGUGAACGCGGUUGAUGUAGUGGAACGUCCUCACGUCCCUCGAUCCGCCCCGGAACUAUCCCGCGAUCAGUCCCACGAUCUAGUGCCGAACGGACGGCACCUCCGCGUUCAGCACACGUACAGCUCGACGAUAAUCUCAGCCUUCUUGAUCCAGCAAGAUAGACGGAGAGGUAGAAGAGUUCUCCGGCAGCGUGACGGCGCUCCAGAGGUUAGUGAUGAUCUUGUCUCAGCAGGGCUCCGCCCGAGCUCCGCAGAAACGCGAUCUAGAGGUAAAACCAUGGAGAUAUGUGGUCGGGCUGCCGUGGCAAAAGUGUGUCAAAUCAACCCUAAAACCCCACUAUAUAUAGGAGGGAGGGGGAGGGAAGAGGCAGCCUCAAACCCUCAAGGUUUGGCCGAAAUUGGAGGUGGAGGAGUCCUACUCCAAUCCUACUUGGAGUAGGAUUCCACCUUCCCACUUGGAAACUCUUUCCACCUUGUGUUUUUUCCUUCUCAAACCUUAUGGGCCUUAGUGGGAACUUAUUCCAGCCCACUAGGGACUGGUUUAUCUCUUCCCAUAGCCCAUGAGACCCCUUGGGGCGUGACACCCCUCCCGAUGGUCCCCGGCACCCCUCCGGCACUCCCGGUACACUACCGAUGAGCCCGAAACUUUUCCGGUGACCAAAACAGGACUUCCUAUAUAUCAAUCUUUACCUCCGGACCAUUCCGGAGCUCCUCGUGACAUCCUGGUUCUCAUCCGGGACUCCGAACAACAUUCGGUAACCAACCAUAUAACUCAAAUACGCAUAAAACAACGUCGAACCUUAAGUGUGCAGAUCCUGCGGGUUCGAGAACUAUGUAGACAUGACCCGAGAGACUCCUCGGUCAAUAUCCAAUAGCGGGACCUGGAUGCCCAUAUUGGAUCCUACAUAUUCUACGAAGAUCUUAUCGUUUGAACCUCAGUGCCAAGGAUUCAUAUAAUCCCGUAUGUCAUUCCCUUUGUCCUUCGGUAUGUUACUUGCCCGAGAUUCGAUCCUUAGUAUCCGCAUACCUAUUUCAAUCUCGUUUACCGGCAAGUCUCUUUACUCGUUCCGUAAUACAAGAUCCCGCAACUUACACUAAGUCACAUUGCUUGCAAGGCUUGUGUGUGAUGCUGUAUUACCGAGUGGGCCCCGAGAUACCUCUCCGUCACACGGAGUGACAAAUCCCAGUCUCGAUUCAUACUAACUUAACGAACACCUUCGGAGAUACCUGUAGAGCAUCUUUACAGUCACCCAGUUACGUUGCGACGUUUGAUACACACAAAGUAUUCCUCCGGUGUUAGUAAGUUAUAUGAUCUCAUGGUCAUAGGAAUAAAUACUUGACACGUAGAAAACAGUAGCAACAAAAUGACACGAUCAACAUGCUACGUCUAUUAGUUUGGGUCUAGUCCAUCACGUGAUUCUCCCAAUAACGUGAUCCAGUUAUCAAGCAACAACACCUUGUUCAUAAUCAGAAGACACUGACUAUCAUCGAUCAACUGGCUAGCCAACUAGAGGCAUGCUAGGGAUGGUGUUUUGUCUAUGUAUCCACACAUGUAAAUGAGUCUUCAUUCAAUACAAUUAUAGCAUGGAUAAUAAACUAUUAUCUUGAUACAGGAAUUAUAAUAAUAACUAUAUUUAUUAUUGCCUCUAGGGAAUAAUUCCAACAAGAGCAAGAUCUGCUAGCUAAAGGCAUCAUACGUGAACCACUCCGUGAUGAGUGGGAAUUGAGAGCAAGAAAUUGGUUCCUUGCGCAUGGUGGUUCGUACGAUGAAGAAACAUGGGACCUCAUCUGCAGUGACGGUCUUAGGAUACCCAGGGAGAAUUGGAAAAAGAUAGUGAAAGAAAUUAAGGAGGGACAAAGACAGUUCACUGCAGAUAGAGAGAAAGAUUUACUCACACUGGUCCUCGGCAAUGACGAACAUGGAGGACGAACGCGAGGCUUCGGUCCUUCUUACCCGUGGUAGCUUGGGUUUGCCAGAGACCAAGACACUUACAGAAGCCGAGCGAGAGCAAAGAAGCGACAACAGGAUGAGGAGAAUGACAGGUUCAACCAGUUGCUUGCCAGGAUUAACGAGCAACAGAAGCAUAUUGAUGAGCUUAAAGGAGUAGCACGCCAGGAAGAUCCUGCACUCGAUAUUACCGGCGCCCCAUCUAAGCGGAAAAGCAGUGUGGCUGAAUCUUAGGCCCCGCCGACGAUGCAUGAAGAAUGAUAGAGGGCGGUCCCGGCUACCCCGUGGACUGGAAUCAAGGAGUCAACAUCAUGUGAACUCCAUCAGAAAUUCAAGAACAUAUCCAUGAAGGUGGCCGUCGGACNNNNNNNNNNNNNNNNNNNNNNNNNNNNNNNNNNNNNNNNNNNNNNNNNNNNNNNNNNNNNNNNNNNNNNNNNNNNNNNNNNNNNNNNNNNNNNNNNNNNUCGGAUCUAAUGCCGAACGGACGGCACAUCCGCGUUCAGCACACGUACAGCUCGACGAUGAUCUCGGCCUUCUUGAUCCAGCACGUAAGAAGGAGAAGUAGAUAAGUUCUCCGGCAGCGUGACGGCGCUCCGAUGGUGGUGACGAUCUACUCCAACAGGGCUCCGCCCGAGCUCCGCAGAAAUACGAUCUAGAGGAAGAACUACGGUGUCUAGAUCUGAGUUGCACGUGGCAAAAGUUGUCUCAAAUCAACCCUAAAUCACCACUAUAUAUAGGAGGGAGGGGGAGGAUGCUUGCCUUGAGGGCCAAGCCCUCAAGGGUGCGCCGGCCAGGGAGGAGAGGAGGAAUCCUACUCCAAUUAGGAUUGGAAAGUGGAGUCCUUCUCUUCAUUCCCACGUCCCUUUUUUUGUUUUCUUCUCUUGCCGCCAUGGCACUUUUGGGCUGUCCCACCAGCCCACUAAGGGCUGGUGCGCCACCCCUAAGGCCAUUGGGCUUCCCCCGGGUGGGUUGCCCCCCCUCCCUCCCGGUGAACUUCCGGAACCCAUUCGUCACUUCCGGUAACCAAAUGAAACCAUCCUAUAUAUAAAUCUACGUUUCCGGACCAUUCCGGAAACCCUCGUGACGUCUGUGAUCUCAUCCGGGACUCCAAACAACAUUCGGUAACCACACAUAUAACUCAACUAUACUAAAACAUCAUCGACCUUAAGUGUGCAGACCCUGCGGGUUCGAGAACUAUGUAGACAUGCCCUGAUGCACUCCUCGGUCAAUAUCCAAUAGCGGGACCUGGAUGCCCAUAUUGGAUCCUACAUAUUCUCCGAAGAUCUUAUCGGUUGAACCUAAGUGUCAAGGAUUCAUACAAUCUCGUAUGUCAUUCCCUUUGUCCUUCGGUUUACUUGCCCGAGAUUCGAUCGUCAGUAUCCGCAUACCUAUUUCAAUCUCGUUACCGGCAAGUCUCUUUACUCGUUCUGUAUUACAAGAUCCCGUGACUUACACUUAGUCACAUUGCUUGCAAGGCUUGUGUGUGAUGUUGUAUUACCGAGUGGGCCCCGAGAUACCUCUCCGUCACACGGAGUGACAAAUCCCAGUCUUGAUCCAUACUAACUCAACGGACACCUUCGGAGAUACCUGUAGAACACCUUUAGAGUCCCCCAGUUACGCUGUGAUGUUUGAUGCACACAAGGUAUUCCUUCGGUGCCAGUGAGUUACAUGAUCUCAUGGUCAUAGGAACAAAUACUUGACACGCAGAAAACAAUAGCAUUAAAACGACACGAUCAAUAUGUUGCAUUCAUAGUUUGGGUCUAGUCCAUCACAUGAUUCUCCUAAUGAUGUGAUCCAGUUAUCAAGUGACAACACUUGCACAUAGCCAGAAAACCUUGACUAUCAUUGAUCAACUGGCUAGCCAACUAGAGGCUUGCUAGGGACAUAAUUUUGUCUAUGUAUCCACACAUGUAUCUAUGUUUUAUCAAUACAAUUAUAGCAUCGAUAAUAAACGAUUAUCUUUCAACAGGAAAUAUAAUAAUAACUAUUUAUCAUUGCCUCUAGGGCAUAUUUCCAACAAGAUGUGCCGGUGCGCGUGCUCGAACUCGAGGACAUCCAUGGCGGAUGAGCCCGGGGCGGUCCUAAACGAUGCUAACAUGGCAAGAACACGGGGGAAACGAAGAUGGGGAGUAUCAGAGGCUCACCAUGGUCCCAUGGGACUAGACGAGGAGGCGGGAUGCGUACGAGGAGGCNNNNNNNNNNNNNNNNNNNNNNNNNNNNNNNNNNNNNNNNNNNNNNNNNNNNNNNNNNNNNNNNNNNNNNNNNNNNNNNNNNNNNNNNNNNNNNNNNNNNGAAGAAAAAGGAGAAGAAAAGAAGAAAAGAUUUUUUUGUCAUUUUAUUCCUAUUGUUAUUAGGUUUGUGCUAGAUUAUUAGGGUUAGUAAUAUUUAGAAUUAGGUUAGAUUUACGUGCAUUUUCACACUAAACAAAGUUGUGGACACAUUGCAUUACUUUUAGCAGCCAAUUAGUACUCCAUUGUACUAGUUCUGUAUGCAUGCGUAGUGUGAAUUCUAUUUUUCAACCCAUCUCGCAUUCAAUCAACAACGCCUAGGUUCCAGAGAAUUUCCAAGCACGCCUUCUAACCCGUGACGAAAAAAGUAUAUGUAACGGUGCAAAAAAAGAAGUAUAUGUAUAAAUGCAGGCAAGCCCAUCAUGAUAGUGGUAUAAGAGAUAUGGCAGAGAGUGGAAAGACAGCUUAACUAACACGCUGAUCAUGGAUGGCGUGAGGAGGCACACUGUUAAACCAACAUGAGGUAGUACCAGAAGCAGUGCGGAUCCAAAGGUUACUUGUCUUAGGUUUGUUUACAUANNNNNNNNNNNNNNNNNNNNNNNNNNNNNNNNNNNNNNNNNNNNNNNNNNNNNNNNNNNNNNNNNNNNNNNNNNNNNNNNNNNNNNNNNNNNNNNNNNNNGGAGGAUUUAGUCCCAGUUGGUGUCUUGAACCGGGACUAAAAGGUAGACCUUUUAGUCCCGGUUCGUGACACSAACCGGGACUAAAGGUGUUCUAGUAUUUUUUUUUUUAAAUUCUUGUUUGUAGUUUCUGUUUUAAAUUGCUUAUAUCUUUUAGGAUAUUUGAUGUUUUUGAUUGAUUCUUUUUGCAUUAGAUUCAAAAUUUUGUCUAGUUUCUGUUUGUGCCAUUAGUUUUCAAAUUUGAAUGGUUUAAAUUUGAAUUUGUUUAAAUUUGAUUUAAACCCAGUUUUUGAAUAACUUGAGUUUACAAAUAGUUUUUAAUUUAAUUCUUUUUGCUCCCACUCAUGUGUUAGAUUGUUGUCACAGUAAGAAUUAUUUGGUUAUUUUUAGAAUAAUUUAAAUUAGGAUUUUAAUUAAAGAAAUAUUGUUUUGCUUAUAUAGUUGUUUUAGUCAUUUAAUUGUUGUUUUUUAUUAUUUCAAAAAGUUAUUUCAAAAAGAAGUUUUUUCAAAAAGUUGUUGUCACAGUAAGGUUUUUAUUAUUUCAAAAAGAAGUUUUUUCCAAAAAAAAGAAAAUAAUUUUAUUUAAAAAUAUUAGGUUGUUUUCAUUGAAAUUCACUAUUAUUGUUACUUAUUAAGUUUAUUUUAAUAAUUGUUUGUUAUUCAAAAAAAUAAAUCAGGUGACAUGACAUCAAGACCCAAGUUGUUUAGGAUUGAUAGCUUACUAUUGUCAGGAAAACAACAAGUGCACACUUGGCAACUAGGGGCGAUAGAACCAGAAAGUUAAGCGUGCUCGGGCUGAAGCGAACAGUGAGAAUGGGUGAUUAGAGAUUAAAUUGUCAAAUAAUUCAAAGAUUAGAAAAUUGGAAUAAAACAUAAAAAAUAUUCAAAAAUAAAAUUUGAAAAAAAAAAAUCUAACUUUUCGGGUCAAACAAACAAAAAAACAGACGGAUCCUUUAGUCCCGGUUCGUAAGUAGAACCGAGACUAAAGGUACUCCCUCCGAGGCGGCCACGUGGAGCACCUUUGGUCCCGGCUUGGAACAGGGCCGGGACUAAAGGUUAGGCCUUUAGUCCUGCCCCUUUAGUCCCGGUUGGUGAACCGGGACUAAAGCCCCUUACGGACCGGGACUAAAGGCCCUGUCCCCACUAGUGGAUUAAAAGAAAAAAGUAGCAUAGCAGCGCCAGCACAGUGGCAUGUUAGUUGCAGACAUAUAGGAUGUGUUUGGUAGCCUGUAUGAAGACUGUAUGAGCCCAAAAAUUCCAUCCCCGAUCUACUUUUCGCUGUUUGGUAGGGUGUAUGAGCUGAGGAGAGGAUGCAUCAACUGAUGCAAAAAAGGGCCUUAGCAUAGCGGAGCCCAGCACCCCGCGGAGACGAGUUGAAGAGAGAUAUGCUGAGUCCAUGCACCCUCGCCCCGCCUCGCCCUCGCCCCGUCGCUCCUCGACCGUCUCCCCUCGCCCUCCCGCGCCCCUCCCGAGCUCCGGCGGCCUCACUCGAGCCCCGCCGCGCCCCGCCGAGCUCUGACGCNNNNNNNNNNNNNNNNNNNNNNNNNNNNNNNNNNNNNNNNNNNNNNNNNNNNNNNNNNNNNNNNNNNNNNNNNNNNNNNNNNNNNNNNNNNNNNNNNNNNGAGGAGGGCGACAGGGCGACGGCGACGGCGGGCAGCCUCGCGGCGUCGAGGAGUUCGUCCGUUGCUGCGCCGGGCAGGAGAGGCGAGCGAGAGGAAGAAGAGAACGAAAUCGCGUUUGGAUUUGGAUUUUCGUCCGCGUCGUAUAUAUAAUAGGAUCUUUAGUCCCGGUUCGAGGCUCGAACCGGGACUAAAGACACCCUUUAGUCCCGGGUGGAGCCACGACCCGAGACUAAAGACCCUUUUUCGGCACACCAAAAGGCGGGAAGCACGGGCCUUUAGUCCCGGGUCGGGGCUCGAGCCGGGACUAAAGACACCCUUUAGUCCCGGGUCUUGCCACGACCCGGGGCUAAAGACCCCUUUUCGGCAGGGGGCAGGCGAGCGGCUUUAGUCCCGGGUCAUGGCUCCACCCGAGACUAAAGCCCCUCCGCUGGCUGCACGAUAAGUUUAGUCUCACCUCGCCCAGCGAGGGGCACUAACACUAGUUUAUAAGCCCCGUCGCAGCAUCUCCAUCGAGCUCCUCUCUAAAGCAGGCUUAUGGGCCUAAACAGACUGUAAAUUUAAAAAUUGAAACUAUAUUUAAAACUAUGGAGAAAAGUCAACCUGAAUUCUCAUAUAGUUUCAAUUUUUUCUAUUUUCAAAAUUAAUUUUUUUACUAUCCAAACUAUUAACUAUUUUGUUAUUUUCAAUUAAAAACUAUGUUUAUUAAAAUUCUUUUUGCAUAUUUGAGAAUUUGAGAAAAACUGUUCUAAUGAAAAGUGUUUGAAAUUGAAUAAAUAAUUCAAAACUAUUUCAUUAUUUACAAAUUUAAUUAUUUUACUAUCCAAACUAUUAACUAUUUUGUUAUUUUACUAAAUUAAAACUAUUGUUUUAAAUUUAAAAUUUUCUUUUUGCAUUAUUUGAGUAAUUUGAACAAAACUAUUACUAAAUAGUAAAGUAGUUUGAAUUAGAANNNNNNNNNNNNNNNNNNNNNNNNNNNNNNNNNNNNNNNNNNNNNNNNNNNNNNNNNNNNNNNNNNNNNNNNNNNNNNNNNNNNNNNNNNNNNNNNNNNNAUACUAAAUCGAAAUGCUCGUUGAUCAUGCAUGUCAGACAUAUGGAAAUCACCUUGGGUGCCAGAAACGAAGAUGAACAUGUGGCUUGGGUUUGAACAUGUAAAGUUUUCCUACUGAUGAUAUGGUGCUCUUAUUUGGGGAGAAUUAUCCAGGCCGAUAAUCUACAUUGAUUGUCCUUGCUGGUGGCAAAGAGCACACAUGAGAUAUCUAGAAGCACGACCGUGAUCAUGGCGACCCCUUAAGCGUUAACGGUCAAGGAGCCGGUCACCCCGCUCGGCAAUAAGUAAGCAGAUCCGUUGUAAGAAUUCAAGUGGGACCUUGAGCUGCAAUGGCGGUUCCAGUUGAGACAUCGGCGAUUAAUGCAGUUAGCCGAGAAGCACAUAUCUGCAAGGAGGAGGACCCAUUGGGUAAGCGGAAGCAGAGCUCGCCAACUGCGUGUGAGUAGUCUAGAAGGUGAAUCAAGGGUUCGUGUGCGUGGGUGGACUAAGAGGUUUGUAAAAUUGCAAAUUGAAAUUAGACAUCUGUUAAUACAGAUUUCUGAUUUGUACAUUGCUAAUAUUUAAUCCGCCUAUACAUGUACGUAAAAGAAAAAUCAGUCUGUGAACACAAGUGAUCUGCACUACAAAGUAUUAUAGUAUAUUGUGAAAUAUUCGAAAAUUCAUAUGUUAAAUGCUCAGACUUUGUACUGUUCUUCAUUGUGAUAUUAGUGACAGCUCGUAUUUUUAAAUUCUACGAGGAUUUCCUGUUUCUGUAAAUGGUUGAGUUAUAUCAUUUUGUAUUAGAUGGAUAUGAGUAUUAGUACCGUGAAACAAGCACAACUGGCUAAUGGUUGAUUCAACUGAAUUAAAACUCAAUUCAGUUUUCCAGUUGCAGAUACUUUUCAAUGAUUAUAUGACCAAAAAAAUAUCUGUGGGUUAGGGUCAGUUCAGCAGCUCCUGGAAGCCUGGAAGAACACCUUGUCCUUCAAGAGUGACUCUCUGGAGAAAGCUAUUAGGAGUUUUGCAGACAAUCCGAUUGAUAAUGUCACGUUGUAGCAAAAAAAUUGAUGUGAUGUAUUUUUCUGAGUAACGUAUUUUUCAUUGACCUGGUCGUUUCUGUAUAAUAUUGGACGCCUGAAAUGUUCUGGAUUUUAAUUGAGCGAGCUUUUUUCAGCAUUUCAAUUGAGCGAGUUAAUCAUGAGUAGGUUAUUUUGAGAAAAUGAAUAGGUUCGUUUCCCGACAGAGCAAACAGCCUGGAAUGUUAGCGGACGUCUAGAUCUACGAGGAAAAGUACCUUUGCAUAUAUAGGAAAACUAGACGUAUAAUUGUCAAAUGAUGUAAUAAUAAUCAAGUGUCUUCACAUGUAAAGAAAGCAAAUCUAUGCAAAACAAGUAGCAUCACACUUGGUUUUCUAGUCCUGCAUACGGGUACAUAUGUAGUAAUUAACUUCAACAGCUAGGAGCGAGAACCUAGCUCAUCAGCUAAUAAAACAAUGGCAGGCUCCGUACAUGUGGUCGAUGAGACUGCAAGUACAGCACCCAUAAACACUAUAUAUGUCACAUACCAUAUCUCUUAGCGACCAAGUGCCGCUACCAAUGUGAUAUUGUCCAGGGGGAUUUUCCAUGUAUGGGAUCCUGGCAUACAAUCAUGUCAGCUCCAAUGGUUGGCAUGGCCUUCAAACUGACACUCAGAUUCCUUCCAAUAACACUUCCACUCGUGCUAACACCAACCAAGAGAGCCUUGUCCCCGAUGCUUGUUAGAGGAGUAACUCUUCCUUGGAUAAGAUCUGAUAUUCUGUAGACUGCCAUGCGCUUGGUCAAGAUGUAUUCGCUGGAAUCGAUGAGUAGGAUCUCCGAGUCGCAUUCUACUAAUUCAAAAAGGGCGUUGCGCGUACCCGUGGGAAAUAUGGCAAUCACCUUCGGUGCUGGAAACAAAGACGAACUGGAUCCAUAAAUAUUCUCGGGCCGAGGUGGGUCGAUCUGUAAAAUACGUUGUUCGACGCUAGACCUAGGCUUGGGUUGAAACAUGUAAAUUUUUCCUUGUGAAGAUAUGUUGCUCUCCUUUGGGGAGAAUCUCCAGGCUGAUAAUCUCCAUUGCUUGUCCUUGGUGGUGGCAAACAGCACGCGUGCCGCAUCUUGAAGCACGAUGGUGAUCAUAGCGACCCCUUCGUCAGCGUUAACGGUCAAGGAGGCGGUCACCUUGCCCGGCAAUAAGUAAGCAUAUCCGUUGUUGGAAUACAAGUGGGAUGUUGAACCAAACAAGUUCACCACCAUGGGAUAAGUGAUUGGAGGGAACUUUGCGACGUCUCCCGUGAAGGGGUGAAGGAGGCUUAUCUGGGCGUCUUGGUCGCAAUGUUGACGCUGCAUGAGGAGGAGGCCAUCGACCGAGCAGAGGACGCAGUGGUCGUCGAGGAGAGGAACUUGUGGACGGACGAACACUCCGGUGUCGAGGUUGAGGAAACGUUUCCUGCCAUCUUCAAGGUGGAGUCUGUGGCCGGCCGGCAGCAUCAUCCACCGACGCGGGUGAAAGCGUGAGUCGGUGAUGGCGAGGCCGCGUGGGUUGAUUGUGCUGGACCUGGAGUGCGCGCAGACUGCACGGAAGCGCAUGUAGUCGAGCAGGUCUCCGGCCAGCACCCGCCAGCCGAUGAGCUCAAGCAAAUCUGCCGGCAUGGACGCCAGCGGAAACAUGUCGCCGGAGCAGGUGGCGGAGGCAGCAGUGAUGGGCGCAGGAGGGCGCUCGCAUUUCCCUGCCGGCGAUGACAUCAACCGAUCGAUCCCAGAUCGCCGGUUAAUCAGAUCGAACGGAGAUUUUUCUUGACCUAGCCUAACACAUGGUGGCAAGACGUUUUUUAAGCAGAUCGCUCGGUGGCGAACUAUUCGGGAUGGCGUUAAGAUGCUAAUGUAUCGGCUCCGGUGUUGGGCCUAAACCAUCGUAUCCACUCCCCUUGGUGUUGGGCCUAAGCCAUCGUAUCCACUCCCCUUUGUGGGGCUAACAGCCAGCCCAUCUUUCUCUAGUACGUGCGUGCGAUUGCUGAAUAAAAAUAAAUUAGUUUACCUAUUUUGUUCUUUUUUUGUUUUUAAAAAGGGCAACGUCUUUAUCUUUACGUCAUUUUUUUUCAUACUAAAGCGGAUAUUGUUUAUGUCCGAAAACCGGUCACGUCAUUUUUGCAAAAAAAGUUCCUUCUGUUUGAAAGAAUCAACCCGCAAUCCAUUGUUUAGUUGAAAAACUUUUGUUUUUACAAAAUCCCCACUCCCCGCGGUCAGCGUCUUCUUACCUUAUGCAGAGAUCACAUACGCCCACCGCUGGUAGCUCAGCUCGGGCACGAGGAGGCGGGGUCGAGGAGGGGGCGCGCGGUCGUGAAGAGGCGGGGUCGAGGAUGUGCAGGAUGAGCCGGCCGCCGGCCGCCGGCGAGGAGGCGAGCGAGCUCGGAGAGCUCCGGCUCAGCCUUGUCGCCGGUGACGCGAGGCCGAGGGGGCAGGGUCAAGAGGACGUUGGCGGCCGGCUUCCGGCGAGGAGGCGAGGGAGAUCAGCCUUGUCGCCGACGACGCGAGGCCGAGAGGGUGGCGUGCGUGUGCGAGGAGCCGGGGCCGGGGAGGCGCAGGAGGAUGUCGCGGGUGGCCGAGGGUGGCGCAGGUGGUUCCGAGGCGGUGGUGUCCUUCCUCUUAGCCAGACCCAGACGCCACGAGCAGGUCCUCGAGCUUUCCUCCAGCGCCGUAGCCGCCGUCCUAUUCUCCUUCUCCUCCCCACCCGACCCGAACUCCGUGACACCGCCCCAACCUUUUACUAUCGCGAGCUUCACCCUCUUUACCCCAGCCACCCUACAUGCCACCACCGGCCGGCACGGAUCCACGUCGCCCGAUCGACAACCUGCUACCAGCAACGCGCACGCCGGAUCGAGCUACCCUGGGUUCCCACCCUGUCGCCUUUGGUGGUCGUCGGAUCUGUGCGCCAAAAUCAGUUUGUGCGGUGCUCCUUUCGGUCUUUGAGUUGUAUGCCCGAUUAUUUGAGGAAGUGAUAGUCACUGGGAAGACGGAUCGACAGACUAGACAGCAGACCAAGGCCAUGGAUUGUUUGAUUCAACAACGAAGGUUCUAUCAUCCCCGUAACUUUUUGUUCCUCUCUUUAUUCUGCAGAAACUGCUAAUUGUUACUGUAGCUUUCAUGCCUACCAGACAAAAUCAAAGGCAGGUGCUUUGCUUCUCAUCUGAAGUAAAUGAAAGUGUUAUAGUGAAAGGAUUAUCCUAACGUAAGAGCCUUAUUUGUUUCAUACUUCCUCUGUCUCAAAAUAAGUGACUCAAAAAUGACUCAAUUUUAUACUAACUUUAGUACAAAGUAGAAUCACUUUUGAGUCACUUAUUUUGAAACAGAGGGAGUACAAAAUAUGUAUAGUUCGUUCAGGCAAUGCUUAGAUUGAUGUUGUUAGUUUGAUUUGAGUUUCUACACCAUGCCAAGAGCUUUAUUAUUAAAAGGCGCAAUCUCAUUUUAUAAGGAGCACUCCAAGUGUCAGUAUUAAAGACAGAUCAUGCUAUUUUCUGAAACGAGUAAUGAGAAAUUAAUCUGUAUGGUUCUCCAAUUUGAGGGUACUAAAUUUCGAUAUAUCAGAGGUACUGUUAUGUUAGCUGCAAUUAGGUGACAGGAGCAUGCCACGGUAUAGGUACAUGAUCUAUAAGCUUUUAGAUGUUGCUCUUCUCUAUUCUCGGACACAUCUUCUAAAAACAAAGAUUAGCCAACACCACUUUAUCAUAUCUUAUAAUUGUCCACAUCAUUGCAGAAAAACUCAACCUUUUUUCCAAUGCCUAAAGUUAUGUGGGAAGAUUUAUCUAUCUUCUUUCAAUGUACUCAUGGCACUUAAGUCCUGAGAAGUUCUCAGAAAACAACAAUAUAUUUUUUCUUCACCAGAUGCGGAAACUAAAAGGCGUGUACCACGGGAACAUGAAGUAUAUAAAGCAAAGGAGGAGCUGUACUGUAACAGCCCAAGACCAAGACCUGUACUAUUUUGAGAUUUGUUCAUGCUAUGUGUGAUGUUGGUUCCAUUUCAUUGUUGCAUCAUGCCAUCAUCUUGCAUAUAUUGUGAUAAAUGUUUUUUUUCUUAUUAUGUUUGCAACUUCCCCUUCUUAUUUGAUCAUUCCUUACAUCUCAUGCAUCUUCCAUCAAGCUUCACCCAUGUCUCAAUUCCAAUUAGCAACUCCAUUCUUUUCUCUAUCCAUUUAGUUUUGUUUUGAGUUGGAUUUUUUACUUCUUCUUUUCUUGCCCAAAACCUUGCCCAUAAUUCAUUUGAAUUAUGUUCAGCCACCCUCUCGAUUUCACCCCCUUCCAUAGUUCGUUAAAGGGAGUCAAAUUUAAAUAUAAUGAAUUUAAUUCAUUUUGUUUUAUUUUUUUUACUUCCUCUAUAAAUGUUCCUCUUGCGCAAAUCAUAAUUAUUAUGUAGGGUGACCUCCAAAAUCUCAUUCCAUUUGGAAUUGUUUUGGUUGAAUUUAAUUCAAACUUGCCUAAAUUUUCUUUCUCUAAAAUUGCGAGAACUAUUUUAUUAAAGUGGGCAUAUUUCAAGGUUUACAGGUUUAUUAUUAUUUCUCUUCAAUCCCCUCCUUAAGACCCUUUUCUUUUCUUCCCAAAUCCGUGUUUUUAUUUAAACAAAGAGAAAAGGGAAAAGAAAAGAAGAGUAGUGACAUGUAGUAGCAGCCCAGCCGAGCCCACCUAAGCUCUUACCUACUCCGCGUUCCCUGCUUCUUCUUCAACACGGCCUCGAACUCCUCCACCUCGCCUCCUCGCCCCGUCCCCAGCCUCCUCGUCGCAUCCCCGCCUCCUCGUCUAGUCCCAUGGGACCAUGGUGAGCCUCUGAUACUCCCCAUCUUCGUUUCCCCCGUGUUCUUGCCAUGUUAGCAUCGUUUAGGACCGCCCCGGGCUCAUCCGCCAUGGAUGUCCUCGAGUUCGAGCACGCGCACCGGCACAUCUUGUUGGAAAUAUGCCCUAGAGGCAAUGAUAAAUAGUUAUUAUUAUAUUUCCUGUUGAAAGAUAAUCGUUUAUUAUCGAUGCUAUAAUUGUAUUGAAUAAAAACAUAGAUACAUGUGUGGAUACAUAGACAAAAUUAUGUCCCUAGCAAGCCUCUAGUUGGCUAGCCAGUUGAUCAAUGAUAGUCAAGGUUUUCUGGCUAUGUGCAAGUGUUGUCACUUGAUAACUGGAUCACAUCAUUAGGAGAAUCAUGUGAUGGACUAGACCCAAACUAUGAAUGCAACAUAUUGAUCGUGUCGUUUUAAUGCUAUUGUUUUCUGCGUGUCAAGUAUUUGUUCCUAUGACCAUGAGAUCAUGUAACUCACUGGCACCGAAGGAAUACCUUGUGUGCAUCAAACAUCACAGCGUAACUGGGGGACUCUAAAGGUGUUCUACAGGUAUCUCCGAAGGUGUCCGUUGAGUUAGUAUGGAUCAAGACUGGGAUUUGUCACUCCGUGUGACGGAGAGGUAUCUCGGGGCCCACUCGGUAAUACAACAUCACACACAAGCCUUGCAAGCAAUGUGACUAAGUGUAAGUCACGGGAUCUUGUAAUACAGAACGAGUAAAGAGACUUGCCGGUAACGAGAUUGAAAUAGGUAUGCGGAUACUGACGAUCGAAUCUCGGGCAAGUAAACCGAAGGACAAAGGGAAUGACAUACGAGAUUGUAUGAAUCCUUGACACUUAGGUUCAACCGAUAAGAUCUUCGGAGAAUAUGUAGGAUCCAAUAUGGGCAUCCAGGUCCCGCUAUUGGAUAUUGACCGAGGAGUGCAUCAGGGCAUGUCUACAUAGUUCUCGAACCCGCAGGGUCUGCACACUUAAGGUCGAUGAUGUUUUAGUAUAGUUGAGUUAUAUGUGUGGUUACCGAAUGUUGUUUGGAGUCCCGGAUGAGAUCACAGACGUCACGAGGGUUUCCGGAAUGGUCCGGAAACGUAGAUUUAUAUAUAGGAUGGUUUCAUUUGGUUACCGGAAGUGACGAAUGGGUUCCGGAAGUUCACCGGGAGGGAGGGGGGGCAACCCACCCGGGGGAAGCCCAAUGGCCUUAGGGGUGGCGCACCAGCCCUUAGUGGGCUGGUGGGACAGCCCAAAAGUGCCAUGGCGGCAAGAGAAGAAAACAAAAAAAGGGACGUGGGAAUGAAGAGAAGGACUCCACUUUCCAAUCCUAAUUGGAGUAGGAUUCCUCCUCUCCUCCCUGGCCGGCGCACCCUUGAGGGCUUGGCCCUCAAGGCAAGCAUCCUCCCCCUCCCUCCUAUAUAUAGUGGUGAUUUAGGGUUGAUUUGAGACAACUUUUGCCACGUGCAACUCAGAUCUAGACACCGUAGUUCUUCCUCUAGAUCGUAUUUCUGCGGAGCUCGGGCGGAGCCCUGUUGGAGUAGAUCGUCACCACCAUCGGAGCGCCGUCACGCUGCCGGAGAACUUAUCUACUUCUCCUUCUUGCGUGCUGGAUCAAGAAGGCCGAGAUCAUCGUCGAGCUGUACGUGUGCUGAACGCGGAUGUGCCGUCCGUUCGGCAUUAGAUCCGAACGGAUCGUGGGACGGAUCGCGGGACGGUUCGUGGGACGGUUCGUGGGGCAGAUCGAGGAACGUGAGGACGUUCCACUACAUCAACCGCGUUUCUUAACGCUUCCUGCUGUGCGAUCUACAAGGAUACAUAGAUCCAAGUCUCCUCUCAUAGAUGGACAUCACCAUCAUAGGUCUUCGUGUGCGUAGAAUAUUUUUUGUUUCCCAUGCACCGUUCCCCAACACAUCUUGCCGCCGCCCCCGCUGCACCCUUGCACACCUCUCAAAACACUGACUCUAUCCGNGGCAUUAGAUCCGAACGGAUCGUGGGACGGAUCGCGGGACGGUUCGUGGGACGGUUCGUGGGGCAGAUCGAGGAACGUGAGGACGUUCCACUACAUCAACCGCGUUUCUUAACGCUUCCUGCUGUGCGAUCUACAAGGAUACAUAGAUCCAAGUCUCCUCUCAUAGAUGGACAUCACCAUCAUAGGUCUUCGUGUGCGUAGAAUAUUUUUUGUUUCCCAUGCACCGUUCCCCAACACAUCUUGCCGCCGCCCCCGCUGCACCCUUGCACACCUCUCAAAACACUGACUCUAUCCGCACACUACGCAGUCGCGGAACACGCAGGCGUUGCUUCGUCCCCCUCGUGCACCCUCGUGCCUCGUGCCGGGCACCAAGCUGAAGCCACCAGCCCUGAGCUCGCUACGAACCCGAAAACCGCACCCAUUUCAAACCCGCACGCCUGUUGGGGAACGUCGCAUGGGAAACAAAAAAUUUCCUACGCGCACGAAGACCUAUCAUGGUGAUGUCCAUCUACGAGAGGGGAUGUGUGAUCUACGUACCCUUGUAGACCGUACAGCAAAAGCGUUAGUGAACACGGUUGAUGUAGUGGGACGUCCUCACGUCCCUCGAUCCGCCCUGCAAACCGUCCCGCGAUCAGUCCCACGAUCUAGUGCCGAACGGACGGCACCUCCGCGUUCAGCACACGUACAACUCGACGAUGAUCUCGGCCUUCUUGAUCCAGCAAGAGAGACGGAGAGGUAGAAGAGUUCUCCGGUAGCGUGACGGCACUCCGGAGGUUGGUGAUGAUCUUGUCUCAGCAGGGCUUCGCCCGAGCUCCGUAGAAACGCGAUCUAGAGGAAAAACCGUGGAGGUAUGUGGUCGGGCUGCCGUGGUAAAGUCGUCUCAAAUCAGCCCUAAAACCUCCGUAUAUAUAGGGGGAAGAGGGGGAGCCUUGCCUUGGGGCUCAAGGAGCCCCAAGGGGGUCGGCCGAGCCAAGGGGGGAAGGUCUCCCCCCCCCCCAAACCGAGUCCAACUUGGUUUGGUGGGUGGAGUCCUUCUUUCCUUUCCCACCUCCUCCUUUUCUUUUUCUUUUCUAUUUGAUUUUCUUCCUAUGGCGCAUAGGGCCUUCUUGGCCUGUCCCACCAGCCCACUAAGGGCUGGUGUGCCACCCCCAAGGCCUAUGGGCUUCCCCGGGGUGGGUUGCCCCCCCCCCCUGGUGAACUCCCGGAACCCAUUCGUCAUUCCCGGUACAUUCCCGGUAACUCCGAAAACCUUCCGGUAAUCAAAUGAGGUCAUCCUAUAUAUCAAUCUUCGUUUCCGGACCAUUCCGGAAAACCUCGUAACGUCUGUGAUCUCAUCCGGGACUCCGAACAACAUUCGGUAACCAACCAUAUAACUCAAAUAUGCAUAAAACAACGUCGAACCUUAAGUGUGCAGACCCUGCGGGUUCGAGAACUAUGUUGACAUGACUCGAGAGACUCCUCGGUCAAUAUCCAAUAGCGGGACCUGGAUGCCCAUAUUGGAUCCUACAUAUUCCACGAAGAUCUUAUCGUUUGAACCUCAGUGCCAAGGAUUCAUAUAAUCCUGUAUGUCAUUCCCUUUGUCCUUCGGUAUGUUACUUGCCCGAGAUUCGAUCGUCAGUAUCCGCAUACCUAUUUUAAUCUCGUUUACCGGCAAGUCUCUUUACUCGUUCCGUAAUACAAGAUCCCGCAACUUACACUAAGUCACAUUGCUUGCAAGGCUUGUGUGUGAUGUUGUAUUACCGAGUGGGCCCCGAGAUACCUCUCAGUCACACGGAGGGACAAAUCCCAGUCUUGAUCCCUACUAACUCAACGAACACCUUCGGAGAUACCUGUAGAGCAUCUUUAUAGUCACCGAGUUACGUUGCGACGUUUGAUACACACAAAGUAUUCCUCCGAUGUUAGUGAGUUAUAUGAUCUCAUGGUCAUAGGAACAAAUACUUGACACGUAGAAAAACAGUAGCAACAAAAUGACACGAUCAACAUGCUACGUCUAUUAGUUUGGGUCUAGUCCAUCACGUGAUUCUCCUAAUCACGUGAUCCAGUUAUCAAGCAACAACACCUUGUUCAUAAUCAGAAGACACUGACUAUCUUUGAUCAACUGGCUAGCCAACUAGAGGCUUGCUAGGGACAGUGUUUUGUCUAUGUAUCCACACAUGUAAAUGAGUCUUCAUUCAAGACAAUUAUAGCAUGCAUAAUAAACGAUUAUCUUGAUACAGGAAUUAUAAUAAUAACUAUAUUUAUUAUUGCCUCUAGGGCAUAAUUCCAACAACGCCUGCCGCCGUAUUUUAGUUGCUUCUGUUGCCAUUUCACUCGCCUACCCUGCCGACAAGCAUUGUCGGUCUUCCACAGCCAAAGCUCCUCCCCGUUCGUUCCCUAUUUAAGUAGGUCAGCCCCCCUCAUUUUGACGAACUCGAAGCUUGCCCGACUGGUCAACCAAGUGCUCCAACAGCCAGAGCUCUUUUGUUCGAGUCCCCGCUGGAGUCAUGUCGCCCGAAUUGUUGCGUCUCUGUUUCAUUAUUUUUCUGGGUUCGAGUCCACUACAAUCCUAUUAUCUUCUCCAUAUUUUGUGCAUGACAUGCACUCGCUCUCAAUUCGUUGGCACCGGUAUUUCAUCAAUUUAUCGGGACCGGAAUGUUGUCAUGGCAUCAUUUCCGUUUUGCCGCCAUGGUUCCCUUUCAUUCGCCAUGACGACACAUGCUUCAUAUCCUUCUAGCUAGUGUUUUCAUAAAAUUGCAUGCAUGUUGCAUUCAUGGCAUAUUACCUGGUGUUGCACGUAUCUUUUAAUUGUAGCUCCAUUCAAAUGUUUCAUGUGUUAACCGACUAGAAUGACAUGUAGAAUCAUAUGCUCCACCUCUUGUCAUGUUUAAACAACAUUUAAUAUUACGUGUACCUAAAUAGGAGUAAACUAAAUAAUUCGUAUGUCGAGUUUCGUUAAUAUCCAACUCGUUGCAUAUCAAGCUUCACUUGAUGUGUAGUGUUUGAUUGUUGUGAAUUGUCAUGCCAUGCCUUGCAUAAUUGAAAUGGACAUACAUCACAUUAGGUCGUGCAUCAUAUCAUGCAUGCACCAUGGUGAAUAUCGUGUGUUUAUUCUUGUUUCCAGUUUGCUUCUUCUCGUUAGAGUUCCGCAAGCGUGUCGGAAUAUGAGGAUCCGUUCGACUACGUCGGUUCGUCUGCUUCACGGAUUCGUUCUUCUUCCAAGCGGGAUCUCAGGCAAGAUGACCAUUUUCCUAGAUACCAUUACUAUCAAUGUCAUAUGCUAGUUGUCUCAUUUCUUUCGUUAUGUCUCGUUGCCUACCACCUAUUAAAUGUCCCUCUCAAUAUUGCCAUGAAACCUUCAACCUUUCUACAACCUAGCAAAUCACUGAUCGGCUAUGUUACCGCUUGCUUAACCAUGUGUUAGCGUUGCUAGUUGCAGUCGUAGUUGCUUCCAUGUGAUAACAUGGGUUCCUUGUUAUAUCACCAUAUUAAUGCUAUUUGAAUUAAUGCACCUAUAUACUUGAUAAAUACUGGAAGGCUCGGGUUUCUAGCCUGGUGUUUUGUUUCAUCUUUGUCACCCUAGUUUCGGCUACCGGUGUUAUAUUCCAUAAUUGAGCGCUCCUAACACGAUCGGCGUUGUUAUCGGGACCCCCUUGAUAAUUCUUUUAGAUUAAGACUGGUCUGGCAAGGCCCAACUUUGGUACUACAUUUGCCUGAUAACCUAAUAAAUUGCAUAUGGACUUUCCGGACCCCGUGGAUAAUUAAUCAACAACCCGGGCCAGUGCUCCGCAUGAGUGUUGGUCCAAAACAGAGCCAAUUGCGGGGUCACCCGGGGAAACUCGGGGGAUGUCUAUCCGGCCACCGUACGUAGUGCUUAUCCGAUCGUGUCCUGAGAACGAGAUACGUGGCUCCUAUCGGGUUCGUCGACACGUCGGGAGGCCUUGCUGGAUUAGUUUUACCUUUUACGAAAUAUCUUGUGCAUCGAGAUUCCUGUGAUGCUUUGUGUUAUCUCAGAGUUGAGGUUUUCCACUAAGGAAUCCGAGGAGAUCACGAGUUUCGUGAUCAAGGUUUUCUAUGCGGCUUAUGGUAAUUUGUGAUGGAAUAGUUGGAGCAUCCCUGUAGGGUUAAAUCUUUCGGAAAGACGUGGCUGCGGUUAUGUGGUAAACUUGAAAACUUUGUUUGACAACCGGUUCUAGAUAAUUCGAAGUAAGCCUAAUUAAAACAUGCCAACUAUGUGCGUAACCAUGACUGUCUCUUCUCGUGAGUUCUGUAUCCGGAAGAGGACACGAUGGGGUUAUGUUUGUCGUAAGUAGGUGUUCAAGAUCAUUCAUUUGAUCAUCAUUAAUUCACGUCCGUUAUGCGUAGAUCAUCCCCCUCUUUUAUUUUUGUACUCGUAAGUUAACCACCUCAAAUAAAAGCUUAGUCGCUUGCUGCAGCCUCACCACUUAAGCAUACCUCACCUAUUAAGUUUUGUUAGUCUUGAUACCUUUGGAAAUGAGAUUGCUGAGUCCCUCUGGCUCACAGAUUACUACGACAUCAGUUGCAGGUAUAGGUAAAGCGAUACUCUGACGUGAGCGCGAUGAUUAUUAUAUUUGGAGUUUCUUCUUUUCUUCUUCAUCGAUCUAGGAUGGGUUCUAGACCGACAGCCUCGGAUAGCAAGGAUGGACGUCGUUCUUUUAUCGUUUGUUUUCAUCCAUAGUCGGACCUUGCUCUUCUUCAUGAUGAUUGAUUAUGUUGUUGUACUGAUGUGGACUUGAUGUAACUUGUGGCGAGUGUAAGCCAAUUCCAUAUAUUCAUCUCUACAGUACAUGUACAUGUACAUGUAACGAUAUCUAUUCUUGCAAAAUGAUGAGAUGCGCUUCUAUCUCUAUUGAGGCCCUCGUGUCAAAAUAAGGAUAGGAUCACAUCUUGAGCGUUACAUGUACCAUGUCCCAAAUUCAGUAAAAAUGUUGUACUUCGUUCUGUUUCAUGGGGUAUUUACUGAGAUCGUGUUCGAAGUUCAUGCAAGGAUGGAGAUGAUGGAACCUGAGUUUAGCACAAAAGGAAGUUCAUAGAUGGAUCUCCUAUUCGAAAUGAGGUUUAUUUUAAUAUUCUGAUGAAAGCCUCUAUUGUUUUAGUGGUCUCCCUGUUGUUAAAGUAGAAUAAUCAAGUGGUGAUUGUCUUUUACUACUUCACAUGGCUCUAGGCUCGCUAAACAUGUUUAAAUGAUCAAUGAUGUUGUGGUUUUCUUCAAGUUGACGUACAAAAACUUACGGUUUUAGGUAGUACAUUUGUAUUGCAGUGGAUCUCUACAUGUAAUUUUUUUGAUAUGCUCUUGCUGUUCAUGCGCUUGCUCGACUGGCAACGGUGACACCAUGUUAUGCAUGCGUUGACCACAACAUGCUCUCCUUCCAUUCCAUCUGGGAUGGCAACGUGCACGACAAAAAAAAACAUAGCGCAACAGAAGACAGAUUGAAUGCAAAGGAGCUCUGUGUCAAAGGUUGGCUCAGUGAAGGAGCUCGAAGGGCAUAUGCAACAAAGGCAGAGAGAGAAGCAUGUGGAAGAGAUAUUGAUGGCGUACUAGGAGGAGCAGAUGGUGAUGGAUGGAAAAAAGUGGACGCCCGACACGCAUGUGAGAACUAUGUGUUGUUGUUCAUGAAGCAGCACAGGGGGAGUGAGAGGCAAAGGAUAUGCUCGAGGUAAGGGUGUCACAUGGAUGGUGUUGUUGGGUCGGGAGAGCAGCGGCGUUAACAUUGGGAGAGAGAGUUGAUUUGGUGCAUGUGGGUAGGAGUAUAUUAUCGAAUUAGGUGUGUGUGAUAUUUUUCUUCCCGUUGCAAUGCACAUGCAUUGUUCACUAGUAUUAAUAGCAUGAAGAUGCAAAUUACAUCCCGUCCAACAAGAUAUCUCAAAGACAUCUAGGAUGCACACAUAAUGAAAAAAAGGAUAAAAAAGAAAGGUCUCGUCACAGUGAUCAACUCCUCUCAAAAGCAACACAUUAUAUAUAUCAUAAACUCACAUCUAUGAACUAUUCUACAUUCAAAAAUGAAAUAUAAAAAAGUGUUAAUUGUAUUUUCUUAUGUUUGACAAUUGCUUGGGCUUAUUAUUAGGGACGAUGAGGCGUAAAAUCUGCAAGGUCAGACAAAAUUCAAGUAUGGACAGUCUUGGAACUGCAGUGCCGUUCGGGGUAUUUUUGAGAAAGGGGUUUAAAAAAACAGUGGUAAUAGUCUUUAAAUUGAUUUUGUAUUAAAUUCUGAUCAUUUGUUUAACUAUUUUACUAACUUUAUUGUUGAUUAUUAACUGCUGCAUAGUAUGUUCCAUGCAACAUAAGGGAGAACUUCAACAAUUGAUAUGGUAACGUGUUGUAUUUUCAGGAUGAUGAGGAGCGCGAAUUCGAAUUGGAUCUUCGCAAAGGAAGAAUAAAUCCAUCGUAUAUGGUGAUGGAUGGGAGCAUUACAUUGCAGUGAAUAAUCUUAAAGGAGGACAACUCGUAGCUUUUACCUUAAUAGGGGAGGUGAAUAGGUUAAGGACAUUAUAUGUCCAAAGCGAUGAUGAUGACGAUGACCAAGAUGACAUCGUCAGCCAAGAUGACCAAGAUGACCAAGAUGACAUCGAUAGCCAAGAUGAAGAUGAGGAGAUCCAAGAUGAAGAUGAGGACAACCAAGAUGAAGAGGAGGACAUCGAAGAUGAAGAUGAUGGUCCUAUCCUUUCUGCAAUUUUAUCUCAAGGGAUGAAGAAGCUUACUCGGGAUGAUAUAUAGAGCUAGUGUGAAACAAAUGUUACCAUCCUCUUCGGCAUUCUUGGGGAAGCCCUUUGUGCACCGUCUAACAAAAAAAACAUGGUCAAAAAAGUUAUGGUGAGAUGUUUUAUAUUAUUUCAUCUCUUUUUGGUCAUAACCAAGUAUGGUGAGAUGUCUAACAUUCUGUGCUCUCUAUUUUUUCUUAAUGAUGGGGUCUUCAGAAGUUACCUUUGAAGAUGUUUUCCGGAGUGGACAGCCCCGCCGUCGGCACUGUUGGAGUAAUCCAUGGACCAAGAGGUCCUGCCACGAACGUCCAAGAUAAGACAGAAGAUGUCGGGCGCAUAUUAUUCCACAAGGCAGGCUGGCAGGAGUGUAAGGUUCUUUCAUUGCUAUAUUUAUCAUGACACUGUUGUGUAAUGGUUCUUUCAUUGCUAUAUGUAGUAGCUAGCAUCGAAUUGAAUGAAAAUCGUAAAAUAAAAAUAGUAAACACAAAAAUAAAAGGGGGAAACACAAUAUGGAAACCCCUAAGCCCUUCCUUUAAAAAAAAUCAGAGCCUCGCAGCUGCUGACGCGUGGCUGCCUUUUAGUCCCGGACGCUGUUACCAACCGGGACUAAAGGUCCUCCUGCCAGGCGUCCCACAACGGCCACGUGGAGCUCCUUUAGUCCCGCGUCGUAAGCCAACCGGGACUAAAAAGUGAUCGGCAUUAGUCCCGAUCGUUUUGUUUCGGUUGCAGAACGAGGACUAAAGGCCAUCUGGAAACGGGACUGAUGCCCUGUUUUCUACUAGUGUAUUGCUACAAGUGUUGAUGUCUUGGUGACGGUAGGUCUUGCAAGUAAUUGAAACACAUGUUGAGUAGAGGAUAAUCAGAGAUAUAAAGUUCUACCUCAGAUCUUGGGGUAUGUGAAAGUGAACUCGGUGGUUUCGGGUAAUUUUAAGAGCAUAUAUCUCAUCUACCAGGUAUCCUUUUUUGAGUAAUGAUAAGGGGAUACAUCUGAUCUAUCGGGAAUUAAUCAUUUUUUUCUCAUUAUUUACCUUGUUCUGUAAAUGUCUAAAUAGGUAAUGAUUAUUGAUACCUGAUGACAUGAGGGAGAGGGGGACAAUCACGUUUAGCUACUGCAAUAAGGUUGUGCAUACAAAUGUGCUACUCAUAUUCCACUGUUAGACGAGGUAGCCGUGAGAAGCAGGUUCAAAAUUCAGCUUCAUUUGAUAUACAUUUAGAUCAUCUUUCUGCAACACUAUCUCGAUAUAAAACAACAUCUUUUAGUAAUAAUAUAUAGUUUUUCUUUGGUUUGUUUAUUCUAUUAUACCAUAGAUAUCGUGAGAAACUGUUAAUCGCUUAUCUGUUCACUCAAAAUCGAGUGCCUAAUGGUUUGAUUAGUUUAUGUAUGUGAAAAUUUCUUUUAAUAAUUAUAGUUGCAAUUCCCUGUGAGGGCAUGUAUUCUUUUAUACUUUUAUAGUGAGUUUACAAUAGAUUGAAUAAACCAUUUAUAUUUCCUUUCCUCACCGUCGUCCUCUUAUGUGGUAAGGGGAGCCAGAAAGGUGAGGGAGGCGACCACAACGGCAGUGGCCUUGGGGUGCCGAAAAAGAGUGCACUGGGGGAUGGAAAGGGGCUCAUAUACGACGGCUGGGAGAGGUAACCUAGGAUUUCGUGGUGCCCUACUCUAUAGCUCAUGCUCGGAUGAUUGUACUAUCUGUUUUGACUGAUCAAUUGAGUUUAAUUCUGUAUGAGCUGGGUAGCAACUUGAGCUCAAAAGGUUCUCUACUCUAUCCAAAUAUUCUGCUAGAUUUGAUUAGAACUUGUGUUGAUUAAAACAUGCAACGAGAGGAUCUAGGCCAAACAAUGGCAUUCUUUCCGUAGAGUGUAGACAAAUUAUGCAGCUACGCCUAAACACCCAAUAGAACCAUCUGUCACAGUACCAAGAAAUAUUUCAUAAUUUAUCAUGAGAGCAAUCUUAAUAAUUUGUGAACAGUCCUUACGUAUGAAUGCUUGGGGCUGAUGUUCUAUGGUUGAUUUGGGGAUGUGUAAGAGCAGGGAAACAGCCACUACAUGAUACUCUCUUCAUUGGGAUGAGAUUAGCUUUUGAAGAAAAAUGAUAAAAUAAGAAUCGUGAUUUAUGUUGCUAUCAUGACAUGCUUUUUUGCUAUUCUUUGCUGCCACUAUUUGAUGUAUUAAUUAUGUGUUGUGUGAACCAUCUGGUUGGGUCGAGCUCAAGUGAUUCAGAUAGGAUAGAAUGGAUGUCGAGCUCAGGUGAUUGAGAUAGGAUAGAAUAGGCGUCGGAAAUGGCCCAUGACAUUCUAGAUGAAUUCUAGCCGUUGCUAGCAAGGCCUUCGGUAAUUUCAUUCAAAAGUUAUCCAACAUCAGUUUUCUCUAUUAUACAUUGACUAACUCUAUCCUAAACAGAUGCAGUGUGAGAAAAAAACAAUUUAAUUGGACCUGAACAAAUGUUUUUGUGUUUGGAUCAGGGGAAGAUCAGAAUGGUGUUUAUGUUCCAGCAAAGAAAGGGGCACACUGCCAUCUAACCGCACGUACUUGAUUCCCGUUGCGUUUUUCCUCGUUGUAAUAAUAAAAAGUAGUGCAAUCUUUUCCUAUACUUUUGCAUGUAUAGAAAAACUAGACGUAUGAUUGUCAAAUGAUGUAAUAAUAAUCAAGUGUCUUCACAUGUAAAGAAAGCAAAUCUACGCAAAACAAGUAGCAUCACACUUGGUUUUCCAGUCCUGCAUACCGAUACAAAUGUAGUAAUCGACUUCAACAGUUCGUCACUCUAAGUAAAUUAGGAACGAGAACCUAGCUCAUCAGCCAAUAAAGCAAUGGCAGACUCCGUACAUGUGGUCGAUGAGACUGCAAGUACAGCACCCAUAAGCACUAUAUAUGUCACAUAUCUUAUCUCUUAGCGACCAAGUGCCGCUAGCAAUGUGAUAUUGUCCAAGAUAUUUUCCACGUAUGGGAUCCUGGCAUACAAUCAUGUCAGCUGCAAUGGUUGGCAUGGCCUUCAAACUGACACUUAGAUUCCUUCCAGGAACACUUCCACUCGUCCUAACACCAACCAAGAAAGCCUUGUCCCCGAUGGUUGUUAGAGGAGUAACUCUUCCUCGGAUAAGAUGUGAUAUUCUGUAGACUUGCAUGCGCUUGGUGAAGAUGUAUUCGCUUGAAUCGAUGAGUAGGAUCUCUGAGUCGGAUUCUAUUAGUUCGAAAACGGUGUUGAGUGUGCCCGUGGGACAUAUGGCAAUCACCUUCGGUGCCGGAAACAAAGACGAACUGGAUCCAUAAAUAUUCUCGGGACGAGGUAGGUCGAUCUGUAAAAUACGUUGUUCGACGCUAGACCUAGGCUUGGGUUGUAACAUGUAAAUUUUUCCUUGUGAAGAUAUGUUGCUCUCGUUUGGGGAGAAGCUCCAGGCUGAUAAUCUCCAUUGCUUGUCCUUGGUGGUGGCAAACAGCACGCGUGCCGCAUCUUGAAGCACUAGGGUGAUCAUUGCGACCCCUUGGUCAGCGUUAACGGUCAAGGAGGCGGUCACCGUGCCCAGCGAGAAGUAAGCAUAUCCGUUGUUGGAAUACAAGUGGGAUGUUGACCCAAACAAGGUCAGCACCAGGGUAUAAGCGAUUGGAGGGAACUUUGCUACGUCUCCCGUGAAGGGUUGAAGGAGGCUUAUGAGGGCGUCUUGGUCGCGAUGUUGGCGCUGCAUGAGGAGGAGGCCAUCGACCGAGCAGAGGACGCGGUGGGGGAGGAGGAGAGGUACUGGUGGACGGACGAACACUCCGGUGUCGAGGUUGAGGAAACGUUUCCUGCCAUCUUCAAGGUGGAGUCUGUGGCCGGCCGGCAGCAUCAUCCACCGACGCGGGUGAAAGCGCGAGUCGGUGAUGCCGUGGCCGCGGGGUUGGAUAGUGCUGGACCUGGAGUGCGUGCUGACUGCACGGAAGCGGAUGUAGUCGAGCAGGUCUCCGGCCAGCACCCGCCAGCCGAUGAGCUCAAGCAAAUCCGCCGGCAUGGACGCCAGGGGAGACAUGUUGCCGGAGCAGGUGGCGGCGGCAGACGUGAUGGGCUCUGGAGGGCGCUCGCAGUUCCCUGCCGGCGACGACAUCAAUCGAUCGAUCCCAGAUCGCCGGUUAAUCAGAUCGAACGGAGAAUUUUCUUGACCUAGCACGGUGGCAAGACGUUUUUUAAGGAGAUCGCUCGGUGGCGAAACUAUUCGGGAUGUAUCGGCUCCGGUGUUGGGCCUAAGCCAUCGUAUCCACUCCCCUUUGUGGGGCUAACAUCCAGCCCAUCUUUCUGUAGGACGUGCGUGCGAUUGCUGAAUAAAAAUAAAUUAUUUAUCCUAUUUUGUAUUCUUUUGGUUUUGAAAAAAGAAAUAUAUAUUAAUAUAAUGAAGAUACAAAUUACACCACGUCUCACUUAAACCAUCAUCAUAGACAAAAUAAAAUANNNNNNNNNNNNNNNAAAUAAAAAAGGCUUCGUCACAGUGAUCAACUCCUCUCAGAAGCAACACUUAAACCAUCAUCAUAGACAACACCAAGAAAACAUUAAAAGGUCUCCAAAAGCGACACCUUCGAUAACGAAACAGUAUACAAACGUCAUUAUUGUCCGGUCCAAGAUCUUAGGGUUUCAUCUAGAAGAAAGUCUAAACUCUUAAAACAAUACCUUUAGCAAUACAAUUGCCACGCACAACCAAUGAAAAUCAGACCUUAGAUUUUUCAGCCUGCAAGUCAUGACGCGACACCCGAGGAACACAACCAAAAAAUAUAUAUCCUCCAGCACUACUAGGAAAAACCCUAACAGUAGCGCGAGUUAGAAGCAUAUUAGUAGCGCGGGCGGCCGCACUACUGCUACGACGCUACAUCUAAUUUUUAGGAGUAGUGUCGGCUACCCAGCGCUACAGCUAACUGGAUUAGCAGUAGCACGCUAUCGCAACAAGGGCUACUACUAUCCUGCAAUAGCACUAUCGAACUCUUAGAAGUCGUGCCACUACUAAACGGACGUAUUUCUUCUUUUAUAUUUGUAUUGUAUUUACACACUGUUAUACUAAUUAAUUACUAUACUAAUUAUUAAUUGUGCAAAAAAUAACAUUUAGAUUAAAAUGGAUGGAUGCAAGUGAUCAAUUUGGGUUAGAGGGAAACUAUGAUGUUGCGAAUGGCGACAUCAUAUUUUCCUCUAAUUCAACUUGAUCACUGGUAUCAAUCCACUUUAAUCUAAUAUCUGUCAUAUAACUUAUCUUCAUCUUAAUCAUCUAACAAAUCAUCAUCCUCUUAAUCAUCUAAGAACUCAUCAUCCUUUCAAUCAUCUAACAAUCAAUCAUCAUCUUAAUCAUCUAACAAUUUAUCAUCAUCUUGAUCAUCUAAUCAUUAGUUAAUAAUCACUAGUAGAAAACAGGGCUUUCGUCCUGAGCCCGAUUGAGCAAUAUUUUCGAUUGCUUUACGAACCAGAACUAAUUCGAACAUUUAGGAGUGGAUGGGUUGGUGUGGGACCUUUAAUCCCGGUUGGUGUCACCAAUUGGGAUUAAAGGGGUUGCGGCAGGAGCGACUGUAGGGGAACGUCGUAUGGGAAACAUUUUUUUCCCAUGCAGCUUGCAAGAAUCGUUAUAAUAAAUACAUAAUGAAUUAUGUUUUCCAGUAUAUUAUUCAGAGGAUUAAAAAGGGAUUAAGUCUAUGUUCUCAGUUUAUAAGCUAUGAUGGAAGGCUGCUAUUUGUCAAUGAUGUUUUAUCAUCAGACACAACCUUUGUUAUGAGUUGUUCACUUCUGUACAAGGUACCAAAAUGCUACCUGCAAAUGUUUAGGAAAAAAGAUUAAAAUUUUGACAUGUGCAAAGAAAAAAAACAAGUCAAACACCAAAUGUCACCCCAAUUUCCUCUUUUUCACAGACGAAAAACCGCCGCUCCGUUUCACCUGAAAAUUUUCAAGCAUGCUUGCCACACUAGCACAGACAUUUACAAAACAAAUCAGAUCUUUUUAAAACAUUUAGCAUAUUGAUUUGAUUUACUAUUGAUCCGAGAACAAAGGCUCCCAUGAGCCAAAACACGUGCCCUGUAGUCAUUGAUCUACUAGACAAGUAUAGAAGGCAUUGUUUUCGGAGAUAGAAAGAUCUCAAGAAAAAAAUCCUACUCCUCUGGCUGCUACUGAUCUCUAGACCCAAAGACAAAGAGGGAACGGGCAUUCUCAAUCUACAAACUUAGAAUACAUAUAUCCUAUUCAAAAUGAUGCAUAAGUUUAUUAACUACAUGGAUUUACCUGGGUUAAUCAUGUUUUGAUUUUAUUACCCCAAUUGUUUGAUCACCCUACAACCAUCGAAGUGCUCAUUCUGGUGGAGAGACUGUUUGAAGUUAAUGCCAAUCUACAGGGAAAUUGCUACCUAUGCCAAGGGAUGGAAAUUCAAUUGUUUUCUGGAAUGAUACUUGGGACAAUGUGCCAAAAGCUCAUUUUUGCCUCAUUUCCCCUCAUUUCUUUCGAUCUAACGGGUAUUUUUAAUUUGUACACCAAAAGGACUGUCACAAAGUACCAUCAUUAGCACUAGUGGAAAACGGGCCUUUGGCCGGGACCCUUUAGUCCCGGCCUGACUAAAGGCCCGGCCACGUCGCCCCAAUUCUCAAUGCCUCCCUCGAGGCUUUAGUCCCGGCCCGUAAGGAGCCUUUAGUCCCGGUUCGUGCCUCAAACCGGGACUAAAGGGCCACGCGGUGGGCAGCCCGCAUGUGCGCCACCUUUAGUCCCGGUUUGUGUCUCAAACCGGGACUAAAGUCCUGUGCCUAUAUAUAGCACAGCCCCCCUCUCCCCUCUUCCUUGCAUUUUUCUUGGAUGGAGGAUUGUGGGUGGGUGCUAGCUCUCCACUUUUUUUGAUGCACUAGAGGUGUUUGUUGAAAUGUGUGUUAGAGCGAUGCCGCUUUAGUUCUACUUAUUCUAAAAGGUUAGCAACUAUAUGAGAUGCAACUACGAUAUGAGAUGCCUGAGCCACGCUUAAACCUCUUCCUCUUUAUUUCUACUUAUUCUAAAAGGUUAGCAACUAUAUUUCCUCGUUUAGACCGUGCGGUACUAAUUUUUAGGAUCGUGAUUGUAUUUGAUAAACUUUCGUAUAACACAGAUGAGCCAUCCAUGGAUGUACGAUGAUCGACGCACAGCCGCUUACAGAGAAGGCGUGCAUUCUUUUCGAGACGCAGACGAUGCGAACAAGCAUGGUGGUGGCUAUAUGUUUUGUCCAUGUGUUGAACGUCGGAAUGAGAAGGAUUACACUUCCUCAAGAGUCAUUCAAAGCCACCUGCUUCGGUCCGGUUUUAUGUCGGGCUAUAAUGUUUGGACCAAGCACGGAGAAAGAGGGGUUAUGAUGGCAGACGACGAUGAUGACAACUAUCGAUCUAUGUUCCCUGAGUAUGCUGAUACCACAAUGGAAGACAGUGAAGAAGAAGAUCAGGAUGAAGAACGGGAACCAGAUGGGCCCGCUGAUGAUCUUGGUCGGGUCAUUUCUGAUGCACAGCGAGGUUGCAACACAAAAAAGGAGAGGUUGCAGUUCGAGCAGAUGUUACAGGACCACAACAAAUUGUUGUACCCAACUUGUGAAGAUGGCCAGAAGAAGCUGGGCAGCACACUGGAAUUGCUGAAGUGGAAGGUAGAGACCGGUGUGACUGACUUGUCAUUCGAAAAGUUGCUGGUACUGAUGAAGAAGAUGCUUCCAAGAAAGAACGAAUUGCCCGCCAGCACGUACGAAGCAAAGAAGCUUGUCUGCCCUCUAGGAUUAGACGUGCAGAAGAUACAUGCAUGCCCUAAUGACUGCAUCCUCUACCGCGGUGAGAAGUACGAGAAUAUGGAUAAAUGCCCGGUAUGCACUGCAUUGCGGUAUAAGAUCAGACAAGAUGACCCUGGUGAUAUUGAGGGCGAGCCACCCAGGAAGAGGGUUCCUGCCAAGGUGAUGUGGUAUGCUCCUAUAAUACCAUGGUGGAAACGUCUGUUCAGAAAUAAAGAUCAUGUGAAGUUGUUGCGAUGGCACAUGGAAGAUCGUAUGAAAGACGAUAAGUUGAGGCACACCGCUGAUGGUCGGCAGUGGAGAAAAAUCGAGAGAGAGUUCCCGAGAUUUGCAGCUGACGCAAGGAACUUAUGGUUAGGUCUGAGUACAGAUGGCAUGAAUCCUUUUGGGGAGCAGAGUUGCAGUCACAGCACCUGGCCCGUUAAUCUAUGUAUCUACAACCUUCCUCCUUGGUUGUGCAUGAAGCGGAAGUUCAUUAUGAUGCCAGUGCUUAUCCAAGGUCCAAAGCAACCCGGCAACGAUAUUGAUGUGUACCUAAGGCCAUUAGUUGAUGAACUUUUACAGCUGUGGGCCGAACCAGGUGUACGUGUGUGCUACGAGCACAAACAAGAGGAAUUUGACCUUUGAGCGUUGCUUUUCGUAACCAUCUAUGAUUGGCCUGCUCUUAGUAACAUUUCAGGACAGUCAAACAAGGGAUACAAUGCAUGCACACACUGUUUGGAUCAGACAGAAAGUAUAUAUCUGGACAAAUGUAGGAAGAAUGUGUAUCCGUACAAUCGUCGUUUUCUUCCACCCAAGCAUCCCUUAAAGAAAAAAGGCAAGCAUUUCAAUGGCAAGGCAGAACCCCGGGGGAAGCCUGUCAUCCGUACUGGUGCUGAAGUAUUUGAUAUGGUCAAAGAUUUAAAAGUAAUCUUUGGAAAGGGUCCUGGCAGCCUACCUGUUCCUAACGGCCCUGAUAAGCGCGUACCCAUGUGGAAGAAGAAAUCUAUAUUUUAGGAGCUACCCUACUGGGAAGUCCAUGAGGUCCGCUCGGCAAUCGACGUGAUGCACCUGACGAAGAAUCUCUGCGUGAAUAUUCUAGGCUUCCUGGGCUUGUAUGGGAAGUCAAAAGAUACACCGGAAGCACGGGAGGACCAGGAACGUCAUAAAGGAAGAGAUGGCAUGCAUCCAGGGCAGUUUCAAGGGCGUGCCAGCUAUGCUCUUACUAAGGAAGAGAAGGAAAUCUUCUUUGAAGUCCUUUUCAGUAUCAAGGUCCCGACUGGCUUCUCGUCGAAUAUAAAGGGAAUCAUAAAUAUGAAAGGCAAAAAAUUCCAAAACCUAAAGUCUCAUGACUGCCACGUGCUUAUGACGCAAUUGCUUCCGGUUGCAUUGAGGGGAAUUCUACCGGAAAAUGUUCGCCUGGCAAUUGUGAAGGUAUGUGCAUUCCUCAAUGCAAUUUCUCAGAAGGUAAUCGAUCGAGAAAGUAUAUUAGGGUUACAGAUUGAUGUGGUCCAAUGUCUGGUCAGCUUUGAGUUGUUGUUCCCGCCAUCCUUCUUGAAUAUAAUGACACACCUCCUAGUUCACCUAGUAGAAGAGAUUAGAACACACAAUAUGUUCCCCUUCGAGAGGUUCAUGGGAGUCUUAAAGAAAUAUGUUCGUAACCGUGCUAGGCCAGAAGGAAGCAUCUCCAAGGGCUAUGGAACAGAGGAGGUCAUUGAGUUUUGUGUGGACUUUCUUCCUGACCUUAAGCUGAUUGGUGUUCCUGAAUCUCGGUAUGAGGGUAGGCUGACAGGAAAAGGCACACUAGGAAGGAAAGCAAAAGUAUGUAUGGACGGGCAUUCUUUCUCUCAAGCACACUACACAGUUCUAAACAAUUCCACCGUGGUGGCUCCGUAUAUCGUGAGACACAAGAAUAUUCUACGCUCCGAAAACCCGGGGAAGGCUGACUCUUGGAUUAAAGGGGAACACAAGAAGACUUUCGGCAGUUGGUUGCAGACACAUCUCAUGAAUGACGAAACCGUUGGAGAUGAGCUGUACUGUUUGGCUAGGCCACCAUCUUCAACUAUAUGUACUUUCCAAGGGUAUGAGAUAAAUGGGAAUACAUUUUACACGGUUGCCCAAGAUAAAAAGAGCACCAACCAAAAUAGUGGUGUCCGCUUUGAUGCAACAGACGAGAAUGGGCACUGUUUGGAAACAUAUUACGGGUACAUAGAGGAGAUAUGGGAACUUGACUAUGGACCUACUUUUAAGAUCCCUUUGUUUCGGUGCAAAUGUGUGAAGCUGACAGGAGGC
RNAcentral lists this long non-coding RNA (140430 nucleotides) under Hordeum vulgare. Its description in RNAcentral is "long non-coding RNA (HVUL_LNC006049)". The record is from RNAcentral. Lineage: Eukaryota; Viridiplantae; Streptophyta; Magnoliopsida; Poales; Poaceae.